RNAcentral lists this long non-coding RNA (125129 nucleotides) under Phaseolus vulgaris (common bean). Its description in RNAcentral is "long non-coding RNA (PVUL_LNC000519)". Lineage: Eukaryota; Viridiplantae; Streptophyta; Magnoliopsida; Fabales; Fabaceae. The record is from RNAcentral.
GAGGACCAUUCUAAGAAACGGAAAUGGAUCAGUUUGCAAGGGUUUCCUUCAGAAUACCUACCUAACGACUUUUAUGUGCAUGAUGCAAUAGCCAUUGAUUUAUAAUACUCUCUUCUUCGAUUUGUUAACAGAUUUAACCAAUUUUGUUAUGUUUUCAAAAAAUCAAUCGAUUGAAAGUGUGAAUCAAUCGAUGAAAAUGGCUUUGAUUGUGAGGUCAACCAAUUUCAAGUUUUUCAAAUGCUUUCCAAAACUACCAAGUGUAAAACAACCGAUUGAAACGACAAAUCAACAAGUUGUUUUUUCACUUGCUUUGAAAAACACUUCUUCUUUAUAGAUCAUGAUUGAUUUAGUUUUGGAUCAAGUUAAGAGUGGAUUGAAAAAUUCUAAUCUACCCAAAACCCAUGCCCACAAGCAACAACCUAGUCCUCAAGCAAACUUCAUAGAUUUGGAGACAUCAAAGCUUCAUGUUCAACAAUCUCCCCCUAUUUGAUGAAGAGAAAUCCUUGGUUUUCUUGGGAUGUUCUGUUUGAGUUUGACAAUAUCUGCUAAACACAAAAUUUUCAAAUACAAGAGGUAAUCCCUUCCAGAUUUCAUCAACACCAAAGAACCAUUUUUCACUUAGUGAUUUCCAUAAGGGAAACAAAAUCAGUGUGAAAAGAUAGUUAAAGAGAGGUGCAAAUCAGAAUUUUAUGCAACAGAGGUUUAUGCAGUAGUUUUAAUCAAAGUAAGCAACAUAUAAACCAAGUUAAAACAAAAUUUAAGCACACAAUACAAACAUACAAACCACAAAAACUUCUCCCCCUAUUUUUCUUCACAAAUAGACUUAAAGGAGAGAUAAAAAUAACACUUAAAAUAGAGUUUGUAAGUCAAGAAUUCCUAACUCAUUUCUGAGAAAGAAAAACUUGUCCUUUGACAAAAGUUUAGUAAAAAAAAUCUUCCAAUUGCCUUUCCGUUGCACUGAACUUCACCUCACAGUCUCCAUUACUCACAUGAUCUCUAAUGAAAUUGUGUCAGAUCUCAAUAUGUUUUGUCCUAGAGUGCUGAACUUGAUUUUUUGUGAGAUUGAUGGCACUUGUGUUGUCACAUAGUAGGGGUACUUUGCUGACUUUUAAUCUAAAGUCUUCAAGCUGUUGUUUAAUCCACAAAAUCUGAGCACAACAGAUUCCUACAACAAUGUAUGUGAUGAAAAUAUAUUUAUUAACCCACAAUAGCAUUAAUCAUAGAUUAUUGGACUAUAAUAAUAAAUAAAUCCAUUUUUUUAAUUAAUAUUAAUAUAAUUGGGUUUAUUUGGGCCUUAACUAUUAUCUUUGGUAAUUUUGUGUUUUUAGGGUAAAUGAUCUAAAGCAUCUACCUUUAUGAAUGGGCCAAACAUGCAAAAGUCCAAGUUGCUUCUUUGAAUCAAAACAGAAAACAAAUUCUGAGGAGAAGAAAGAGAAAAUAAAAGCUACAAGAUCCCAGAAACAGAAUUGGAAGCAAAUCUUCUGCAAUAAUAAAAAGAAUUAUGGAAAGUGGAAAUUGUUUACAAAAUCUAAACUGCAAUAUUUUCCCAAGAUCCUUGGAGCAGAAAAGCCUAUAAAAGAACACAAGCAUCAAGGAGAAAAGAGAGAGUUUCAUAGGGUUUUCUUAGUUUAUUUUCUUCUUAGUAAUUCUUUUGUUUUGCCUCCGCAUGGAAGGCUAAACCUUUUUGGUUGAUUCCUUUGUAAUUUCCCAUUGAGUUAUGAGGUUUUGUUCAAUAAAAGUUUCGAUUUUUAAUUCUCUAUAGCAGUUGUUUUUAUUGUCUAAUNNNNNNNNNNNNNNNNNNNNNNNNNNNNNNNNNNNNNNNNNNNNNNNNNNNNNNNNNNNNNNNNNNNNNNNNNNNNNNNNNNNNNNNNNNNNNNNNNNNNGGAAAACUAGAUUUUGUGAGAGGUUGUACUUGAACGCAUGAUUGAGAGUCUUCCUUGUCUUAAACUUUGGUUUCUUAGUUAGUUCACAUCGUUCUAAUUAAUUUCAUGGGCGCAUGAUUCAAGAGAGAGGAGGUAAGCAUUCCCAUGGAGUAUACGCAUGGAACAAAGUGAGUAUUGAUUAAACCAGUAGACGCAUGUUUUACUGGUGAGUUUCAGUUGAAUUAGAUUGGCGCAUGUUCAAUCUGGUUUAACUCUGUUGGAGGAUUGAGAAAAGAUUAAUCUUUAGAGAACCUGUGAAGAAUUCAAUGGUGGAAGAACUUAGGGAUCAAUUUCUUUUUAUUUUCUAUUUCAAUCUCUUUUAUAUUUUCUGCAUAACUAUCUUAACCCCCUUUUUAUUAUUAUUGUUAUUACUAACUUUUCAUUACUUGUAGAUAGAUUUUGAAUUCGGUUAACUGAAUCACUAUUGGAUUCGUUGGGAGACGACUUGGGGUCAUCUGACCACAAUUAUACUAUCAUCUCUCUAGUGUUAGACAAGUCUACGCUAGAUUCAUAUUAAUUUGACAGCAAAACGGCAGCUAUCAGUAUGUUACUUAAGUAGUGAAGAGUGUUACGCAGGCUUGCUUCUUGCUAUGCCAAGAGAUAAGGCUGGAGCCAAGACAAGUUCCACUUGUGCUUUUCCUAUCUAGUUUGCAUCCUGCAAAAUUCGAAUCAGAGUAUCCAACUAAAUGUACAGGAGAAUGAGAGGGAUACCAUAACUGAUAAGUGCCAAUGUGUAGUUUUUAUGAUUGAGAAAAUUGAACACUUUGGAACUUAAUUGUUGCUUAAUGUAAGAAAAUUACCCUAAUCUGAGAAUUAUUGAAUCUGAUUAUAUAUUUUUGAACCAAGAAACAAAUGAAGAAAUUUAAUCUCAAUUUUUGUGUAAAUUGCAGAUGAAUAUGAAGCAUUGAAAGAAUUAUUCAAGCUGGCUUUGAAAGAAAAAAAAAAGUAAAAACUUAAUUGGAUCACAAGAAGAUUUAGCUCAAGCUAGAGGAUUUAGCUCAAGCUAAAACUAUCCAGAAUUGAUUAAAGGUGCAGUAGAAUUCUAGCCCAGGCUAGAAUUGCUAGCUCAAGCUAAAACUGUCCAGAGCUGAUUAAAGGUGCAGUACUGAUCUAGCUCAGGCUAGAAUCGCUAGCUCAAGCUAAAAAUGCACCGAAAGAUCUAGCUCAAGCUAAAACGGGCUAGCUUGAGCUAAAAUUGAUUAUAUAAAUUCUGAAACAUAACUCAAAACGAGCGGUGGAAAACAGAUUAGGUUUUUUAGAAAGAGACUAGUGAGAGAAAGAGAAGAAACCUCUGUUCUUAGGAAAAGAACUUGCUCAAAUAAGCCCUUCUUAUGCAAUCCAGAUCAAGAAUGAAGAUUGGAGGAGCUGUCAUGAGUGGCUAAGUUCUUUCUAACUUGGGAUUGAAUGUAAUUUAUCUUGAUCAAAUGUAUUCUUGGUGAUAUAUAUAUAAAAUUCUCUUUUCUACUUGUUCUUGGUAUUUUCGUUUUAUGCUUAUUGCUUGAUUCUGUCUGAUCAAUAAAGUCUUGAUUUUGAUCCUUAAAUUUAACUGGAAAGUACCUUUAAGGAUCUGAAAUAAACGAAAAUACUUGAUAACUUGUAAUGCUAGGAAUAGAUUCCAGGUUAUUGAUUGCAUUAUAAUUCUGUUCCUAAAGCUGGAUGAUUUGUUAAAUAUCUGAGGAAUCAGUGUUUGAGAAAUUAUCUUAUGAAUUUCAUCUGUGAGGAAUCAAGAUGAAUGACUUUAAAUUAAGCAUCAAGAAUAAAUAGUUUUGAGUAUUAUAUAUUGUAUUAUUCAAAAUACAGAUGAUUGAGAUAAACGCAAUUCAAUCCCAAGUAUCUUUCUCUAUAUUUGAUAAGUUGGUUUUGUUACAUCCAGAAUCAAACCCUAAAUCUUUGAGUUCUUGUGAAAUCUUUAAUUUGGUUAUGAACAAAGUCUCAAAAUUAUUUUCUAUACUUAAUGAGUUUUAAAACAGAACAUCUUAAUUAGAAUUGUUCCCUGUGGGUUCGACAUUCGUACUUUAAAGAGUACUAUAUUACAGUUGAUUCGGUACACUUGCCGAGAAAGAUCAACAAGUUUUGGCGCCGUUGCCGGGGAACAAUUUCUUUUAAGAAUUUCUGAAGUAUAACUCAUUGAGUAUUGUGAAUAUUCUGUUUUCUUUGUGAAUAUACAUUGGUUUAUAUCUUAUUCUUUUAUCCUGUGCUAAUCCUUGCUUAAGUUGUCUUAGAUACAUGUUAUUGAGAGGACAGGUUCCUGAAGAUCAAUUGGAAUUUGAUCCAGAAAUUGAGAAGACAGCUAGAAAAAAUCAGACAAGAAGAGAAAAGAAAAGAAGAAGCAAGGACAAGCAAAAGGAGAAUCUUCCANNNNNNNNNNNNNNNNNNNNNNNNNNNNNNNNNNNNNNNNNNNNNNNNNNNNNNNNNNNNNNNNNNNNNNNNNNNNNNNNNNNNNNNNNNNNNNNNNNNNNNNNNNNNNNNNNNNNNNNNNNNNNNNNNNNNCCACCAAAUCAUUAGAAAUGAAGCCAGCUUUUCUUAGCUUAAUCAGCACUCAUCAAUUCACUGGAAUGGAUCAUGAAGACCCUUAUACUCAUCUAUCCACAUUCUAUGAGUUGGUUGGGACCAUGGGCUUCGAGGAAAAUGAUAUUGAAUCUGUUUAUCUGCGUCUAUUUCCUUUCUCACUUGCAGGCAAAGCAAAAGAAUGGUUAAAGUCGCAUCCAAACCAGAGUCUAAGUAGCUGGAAUGAUGUAGAAGAGAAAUUCCUACACAGAUUCUUCCCACUCUCUCGGUAUAUCAAGGCUAAGUUUGAUAUCUCUAUAUUCGGGCAAGGGCCAGAAGAACCUUUUUGUGAAGCUUGGGAACGCUUUAAAGUGAUGUUAAGAAGAUGUCCUAAUCAUGGCUUUGGGGAUAUUGCUCAGUUGAACAUAUUCCACAAUGGUUUGAGGCCUGAUACUAAAAUGAUCNNNNNNNNNNNNNNNNNNNNNNNNNNNNNNNNNNNNNNNNNNNNNNNNNNNNNNNNNNNNNNNNNNNNNNNNNNNNNNNNNNNNNNNNNNNNNNNNNNNNNNNNNNNNNNNNNNNNNNNNNNNNNNNNNAUCUUAGUACUUUAGAUGCAAUUUUAGCACAAAACAAGAUUUUGACUCAGCAAAUUGAGGCAUUAACCAAGCAAAUGUCAAAACUGCCUCAACAAUUACAUGCAGUAAAUUCUCCUUCAAUUCAGAAUCAAGCUUUGAAGUGUGAUUUUUGUGGGGGAGAUCAUCUCAAUGGCCAAUGCUCUUACCAAAAUCCAUCAGAGGAAGAGGUUCACUAUAUGAAUAAUCAAGGAAGGCAAGGUGGCUUUGCAUAUAAUUAUCCAAAUAACAUGACUCAAGGAUGGAGGAACAAUCCAAAUCAAGGAUUUGGGUGGAAGCAAGAGGCUGGAUCAUCCAACAGACAAGCUCCAAUUCCUUAUCAACAGUAACCACAUUAUCCUUCCAUUCAUGAGAGAACAUAAAAAUUGGAAGAUACUUUUGAGAAGUUCAUGCAAGCCUCUCUAUUCAAUCAAAAAAAUACUGAAGCAUCAAUAAGGAAUUUAGAAACACAGGUGGGGCAGUUGGCUAAACAGUUAGCUGAUAAUCAAGGAAGUCAAUUUUCAGCCAAUACACAAACCAAUCCCAAGGAGCAUUGCAAUUCUAUCACUACCAGAAGUGGGAUAGUUAUAGGAAAAGGAAUUGGGAAAAACUUAGUUGUUGGGGAGGAGGUUUUAAAAGAUAAAGAGAGUGAAAAAGAAUAGAUUGAGUGUGAGGGAGAAGAAAGAAGAAAUAAGGAAGAUGUUGUAGAUAUUGAUGAGAAAAUAGAAAAAAAUGAAAAACAAGAGAGGAGUGUUCCUAUAAAAGAUGUACCUUAUCCACAUGCUCCUACAAAGAAAUGCAAAGAAAGGCAAUUUGCAAGAUUUAUGAAUAUUCUCAAAAGAUUGCAAAUUAACAUUCCUUUUACUGAAGUUUUAAAGCAGAUGCCUACAUAUGCUAAAUUCAUGAAGGAAUUAUUGACAAAGAAAAGAAAGUUCAAUGACCAGGAAAUAGUUGAAUUGGAAGCUGGAUGCAGUGCUAUAAUCCAAAAAUCAUUACCACAGAAAUCCAGAGAUCCUGGGAGUUUCACUUUGCCAGUUACCAUAGGAAAUCUAACUGUUAGAAAGGCAUUAUUGGAUCUUGGAGCUAGUAUUAAUUUGAUGCCUUUAUCAAUGCUGAAGAAAAUUGGAGAUGUAGAAGUGAAACCAGCAAGAAUGACUUUGCAGUUGGCUGAUAGAUCAAUCAAAUAUCCACAUGGAAUAGUUGAAGAUUUAUUGGUAAAGGUAGAUAAAUUUCUAUUCCCAGUAGAUUUUGUUGUAAUGGAUAUUGAAGAAGAUGUUGAAGUACCUUUGAUAUUGGGAAGACCAUUCAUGAAAACUGCCAAAGUUAUAAUUGAUGUAAACAAAGGAAAAUUGAAGGUUUGUGUUCUAGAUGACAAAGUAAGCUUUAAUGUUUUUGAAGCAAAGAAAUAUUCAAAUGAUCAUAAAGAGUGUUUCAGAGUGGAUAUGAAUGUUGUUGAACCUUCAAUGAUGUUAAUCAGGCGUCAAGCUAUAUGACGUUAAACGAGCGCUUGCUGGGAGGCAACCCAGUGUUUUGUUCUGAAAUGUGUCUUUAAUUUUUGUUUUGAAAUGUGUCUUUAAUUUUUGUUUUGAUUUAGUAGUAUGUUUUAAUAUUUGAUGUCUUUAAAACCAGUUUGAUAUGUGAAAUGGUCAUGUAGGUUUGAAAUGUUAGGUGAAAUGAAUGGAUGGAAGAAGGCUUAGAAAGGUUUGAAACUUUUGGCAAAGACAAAAUGAAAAUUUUCAAGAAAAUUUCAUUGCAGGGUAAUUUUAGCUUAAGCUAGAACUUUUAGCCUAAGCUAGUUAUGCAGAAAAAGAAGAAAAAAAUUUGUUAUGCAGCUUUCGCUUAAGCUAAAAUGAGCUAGCUUGAGCUAGAAAACUCUGUUGCUCUCUGCCAAAUUUUAGCUUAAGCUAAAAAGAGCUAGCUUGAGCUAGAAAACUUUGUUGCUCUCUGCCAAACUUUAGCUUAAGCUAAAACGAGCUAGCUUGAGCUAGAGCAAAUUUGUUGCUCUCUGCCCAAUUUUAGCCUGAGCUAAGAAGCUCUAGCCUAAGCUAGUGAGAUUUCUAAAAAAAAAAAAAAAAAACUGCAGCAUUUUAUAAAAAUCACAUUUUGAAAACCCUGCAACCUAACUCAAUUUCAGAAGCACCCUCUGUUCUAAAAAAAUCCCAAAGCUUCCAACUACAUAAUCAUUCUCAAACAAACAUUUCAUCUACAUUGCCAUUAUCAAGGUAAGUAAUUACUCAUCUCCAUAAUCAUUUUCAUUGUCAUUUCCAUUUCACAGUCCAGACAUGCGUGUUUCUAUUUCCAUUUCACAGUUUCGUUUUUUAAAUUGAAAGAUUCAAUCUUUUUGAAAUUUCAAUGUCUUGAUGUAAAAUAGGAUUGUGGAAUGGGAUAAUCAAAGUUAAGUACGGUUUCCAUGGAUUAAAUACCAAAACAAAAAUUACUCAUUCAAUGUCAUUCUACAUCAUGCAUACCAAGUGUUUGUUAAAAUGUCAAUCAAAUAGAACACUUUGGUUUGAGAAAUGUUUAUUCUUACAUAUGCAGAAAAAUGAGUCACACCAAAUCCACAACUGGUAUUAAAUAAUCCGUCGUUGACACGCACUGAAUUUCAUGAUUAGCUAUCUUGGCCUAGGGACAUGCACAGUUUUUCAGGGGAGGCAAGAGAAUUUGGAGUUGGGACUAGAGUUGAAGGUACACCAGAAAUGGCAGCUGGACCAUCUGGAGCAGCAGAAGAUGAAGAUCCAAACCAAGUUCAGAAUGAUGAUGUUGGCACGGAGCGGAACAAAGUCAUAAAAGGAGAUUGAUACUUCUCAUGCACAAUGAACAGAAAACUGGUUUUAUCUUUUUGUUUAACUUUACUUUCAGUUUAAUUUAGUAAGUUGACUUUAGUAGUUUGGUUUCAUAAUUCUUACUUUAGAUUUUGUUGAUGACAAGCUUAAGUUAGUAUAAUGGUUGAUGUUUGCAUAUUUUGUGAAGUGAAAUCUUGUAUAUAGAUAGAUGAUGGUAUAAUUUUUUGGAAAAAGAAAUCAAACCAUAGUUCUAAAUUAGAACAACCAAAUGGAUUGAUCAGGGACUUAAUUUGAAAAAGAAUUUGUGGUUGGAACCAUCACUCAAAUUGAGAAAGGAUAUUAAUGUGUAAAAGUUGGAACAAGGUAAAUAGUUGAAAGCAAUGACUGAAAACAAAUGAGGAAUUGAAAUUAGCCAACCAAGUGAGAGUGUGAAACCUUUAAACAGUUUGAGAGACUUUCAGUAGUGAAGAGUUAAUUGAGGUUGCCUAAUUUUCUAGUCAAUUUGCAUCACAAAAUCAAAUAUGGAGAUGAUUGAGGCAUGUUUAAUAGAGUGGAGGUGAGAAAACUCAGAACCAAACAGCUAACCUUUGCAAUAUAUGAUGAAAUGUGCAGAAAAAUAACCCUUUUUGAGCCAAAUUUGUUUUAUUGCACCCUAGCUUCUGAUAUACAUAUAUUGUCCUACCUUGUGGUAUGCUAACAAAAGGAGAGCAUAGGUGCAAUUCAAAUUUCUAUAAUUAAAAGAAUUGGGUUUGGUGUGGCUGUUGGGAUUUUGAGAAUGAAAAAAAAAAGAAAAAGAAAAAAAAAGGAAAUGACAAAAUUAUCCAAAUUCUCAUUCUCUUUUCUAAAAAAAAAAAGAAAAAAAAAGAGAAAAAGAAAAACAAAGGGGAUUACAAGAAUAUAAAAAUAAGCAAUGUGAAUGAAUCUUAUGGAAGGGAUAAUGGAUAACACAAUUAGAAAGUGAAUUGCAAAUAUGCUAAUCUUUUGUUAACUGUGCAUUUUGUUAUCCUGGAAAAACCAAAUUUUCUUUAUAACCCAGCCUCAUUACAACCUGAAAAGACCUCAAGCUCUAUGUUUGUGAAAGUGUUUGUAAUCAACUGGAAAUGAAGGGCAACCUUAAAUUAACUUGGAAUUCAGUGAAAAAAAGAGGGAAAACACUCACCAGUGAGGAAUGAAGAGAGAAAUUCUUUAGUUUGAUUCUCAAUGAAGAGUAACAAUUGUUUACCUUGGAAAUUGAAUACAUUCUUAUCCUGUCUUGGUUUGAAUUGAUAGGAAACACCAUAAUUUUUUGUUGAAUUAUCUUGUGCUCUUUCCAUGAAGUUGUUCUGAUAUUAAACUAUAGAUUUGAUUUCUAAGGAUUUUGGGGAAGAAUGAAUUCAUAUUUUUUGGGAUUCAAUUACUUUGCUUGAGGACAAGUAAGAUUCUAGGUUAGGGGGAAUUUGAUAAGUGCCAAUGUGUAGUUUUUAUGAUUGAGAAAAUUGAACACUUUGGAACUUAAUUGUUGCUUAAUGUAAGAAAAUUACCCUAAUCUGAGAAUUAUUGAAUCUGAUUAUAUAUUUUUUGAACCAAGAAACAAAUGAAGAAAUUUAAUCUCAAUUUUAGUGUAAAUUGCAGAUGAAUAUGAAGCAUUGAAAGAAUUAUUCAAGCUGGCUUUGAAAGAAAAAAAAAUGUAAAAACUUAAUUGGAUCACAAGAAGAUUUAGCUCAAGCUAGAGGAUUUAGCUCAAGCUAAAAUUGUCCAGAAUUGAUUAAAGGUGCAGUAGAAUUCUAGCCCAGGCUAGAAUUGCUAGCUCAAGCUAAAACUGUCCAGAGCUGAUUAAAGGUGCAGUACUGAUCUAGCUCAGGCUAGAAUCGCUAGCUCAAGCUAAAAAUGCACCGAAAGAUCUAGCUCAAGCUAAAACGGGCUAGCUUGAGCUAAAGUUGAUUAUAUAAAUUCUAAAACAUAACUCAAAACGAGCGGUGGAAAACAGAUUAGGUUUUUUAGAAAGAGACUAGUGAGAGAAAGAGAAGAAACCUCUGUUCUUAGGAAAAGAACUUGCUCAGAUCAGCCCUUCUUAUGCAAUCCAGAUCAAGAAUGAAGAUUGGAGGAGCUGUCAUGAGUGGCUAAGUUCUUUCUAACUUGGGAUUGAAUGUAAUUUAUCUUGAUCAAAUGUAUUCUUGGUGAUAUAUAUAUAAAAUUCUCUUUUCUACUUGUUCUUGGUAUUUUCGUUUUAUGCUUAUUGCUUGAUUCUGUCUGAUCAAUAGAGUCUUGAUUUUGAUCCUUAAAUUUAACUGGAAAGUACCUUUAAGGAUCUGAAAUAAACGAAAAUACUUGAUAACUUGUAAUGCUAGGAAUAGAUUCCAGGUUAUUGAUUGCAUUAUAAUUCUGUUCCUAAAGCUGGAUGAUUUGUUAAAUAUCUGAGGAAUCAGUGUUUGAGAAAUUAUCUUAUGAAUUUCAUCUGUGAGGAAUCAAGAUGAAUGACUUUAAAUUAAGCAUCAAGAAUAAAUAGUUUUGAGUAUUAUAUAUUGUAUUAUUCAAAAUACAGAUGAUUGAGAUAAACGCAAUUCAAUCCCAAGUAUCUUUCUCUAUAUUUGAUAAGUUGGUUUUGUUACAUCCAAAAUCAAACCCUAAAUCUUUGAGUUCUUGUGAAAUCUUUAAUUUGGUUAUGAACAAAGUCUCAAAAUUAUUUUCUAUACUUAAUGAGUUUUAAAACAGAACAUCUUAAUUAGAAUUGUUCUCUGUGGGUUCGACAUUCGUACUUUAAAGAGUACUAUAUUACAGUUGAUUCGGUACACUUGCCGAGAAAGAUCAACAAUAACCCAAUAGUGGAUAUGCCUUUUAGAUACUUCAUAAUUCUUUUGGCAGCUUUAAGGUGUGAUUCUUUCGGAUUGGACUGAAAUCUAGCACAAAGGCAUACUGCAAACAUAAUAUCUGGUAUGCUGACUGUAAGGUAGAGCAAAGAGCCAAUAAAAUCCCUAUAUUUGGAUUGAUCUACUACAAUUCCAACUGCAUCAGCAUCCAUGUAGCAGCUUGUGGACAUUGGUGUAGUUGCCUCUUUACACUGCUCCAUUUCAAACUUUUUGAGGAUUUCCUUGCAAUACUUGGAUUGACUUAGAAAGAUGCCAUCCUUUGAUUAUUGGACCUGCAGUCCCAAGAAAAAGGACAACUCUCCCAUCAUUGACAUUUCAAGUUCUCCUUGCAUAGCUGUCACAAAUUCUUUACAGAAGUUAUCAUUAAUAGCACCAAAAAUAAUGUCAUCAACAUAGACUAAAAUAAUGGAAGAAAUUUGAUUUUUUGAUAAAGAGAGUUUUGUCAACCUUCCCUCUUUCAUAGUCAUGAGACAAGAGGAAAUUACUUAACCUCUCAUACCAUUGCCUUGGAGCUUUCUUAAGACCAUAUACAAGACCUUUUUCAGCUUGUAUACAUGCUUGAGAUGUUGAUGACUCUACAAACCCGGGUGGUUGUGAGACAAAGACCUCUUCAUUGAUAACUUCGUUAAGGAAGGCACUCUUCACAUCCAUUUGUUACAAUUUGAACCCAUUCAUGCAAGCAAAGGCUAGCAGUAACCUUACAGCUUCCAAUCUGGCUACUAGUGCAAAGGUCUCGUCAUAGUUUAUCCCUUCUUCCUGAUUGUACCCUUUUGCAACAAGUCUUGCUUUGUUCCUUGUUACCACCCUGAUUCAUCUACCUUGUUUCUGAACACCCACUUUAUUCCAAUGAUGUUCAUCUGAUCUAUUUUGGGAACUAGGAGCCACACAUCAUUCCUGACAAAUUGGUUUAGCUCCUCAUGCAUAACAGCAGUCCAAUUCUCAUCCUUGAGAGCUUCAUCAACUUAUUUGGGUUCAACUUGAGAGAUGAAGGCCAUGCUGCAGUAGUUUGCUAUGGUUUUUCGUGUAGAAACUUCCUUAUGAAUUUGUCCAAUUAUGUUUUCCACAGAGAGGUCUCUUGGAAUCCUUCAUUCCUUGGGUAGCUCAUCCUAUUGCAGAAUAUCAAUCGGUUGUUUUUCUAGACAGGUUUCUAGAUUCUUUAGAAAGAUGUUCUGCUCAUCUUCUUUAGCACAAUUCCUCAAGAAACUUUGUUCUGUAGGGUUAGUUUCAUCAAAUACAACAUGUAUAGAUUCCUCUACAGUCAUGAGUAUUUUAUUAUAAACCCUAUAAUCAUGACUAGAUAAAGAGUAACCAAGAAAAAUAUCAUUGUCUGCUUUCUCAUCAAAUUUUCCAAGAUUUUCUUUACCAUUAUUCAAAAAUAUAACACUUACAUCCAAAUACCUUUAGAUUACCUAUAUUGGGUUCCUUCCAUUGAGCAUUUCAUAUGGAGUCUUCUUCAAGAUAGGCCUGAUGAGAACCCGGUUCAUCACAUAACAUGCAGUACUUACAACAUCUGCCCAAAAGUAUUUUGGCAAGGUUACAUCUGGUAGCCACAGCCUUAAUUGGUUGCUUCUCAAUUGAGCUAUAUGCGACCAAGUGCCGCUUCAUCUCUUUGUUCUCCCUUCGGAGGACAUGUAUCUCCUCCUCAUUCUUCUGCCUUAUCUCUGCCAUCUCCCUUUGUGGGGAUAGAAGCAAGACCAUCUGGUCGGCUUCAGUUAUCCUCUUGUAAGUCAUGUUUCGUGUUGAUAUCAUUUACUUCUAUGACUUCUGCUACUCUCUCGGUCCCACGGUAAACACCAAUUAUACUUGUAAAGGGCUAAGACAGUAUUUGCUACCUGUUUGACAACUAAUUCCUCCCCUCGGUCGUGCUUUACUUACUUUCCUUCUUCUUGCAUUCGGGUUUCGGCUCUUGACGGGAGUGCAUCUACAAAAGGUUCUUCGACGCUCAAGUGAGUAUUUAAUAUUUAGGUGUUAUUAAUGUUGUAAUAGUGAAGUACCUUUGCUUUGUCUAAUGUGCUUAUUUAUACCAUUGUAAUUGACUCUAUCAUUGAUGGGUCGUGUUUAUUGUGUAUAAUCAUAAAAAUGAAAUUACCUAAUAUAUCACGUAUUUCUUUUUAUCUUGAUGUAUUUACACUAGUCAGUCGUGCAACAUCUGAUACUUAGAGUUAUAGGAUCAUCCAACCUCGACCAAUACAUGUUUGAUCCAUCAAGAAGAGGUGCAAGUGUUGAACUUAAAUAUAAUAUUGUGGAUAUUCAAUGACUUCAAGAUACUAACCAUUUGAUCCAUUUAAUCUGGCAUAGAUAAGUGUACUAUGUCCUAUAUCCAACAUUUCAAGUAGACAAACAUGGUUGAUAUGUUGAAUUAAAACAAGCCUAAGGUCACAUUGACUCAAAGGUCACAUUGACUCAAAUGACAUGGAAGAGAACGUCCCUUACCAAGUAGAUCAAAUGUCACGUGCCAAUAAAAUCAUAAAAUCAUUGAAGUGGAAGGUAUAUUUGGAUUACAAAGGAAGAAGAGAAAACAAGAAGUUGAUGAUGAUGAUGAUGUGGAGGAGUAAGAAACAGGGUAAAGUAAAUGCAUGCGGCUAUUAAGACAGUAGCAUCGUCUAUGGCUUAUAUAUAUAUAUAUAUAUAUAUAUAUAACAAUGGCUUAUAUAUAUAUAUAUAUAUAUAACAAUGCUUGCGGCUCAUACAUACCCAUACAUGCAGUUCAUGUAACAAAACUUAUAAAUGUAAAUUGAAAAAAAAAUGAAAUACUUUUAAAUUAUACAUAAAACAAAUAGAAUCAGUGUAAAAAACGAGAAAUGAAAUCAAACUUUGUUUAAUUUAGUUUGAAAUAAAGGGAUGAGGCUACGGUGCUUCUUAUGUUGAAAUAAAAACAGAGUACAUAGCAUAUAGUAAGGCAAAACACAUAACAAAUUAUUGAACGGCAACUAUCUUUAUUUCAUAAGCAAUACGAGGAUUUCUGAAUGUAGUAUUAUAUGCUAAAAGGGAAAAGAAUUGACAAAAGUAACAACGAGAAAGCAAAUCCAAUAAACAGCUAAGUAAAGCCAAGCAAGCACAAUGUGAGAAAUGAUGAGAAACAGGGUAAAAUAAAUAUGAAUCUCUUUACUAUGAGCUCUACUCAAAAGAAAAACAAGGAAAGGAUCAGAAAAAAUGAAUUGCAACAAGGACACCAGGACUAAUUCCAUAACUCAAAGGAUCCGGCUGUUCUCACAUUACAAAUUUCUUUAUAAAUCUAGUAAAAGAAUUUUUCUUUGGCAUUGAUUCACUACAUAUUAGAUAGACAGAUGUGUUCUUGACUACCAAUCUAUUACCAAAACUCACAAAAAUCUCCACCUUGUCUCCUGAUCCUAAAUUUGACAUUAUGUCAGCCCAAUCUUCAUUAUUAAAGGAAAUUACCGUGCCAUGGUUGUGUAUCUGGCAUGUGAACUUCGUGUAAUUAACAAUUAAGACAGUACUAAGUUCAGGUUCAAUGAUUUCGGAGGUUGAUAAAUAAACAACACACAAAGCCAUUCCCUUCACCACACGAUCUUGAGGCACCGUGAAAGAAACAGAAUGUCCCUCACCCAUAUGGGCCAACCAAUAAGGAUCAUUGUCACCUGGGAGAGAAACAUCACAUGACUCACUGCUUUCAAAUACCUGUAUCAUGUGAUAAAAAAUGACAUGUUUAGUUAAACAAAAAUGUUAUACAUGAUUAAAACAUAUCUGGUUAAUUUGUGUAUAUAUCACUUUCAUUUCUUUAAGGAUUUAGAAUGCAUUUCUAUUUUUGUCUCUCUUAGUUUAUAUUUCUAUGAUCAUUGGGAAUAAAGCAAUCUUGAAGCUAGUAAAGCAAGAAAGUGGAAAUCAAUUUGGUAGUACUUAGUAUAAGCAUAAUCACUUGGUUAGUUGAUUAUAAAAAUAAGAUACUUUUAGAUGAAUUCGUGGGGCUAGCGAAGCGAAGGGUGCUAAAAGUUCAGUAUUGUAGUUUCUACAAGAUACUUAAUUAGGAUUAUUUUAUGUUCUCUCAAAUAAUAGCUAAAAUGAUGGUGAAGGUAAUAAACAAAGGGAAAGCGAGAGAAGAACCUUAGGUAUGAUAUCGCUCACAGUAUUGAAGAAUUCUUUGUAUCUUCCAACACCAGUCAGAGAAUACCUUACGUGAUGCUUUGAAAGAACUGAUUCUCUAACAUUUGCACCAUAUUCGGCCACUAUGGUUUUUACUUGCUCAGAUAGUUGAAACUCGGCGUCACAUUACACUGAAACGCUUCGAAGAUUUUCGAGGCUGCUAAGCAAUGGUGAUAUAUCAUCCCAAUUAUUAUCUUCCAUAUGCAUGAAGGAAUGAAUAUAAGAUACGGGAUUCAUUGUUGGCGACAUCCGAGACCGAAUGAUAAAAGGAAAAAGAUUAUGUGACAAUCCCUCUAAUCCACGUAGGGAUAUAUAUCCAAUGCUUUUGGGGCUUACAAUUGUAAAAGGCAGUUGUUUCAUAGCUGUAUUUUCAGCAAUUGUAGUCAUGAAGGAUUUCAUUCCCACUAUAUCUAUAUCCAUUAGGUCAAUCUUCGAACAACCAGAUAGAAUCAGAGUUUUUAAACAUUUCAGCUUAUAUAUCUCUCCAGGAAGAUUGCUUAGACUUGUACAGUCCUUCAAAUUUAGCAGUAUAAGAUUGGAGAGACAACCAAUAGAUUGGUGUACUUCGCGCAAUCUUGGACAAUCUUCGAGAAUGAGCUGUUCAAGACUUGGUAGUCCCGAAAAGUCAGGGGUUUCUAUCAAGUACUUGGAGUGACUAAGAUUAAGGACUUUCAGCCACGUCAAAACCUUCAAGAAUAUAGUUUUUGAUAAAAUAUUAGAGAAGAAAAUGAAAAAACGAAAUAGUUAUAACUGAAAACAAAUAAUAAUUUUAAAAGAAAAUGACAAGUAAUAAAAACCUGGGGUUCUUUCCAAACCAAUCGAAGAAAACUGUGUUUUAAAUCAAUCACUAUUGCAUCAUGCAAAUAAAAGUGGUUAGGUAGGUAUUCUGAAGAAAACCCUCGCAAACUGAUCCAUCUUAAUUUCGCAGAAAGGAACUUAGAAUCUGCAGCCAGUUUCAGAAGUCUUGAUGAGUCUCUUACACCUACAGGAGAAUCUCUUGUGGAAGGCCAACCCUGAAUGACUCUUGUCCCCGGUGAUGAAAAGAGCUAAGAGAAACAAAUAUAUUUCGCAUGAGAAAGCAACCACUUCCAAAAGAAGUUUCAAAACCAUAGAUUAAGAAUGUUCUUACAAUAGCAAGCUUCAUAUCCUCAUCAAUGAUUUCACCAAUAAUUUUUCUUCCCAUUUGUCGUAGUAACGAAUGCAUUCCUAAUUUGUUGUUCUUAUUAACUCGUAUGAGACUACGCUCUAUCAGAACUCUUAUUCCACUAUCAGCCUCUAUUCCACAGCCAUUUAGGAUCUUCGUAACAUAGGCUCUGCCUUUACCAACAAAGGAACAACAUAGAUCAAGGAAUAAAUCUUUUUCCAUUUGAUUGCAUAAACCGUCGAAGCUUAUUUUCAGUAUCUGAUCAAAUUUAAUAAGCUCGGGAAUUUUCUUUAGUUGUAAGAGUACUCUAUUCCAUUCUCGUUUCGUCCUUUCAUAUAAAUAACUUCCAAUGACUUCAAGAGCUAGAGGUAGUCCUCCACAAUAAGCAACUACUCUUUCUGCAAGGAAAAGAUAAUCUUCUUUUGGUUUUGCUUCUCUAAAUGCGUGCCAACUAAGAAGCUCAAGGGACUCAUCUGUGUUCAUUAGCUCUACCUGAAAAAUAGAAUCAGCUUGAGAUAUCAUCAGUAGGUUUUCAUGUGUUGUUGUAAUGAUUAUUACACUUCCUCCUCCAUACCAAUGACGGCAUUCCCAUAGUAAUGUGGCAUCAAACGGAGGCACAUCGUCAAGUACAAUGAGCACCCUUUUCCCAGAAAGUCUUUCCUCAAUCAUUCGUCUUCCCAUCUCAAAGCUAUCUAUCUCUACCUUCGUUUUUAGGACAUCUGAAAGGAUUUGUUCUAGUAAACGAAGACCCCCUUUUAUUCCGCUAAUUUGUCUAAUUUCUUCAAUGAAACUUUUCUCCGUGAAUGUACCAUGAAUUUGAUGGUAGAUGGCUUUAGCAAGGGUGAUUUUACCAGAUCCUCCCUGUCCACAUAUUGCUAUCCUACAAACUUCCGUGGAUUUAUUUUUGAUAGCUCGAGUAAGAUCCUCCAUGCGCGAUUGUAAUCCAACUGGAAAUUUAGUAGCAGACAAGACUGGUAAAUUAAGAACGGUCUUAACAAUUUUGUCCACCAGUUCAGCAUCACUCCUUCAAGUUCAAUAGCAAUCAUGGAAGAAGUCAAGUAGUACCAAAAUUAAAUGAGAAGCUGAAAACAUGGUGAUUGAGUGAGUGAUUUACCUGUAAUUGCUCUCAUCCCAUCCAAAGAAAUUUGCAGCUUUGGUGAGUGCGUGGCUCCAUUUGGACAUGGCAUGUGCCAGUUGUUGUCCUGAAAAUGUUUGGUGUGCAGUUGCUUUGAAGGCUUUUCCAAAAUCACCCAUCUGAAGACGCACAUCAGAUGGCUGAAUUUCGUAAUAAACGGGCAGAAGAUGUCGACAAUAAGUUUCUUGCCAUCUAAUGAUUUGUUGAAGCUGAUGAAGACACCAAGCAGAUUGAGAAUAGGUUUUGGUGAAAACAACAAUAGCUACACGAGAGAGAUUGAGAAUAGGUUGUUGGAUGUGCGUUUGGUUGAGUGCAUUGGGGUGGUGAAGGAAAGUGGUGAAGCCAACAGCAGAGAGGGCAGAAUCGAGAUGAGACACAAACUUCCUUUGGAUGUCUUCUCCACUAAAGUUGAUGAGUACAUCGUACAUCCGUGGGAGUUUGGAUGUUGAAGAGGCCAAUUCCAUGGAAGGAAUUGACGAGGUCAUGAACUUUUAGCAGAAGGGAAACCAAUAAUGCAACGCAGUCAAAUAUAUAUGUUUUAAUCAUAUUUGUUUUAUUUUUUAAUAUAUAUGUUUGCUGUGAGUGUGAUGUCAAAUAAUUUUAUUUUACAAUUUUUAUAGUCAAAUGAUAUCACAGAACCUCUUUUACUUUAGCCAUUUGUCCAACGCACGCAACUUUGAAUCACUGAAAAAAUAAAUAUUAUACUAAUACCUAUGAAAUUUUCUCCAAUAUAUUCCUUUUUUUUUUUAUAUUAUGCGUCCAUUUUUUAAGUUUUAAAAUAUAACAAAUGCAUCUUUGUUUACAUCACCCAUACACCUCGUUAACAUAAAUCAUUGUAACAGAAUAAAAAAAAAAGUAUAAAUAUAAUUUGAAAAAAUUUACGACAGGUCAUUUUUGAUAAACAAAGUAAAGGAAUUUAAUGUCUCUUUAUUAAAAUAUAAGAAUGUUAACGUCAUCAUUAAAAAUAUUAGUUAAGUGAAUGUCUUUUCUAAAAUUACAUUAUAGUGUCAUUUUAUUAUAAAUUAAAAAAAUGUUUUAAUGUUAGAGGAAAUAUGUGCCUAUAACUUCAAAAAAAAAAAAAUACAUGUAAUUUUCUCUUUUAUUUAAAAUACAGAUUGUAAAAAAAUGAAUGAAAGUGAUAAAUUUGAUAUAAUUUUAUUUAUUACCAAAGUGAUCAAAUCUUUAAGUUUUAUUUAAUUCCAGAUUACUGAUAAAUUUUAUUCCAAUUACCUAUAGAAUGGAUGCUAAAUUAUUUAUAUAUAUGGGUAAAUGGAAAUUCAUUAUUAUAGGGCAUUAUGGAUCACCCAAAGGUUGAUUAGUUGUCCUUAUAAUUAAUGGAUAUGACUGUUGGUAGUGAGUAUGUGUUAUUAGUUUUGCUUGUAUAUCCAAAGAUAACAAGUGUUUCUAGUUAAUGCAUACAUCUUGCCAAAUAAAGUUAAUACUAUUAGCAUCAUUAUGUUUUGUGUAUUAAUGAAUCUCUCAAAGGAGAACAUUAGUAUACAUAGAAUGCUUUCUGAAUCUGUAUAGAAUGUUUAGUUUAUGACUCAAAGUAUUAAUGUUAAGCAUGUGUGAUCAAGUAUUGUUCCUAUAUCUUUAUGCGAAUGAGCAUAACAAUUAAUAUUAAGUCUGCUCUUCCCAAAACUGAUGGUGCAAAAGAAUUUAUGAAAUUUGUGGAAGAGCGCUCCCAAACUACUGAUAAGUCUCUUGUUGGGNNNNNNNNNNNNNNNNNNNNNNNNNNNNNNNNNNNNNNNNNNNNNNNNNNNNNNNNNNNNNNNNNNNNNNNNNNNNNNNNNNNNNNNNNNNNNNNNNNNNNNNNNNNNNNNNNNNNNNNNNNNNNNNNNNNNNNNNNNNNNNNNNNNNNNNNNNNNNNNNNNNNNNNNNNNNNNNNNNNNNNNNNNNNNNNNNNNNNNNNNNNNNNNNNNNNNNNNNNNNNNNNNNNNNNNNNNNNNNNNNNNNNNNNNNNNNNNNNNNNNNNNNNNNNNNNNNNNNNNNNNNNNNNNNNNNNNNNNNNNNNNNNNNNNNNNNNNNNNNNNNNNNNNNNNNNNNNNNNNNNNNNNNNNNNNNNNNNNNNNNNNNNNNNNNNNNNNNNNNNNNNNNNNNNNCAGCUUCUUGAAAUUAUACACACUGAUAUAUGUGGACCUUUUGAUGCAAGUUCUUUCAAUAAAGAAAGGUAUUUUAUCACCUUCAUUGAUGAUUUUUCACGUUAUGGUUAUGUCUAUUUACUGCAUGAAAAAUCGCAAGCGGUGAAUGCCUUGAAAGUUUAUAUAAAUGAAGUGGAAAGGCAAUUAGACAGAAAGGUGAAAAUUGUCAGGUCAGAUAAAGGUGGUGAAUAUUAUGGAAAGUAUGAUGAAAGUGGACAACACCCUGGUCUGUUUGCUAAGUUCCUUGAGAGACGUGGUAUUUGUGCUCAAUACACAAUGUCUGGUACACCACAACAAAAUGGUGUUUCAGAAAGGCGUAAUCGAACCUUAAUGGAUAUGGUUAGGAGCAUGUUAAGGAAGUCAACUGUACCUGUUUCAUUGUGGAUGUAUGCUUUAAAACUGCCAUGUAUCUGUUGAACAGGGUUCCUAGUAAGGCAGUUCAAAAGACACCUUUUGGAUCAUGGACAGGAAGGAAACCCAGUUUGAGACACCUGCAUGUUUGGGGAUGUCAGGCAUAAGUUAAAAUAUACAAUCCGCAAGAGAAGAAAUUGGAUGCAAGAACAAUCAGUGGAUAUUUCAUUGGUUAUCCAGCAAAGUCAAAAGUGUUGGGUCUAUUAGUGUCUAAGUUCAAGAGGGGAGGGGUGAAUUGAGCUUAUAAAUUUUUUGCAAGAACACACAAUUUUCAGUAUUCCAGAGGCAAAAAGAACAGAUUGUUUUUAUAUGAAACAGAUUGAUUCUACAGAGCAGUCUUGGCACAGUUUGAAUUUGUUCAAUGUAAAAUUGUGAUUAACAGAGAAUUAUGACAGAAUCAGAUCAGCUUAAUAUUGUGAGGAUGAAAGCUAUGCUUAGGAACCACACAAAAUUACUCAACACACGAUUUUAAGACAAAUGAUUCUUUCUCAGAUUUAAUGAAUGGGCAGUUUAUUCACAAAUCACUUAAUCCAUCAUAUACAACAACCUUAUUUAUGAUCAGAGAACUUUAACAAACCAGGAAGAACAGUUUUCACUUAAACCUAGAAUUAACAGAUUCAAUUUCAAGAGAACAGAUUUAGUUCUUGACAGAAUUCAGUAAAACCAGAAACGAGUGCAGGGAUGAGAAGAAAAGGCACACAAGUUUUUAUACUGGUUCACUCACACAGAGCUACAUUCAGUCUCACCUUACCCCAAGGUGGAAUUCACUAAAAACAGUACCAAUUACUUACAAACACAGCAGUUCUUGAACCCUACAAGAACAACACAGUCAAUGCUGAAAAACCCUAUUUCAGCACACGUUGCACUCCAAGAAACCCUAUCAAGAAGUGACUAACACUUACACCUUUACAAACAAGAAUAAAGGAAAGAUUACACCUGAAAAGAAGAUGCAAGAACUCAAAACCAGUAGUUCAAUUUGCUGCAGAACUGCACCAGCACCUUCACCAAGAUCAAAGGUUUCCUAGAACAAGCACACUUGAAAAUCUCUUUGGAAAACCUUUUGAAAAUCUUUCAAUCCUUCUCCUCACAUGGAAAAUGUUUGAUCUCUGUCAAAAACGUAAUUGCUCAGCUUACUUUCAUGUGAGAAAGCCUUUUCUUUAUAUAGAAAACAGUUUCUAACUUCUUUUCAAAAAAAAAACGGUUGAAAAGCAGUUAUGAAAACAACAGAUUCAUUUUUGAACUUAACAGAUUUAUUUUGUGAAAAACAGCCAACUCAGCUUAACUGAAAUAACUAACUAAGCCUUACCUGUGGUGCCCUAACAGAAUUUUAGAAAAGCCUUUUAACAGAGAAGAAAUAAACAGAUUUUUUCUCCAUGAAACAGAUUUAUUUUUGUACUGUUUUAAAAUCUUUUAAGAGCACUUUUUAAAAGCUUUUCAUAAACCUUUUAACAGAGAAGAAAUAAACCGAUUCUUUCUCUAUGAAACAGAUUUAUUUUUGUACUGUUUUAAAACUUUUAAGAGCACUUUCAAAAGCUUCUCUGAGCAGACGGCGACCGUAGAUGGCAAUGCUCCACAUGAUCGCCGGUCGGUGGUCAGCAUAGCUACUUGAAAAGACGGUGUAUGAUCGCCGGUCGGUGGUCAGCAUAGCUACUUGAAAAGGCGGUGCAUGAUCGCCGGUCGAUUUGAGGCAGAACACUUUCAAAAGCUUUUCAAAAACCAUUUAACCACAUCAUGUGCUUGAUCUAGGCUUGGUUAGGCAUCUAGGGUGGGUUAUAUAGCAAAAGGCAACCUUUACACAAUUACAAGCCUAAUUACAAACUAAUCUAAAAACCUAUUACAAUCUUCAAAGCACCCAAGCUAUUUUCUUCAUCAAACACACAUCAAGCCUUGGUAGGGAAGAAGCUUCCUCCAGCUUCAACAAAAAGGGUAUAUGUUUUACUGUCCUACCCAUAGCACAAGAAUUGUUGAAUCUGGAAAUGCAAGGUUCAUUGAAAAUGGUGAAACCAGUGGGAGUAAUACUUCACAAAAUGUGGAGAUUAAGGAAGUUAGAGUACAAGUUCCUUUAACUAGUACCUUUACUUCAAGUAUUGUUGUUCCUAAUGUAGUUGAGUCACUCAACGAUGAAGAAGAACAACAAAUUAAUGAUCAUGAAGAAAACAAUGAACCUGUAGUAGAACAACCACAAGAAAUAGUAUUAAGAAGAUCUCAAAGAGAAAGAAAGUCUGCUGUUUCGAAUGAUUAUGUGGUUUAUCAACAAGAGUCAGAAAAUGACUUAAGUAUUGAUAAUGAUGUAUGGGACCUUAUAGAAUUGCCAGAAGGAUGCAAGAGAGUCGGGUGUAAAUGGGUCUUUAAGACUAAACGUGACUCUCAUGGCAAUAUCGAACGUUACAAGGUCCGACUUGUUGCCAAAGGUUUUACUCAAAAGGAUGGCAUUGAUUAUAAGGAGACAUUUUCACCUGUUUCUAAGAAAGAUUCCUUUUGAAUUAUCAUGGCAUUAGUAGCUCAUUAUGAUCUUGAGUUGCAUCAGAUGGAUGUCAAAACUGCUUUUCUGAAUGGGGAUUUAGAAGAGGAUGUUUAUAUGGACCAACCAGUGGGGUUUAUUGAAGAAGGAAAGGAACACAUGGUGUGUAAACUUAAGAAAUCAAUAUACGGGCUUAAACAGGCUUCUAGGCAAUGGUAUCUUAAGUUCAAUGAUACUAUUGUGUCCUUUGGGUUUAAGGAAAACAUCGUUGAUCGGUGUAUAUAUCUGAAGGUCAGUGGGAGCAAGUUUACAUUCUUGAUUCUGUAUGUUGAUGAUAUCUUGCUUGCAACUAAUGAUCUUGGUCUAUUAAGUGAGACUAAGAAGUUUCUCUCUAAUAACUUUGAGAUGAAAGAUAUGGGUGAGGCAUACUAUGUGAUAGGAAUUGAAAUAUUCCGUGACAGAUCACAAGGACUGUUAGGUUUGUCUCAGAAAGCAUAUAUUAAAGUUUUAGAGAGAUUCAGAAUGGAUAAAUGUUCGACAUCUCCUGUUCCAAUAUAGAAAGGAGACAAAUUUAGUCUCAUGCAAUGUCCAAAGAAUGACUUGGAACGGAAACAGAUGGAGAAUAUACCUUAUGCAUCUAUUGUUGGGAGUUUAAUGUAUGCUCAAACUUGUACACGACCAGAUAUUAGUUUUGUAGUUGGUAUGCUUGGUAGAUACCAGAGUAAUCCAGGAUUGGAUCAUUGGAAAGCUGCAAAGAAAGUUUUAAGAUACUUGCAAGGAACGAAGGAUCACAUGCUUACUUAUAAAAGAUCUGAUCAACUUGAGGUGAUUGGAUAUACAGAUUCAGAUUUUGCUGGCUGUGUGGAUACACGAAAGUCUACAUUUCGUUAUGUGUAUCUUUUAGCCGGAGGAGCGAUUUCAUGGAAAAGUGCGAAGCAGUCAGUCAUCGCUGCGUCCACUAUGGAGGCUGAAUUUGUGGCAUGCUUUGAGGCCACAGUUCAGGCUAAUUGGUUGCGGAAUUUUAUUUCAGGACUUGAAAUUGUUGACAGUAUUGCCGUGCCCAUAAUGGAUCUAUUGUGAUAACUCCGCAGCAGUCUUCUUUUCUAAAAACGACAAGUAUUCCAAAGGUGCUAAACAUAUGGAAUUGAAAUACUUUGCCGUUAAAGAAGAAGUUCAGAAACAUAAAGUGUCAAUAGAACAUAUUAGCACUGAUCUUAUGAUUGCUGACCCUUUAACAAAAGGGUUACCGCCCAAAACAUUUACUGGUCAUGUUGUAAAUAUGGGCAUUAUGUCUACUAGUGAAUUAUGAAUGUUGUUAAUGCUUAUUUGACACUCUGAGCUCAUUGAUAAAUAAAGUUUCUGAAAUUUAUGUUGUUUUCUACUUUAUGUAUAUGCAUGCAAAUUAUGUUAUUAUGGUGUCGAAAACAAAUUAUGUUGUUAUUGAUGACAAUGACAUUAUGUUUGAACCUAUUAUGAAUUUCUCACUAUAAAGUCAUAUUAAGGAGAAAGAAUGAUAUAGUAGUACAUGGAAGGAAAUGUGUUGAUUCAAAUGACAUGUAACCGCCAUGACUCUUAUUAUUUCUGUAUUCUUGAUUAUGAAUAAUGAUAGAACCAAUUUAUGUAAGGCCUUUUAAAUGCACAUUUAUGUCAUUAUUAAAUCAUGAAAGUAUUAUAACUCAUAUGAGUCAAGUGGGAGAAUGUAAGAAAUUAUGUAAAUUAAUUUCUAUAAAGUGACUCACAUGACUUAGAGUUUGGGUUUUGGGCCCAAAUAUGAUUUAAUAAUAAUAAUAGAAUAAAGGCUCAUUGGUUAAUGUGAGAAAUAUAUAUAUCUGAUGAUAUACCUAAUGGAAAACCUACAUCUGAUGGAGAUUGGGUACUAAAGGCUAUAGGGUUCUGUCUCUGCAAAUAAUAGUUGUCUCACUGUUAACCAUCACGAAAAUGCGUGACAAGUACGGAAUUGCUAAGAGAUAGAUUGGGAUAAAGGAGAUAAAGUAACUGCUCAAUUAGGAUCACUCAUGGAUCAAGGUAAGUGCCUAUUUCUUCUUCACUUUAUGUUUUGUGAGAAUCAUGAUAUGAUAAGAUCUAUAUGUGAACACAUUAUUGUAUUUGUUUAAUUUACGUUUAUUCAUGUUUUGACUUACAUGACUGUGUUGCAUUAUUGCUUUCUCUUCUAAACACUUCAUCAACUCAUCACUUCCUUCCAUGGAAUUGGCGUCUUCAUCAUCAAAACUGCAAGAAUGUACGAUGUGCUCAUAAACUUUAAUGGAGAAGACAUCCAAAGGAAAUUUGUUUCUCAUCUCGAUUCUGCCCUCUCUGCUGUUGGCUUCACCACUUUCCUUCACCACCCCAAUGCAGACAACCCAAUCCACAUCCAACAACCUAUUCUCAAUCUCUCUCGUGUAGCAAUUGUUGUUUUCACCAAAUCCUAUUCUCAAUCUGCUUGGUAUCUUAAUCAGCUUCAACAAAUCAUCAAAUGGCACCAAACUUAUUGCCGACAUGUUCUGCCCGUAUAUUACGAAAUUCAGCCAUCUGAAGUACGUUUUCAGGAGGGUGAUUUUGGAAAGGCCUUCAAAACAACUGCACACCAAACAUUCUCAGGACAACAACUGGAGCAUGGCAUGUCUAGGUGGAGCCACGCACUCACCAAAGCUGCAAAUUUAUUUGGAUGGGAUGAGAGCAAUUACAGGUAAAUCACUCACUCAAUCACCAUAUUUUAAGCUUCUCAUUUCAUUUUGGUAAUGCAUGAAAUGACUUCUUCCAUAAUUGCUAUUGAACUUGAUGGAGUGAUGCUGAACUAGUGGACACAAUUGUUAAGACCGUUCUUAAUUUACCAGUCGUGUCUGCUACUAAGUUUCCAGUCGGAUUACAAUCCAACGUGGAAGAUAUGAUUCGAACUAUCAAAAAUAAAUCCACGGAAGUUUGUAGGAUAAUGAUAUGCGGAGAGGGAGGAUCUGGUAAAACCACCAUUGCCAAAGCCAUCUACCAUCAAAUUCAUGGUACAUUCACGGAGAGAAGUUUCAUUGAAGAUAUUGAAGAAGUUAGCGGAAUAAGAGGGGAUCUUCAUUUACAAGAACAACUUCUUUCAGAUGUCCUAAAAAGAAAGGUGCAGAUAGAUAGCGUUGAGAUGGGAAGAAGUAUGAUUCGGGAAAGACUUUCUGGGAAAAGGGUGCUCAUUGUACUUGACGAUGCGACUGAGUUUUUUGCAUUAUUCGACCUACGGGAAUGCCAUCAUUGGUUCAGUGUAGGAAGUGUAAUAAUCAUUACAACGAAAGAUAAAAACCUACGGAGUAUGCAUGAUGUUGAUUCUGUUUUUCGCAUAGAUCCAAUGAAGGCAAAGGAGUCCCUUGAGCUUCUUAGUUGGCACGCAUUUAGAGAAGCAAAACCAAAAGAAGAAUAUCAUUUCCUUGCAGAAAGAGUAGUUGCUUAUUGUGGAGGACUACCUCUUGCUCUUGAAGUCAUUGGAAGUAGUUUAUUUGAAAAGACUAGAGAAGAAUGGAAUAGUGUGUUUAUUAAAUUAAUGACAACUUCCAUGCAUGGUAUUCUACAUCAAUUGAAAAUAGGCUUUGACUCUUUACGCAAUGAAAGGGAAAAAAAUGUAUUCCUUGAUGUAUGUUGUUUCUUUGUUGGUAAAGACAGAGCUUAUGUUACGAAUAUACUAAGUGGGUGUGGAGUACACGCUGAGAGUGCAAUAAGAGUUCUGAUAGAGCGUAGCCUCAUACAAGUUAAAAAGAACAACAAAUUGGGAAUACAUCCUUUGCUACGAGAAAUGGGAAGAAAAAUUAUUAGUGAAAUUUCAAGAAAGGAAUCUGUGAAGAGCAGUCGAUGGUUCAUUGAUAAGGAUGCGGAAUAUGUAUUGACAGAUAAUAUAGUAAGAAAUUCUCUAUAUAUGGUUUUGAAAGUUCUUUUGGAAGUGUUUGCUUCCUCAUGUGCAAAACAUUCAUUUGGUUUACUUUGCUUCUUUCAUCACAGGGGACAGAAGCCAUUGAGGGAUUCAUUGUGAAACUGCGUUCCGCCAGAAGAGAUUGGAUCGAAGCAUAUCCUUUAGAGAUAAGAGACAUAUCAAAACUGUUGCAACUCGUUGGGUAUCGUUGUAAGCUCAAAAUACAUUGGAUAUAUAUACCUACGUGGAUUUGAGGGAUCGUCACAUAAUCUUUUUCCUACUAUCAUUCGGUCUUGGAUGACACCAACAAUGAAUAUAAUUGUUGGGUUUUUAGAAUAUUUCAGAGGAAGAUAUUUUAUUAUCUUUGCUAACAAUUACAUUUAUAGUAACUGCAGUAACAAACUCUUAACUAAUUUUAUGAGCAGUUACCUAGAAAUAUUAAAUCAACAAUUAAAACAGAAUAACAAACCGUUAAAAAAUCAUAAUUUCCAACACUCCUCCUUGAUUUUUUGAACUGCAACUUCCAAUCUUCUGUCUUGAGAACUCAAACUUGUUGGUUGGAAGUGGCUUGGUAAACAAAUCUGCAAUUUUUAUUUUUUUCAUCCUCGCUUUGCUUAAUCUCCAUUCAACACCUUUUGAUUUGACAUAAGGUGCAGAUUCUAAAAGACUUUUGUCAAAGCCUAAGCUGAUAAGAUAACAUUUGUCUUCUUUUCCUUCCACAAUGAGACCUUUAGGUUGCUCAACAGAAAUUUUCUCUUCAAGAAAUCCAUUUAGGAAUGUUGACUUGACAUCCAUUUGAUGCACCUUUCUAUCUCGAAGUAUGUUAACAAGUUCCCGAGUUUUGUUCUUCUCACUCAUAUAUACCUCUUCCUCCAUUGCCUUUGGGCCGUUGAUAACUUUUUUGUGAUCAACAGGUUCUUUGUGAUCCGCAGCUUCUUUGUGAUCCACAGGUUCACAUAUUGCAACGUUAUAUCUAUGAUAUAUGUCAGAGAGUAAUCGAUUGCCUUUAAUUGGUGGAUCGUCUUCUAUUUCAGAUUUUUGCAUCUUGAGAAGUCCUUGAUUAGACGGCUCCUCCUGAAAUAGAUCUAAUGAGAAAUUUUUGCCUUUCAUUUGUACCUUGAACAAAUCUUGUCCUGUAGCAUCCUUGAUCGAACAGUGGUUAUCUUCAAAAAACACCUUGAAGCCUUUUUGCAGCAACUGACCAACACUCAAUAAAUUUUGGUCUAUGUUAGGUACAUAUAACACAUCAGUAAUAGUUUUAGUACCUGAAUGUGUUGUUACAACAAUGGUUCCUAUUCCUUUUACUGAAAUGUGACCCCCAUGGCCUAUCUUGACCUUUGAAAUUUUUGAAGGCUUCAACUCCUUGAAAUUUUUUUUGUCAUAAGUCAUGUGAUUUGUGCUUCCACUAUCAAUUAACCACGAUGCACUUGAAAUAUUGUUGGAGAAUCCCCCUCCACAUUUGCAAAUUGAGCAUCUACGUCUUUUUGCUCACUUUGGUUUACAUCUUGUUGCUCACUUUGGUUUCUACAAAUGACUGCUUCAUGCCCAAGUUGAUUGCACUUGUUGCACUUCGCAUCAGGUCUUCUCCAACACUUAAACGGUGGAUGACCUAACUUGUUGCAAUGCUUACAAGGAGGGUAAUUUCUCCUUUUGUUGUUAUUGUGUGCAACAACUUCUCCAUUUUCUUGCUGGUUCUGCUUGAUCUGACUACCUUUGUUUCUCCAACCACCUUUAUGGUUGGCUGUUAAGGCUCCUUCUAUUGCUCCAUCUUGUCUCAUAGCUCUUCUUUGUUCUUGUGCUUGUAAAGCAUUUCAUAGCUCUGCAAGAGAAAUCUUUGAUAGGUCCUUUGUGUUCUCUAUGGUUGUUAUGGUGGCUUCAAACCUCUCUGGAAUCGUUACAAGCAGUUUUUCCACAAUUCUUCAAUCUUUUAAGACAGAUCCAAGCAAUCUCACUUUGUUGGCAAUGCUUAGAAGUCAGUCAAAAUACUCUUUUACGGUUUCUGACUCCUCCAUUCUCUGCAGUUCAAACUCCCUGAUUAGAUUCAGCACUUGCAUUCCACAAAUCCUCUCAUCACCUUCAUAUUCGGCCUUGAGGUAAUCCCAGAUUUCUUUUGCUGACUUCAAUGACAUUAUCCUUGUGAAUACCAUAGGAGAUACAACUGCAAAUAGACAUGUUUUUGCCUUUGUACUUUUCAUCUUUUGUUCCUUCUGUGAUUUCAUUUGUGCCACAGUAGGGUUUUCUGGAAGAGACUGAAUUUCCUCUUCUGCAGCUUCCCAUAAAUCCAAUGCUUCUAGGUAGGUCUCCAUACGAACAACCCACAUUUGAUAAUUGUCUCCAUUAAAGACAGGUGGUGCCAUUGCUGAAAAAUUGAAACCUCCUUCCAUUGAUGCAAUCUACUAACCUCACUGAUCCCUCAAGAAGAUAACUCUGAUACCAAUUGUAGGUUUUUGAGAAUAAUUCAGAGGAAGAUAUUUUAUUAUCUUUGUGAACAAUUACAUUUAUAGUAACUGCAGUAACAAACUCUUAACUAAUUUUAUGAGCAGUUACCUAGAAAUAUUAAAUCAACAAUUAAAACAGAAUAACAAACAGUUAAAAAAACAGAUUUUUCAACAGAAUCCCCCAUCUUAUUUUCAUUCGUUUUGCACGGAUAUGGAGGAUAAUAAUUGGGAUUAUAUUGCGCCAUUGCUUAGCACGCUUGCAAAUCUUUGAAGUGUUUUGGUGCAAUGUAACUCUGAGUUUCAACUAUCUAACCUCUACAAAAACUUGUGAAAUUUCGCCCUAAUAUCUGAAAUUUUAUUCUGGGUUCAUAUUGCGCUGAAAAAAUUCACACAACUACUUUCAUAUGUUGUUUGCACCCAGGUAAGGAGGCACGUCCAUAAACAAAUCACAAAAAGAAGAUACGGGGGAGAAAAGCCAGGACGUUUUGUUUUCCGAAAACCAGUUUUGUUCACUCUCGGUCUGGGACUUAGUACGCCUUAUUCCUUAGGUAUUUUGUUUUGAAAUUUUUACCAGAUGUUCGUCACUGUAUCUACUGAGUUUUGGCUGAGAUUUGAGCCCCAGUUUCGUUUCACGAGACUGUCAAUAAAUUAUUUUUGAUCACUGCCAUGGCUAAGAGGAUGGUUCGGUUGUGUGUGAAACUGUUUGAUUUUUUCACGGGUGAAUACUCAUCCGUUUGACCUGGAAUUUGUUGCAUUUUGUCCCAAAUUCAGUGGAGAUUCUUACGUGAAGUUUCAGAAAAAACUAAUUCCGAGAAUUUUUCAGAAAUUUCGUGCAAACCAAGGCUAUCCUCUACCAAAACCUGUGAAAUUUCGCCCAAGUAUUUGAAAUUUUAUUGUGGGUCCGUAUUGCGCUGAAAAAAUUCACACAAGUACUUUCAAAUGUUGUUUGCACCCAGGCAAGGAGGCACAUCCAUAAAGAAUUCACAAAAGGAAUAUACGGGGGAGAAAAGCAAGGACGUUUUGUUUUAGGAAAACCAGUUUUGUUCACUCUCGGUUUAGGACUUACUACGCCUUAUUUUUUGAGUAUUUUGGUCUGAAAUUUUUACCAGACGUUCAUCACUGUGUCUACAGAGUUUUGGCUGAGAUUUGAGCGCCAGAUUCGUUCCACGAGACUAUCAAUAAACUUUUUAUUCAUCAGUGCCAGAGCUGAGAGGAAGGUUCGUGUGUGUGUGAAACUGUUUGAUUUUUUUCGUGGGUGAAUACUUAUCCGUGUGACCUGAAAUUUGUCGCAUUUUGUCCCAAAUUCAUCGGAGAUUCUUACGUGGAAUUUGAGGAGAAAACUAUUUCAAGACAAUUUUUCAGAAAUUUCGUGCAAACCAAGGUUAUGCUCUACCAAAACUUGUGAAAUUUUGCCCAAGUAUCUGAAAUUUUAUGGUGGGUCCGUAUUGCGCUGAAAAAAUUCACACAAGUAAUUUCAAAUGUUGUUUGCACCCAGGCAAGGAGGCACGUCCAUAAAGAAUUCACAAAAGGAAUAUAUGGGGGAGAAAAGCAAGGCCGUUUUGUUUUCGGAAAACCAGUUUUGUUCACUCUCGGUUUGGGACUUACUACGCCUUAUUCCUUGAGUAUUUUGGUUUGAAAUUUUUACCAGACGUUCGUCACUGUGUCUACUGAGUUUUGGCUGAGAUUUGAGCCCCAGAUUCGUCCCACGAGACUAUCAAUAAACUUUUUAUUCAUCAGUGCCAGAGCUGAGAGGAAGGUUCCUUUGUGUCUGAAACUGUUUGAUUUUUUUCGUUGGUGAAUACUCAUCCGUUUGACCUAGAAUUUGUUGCAUUUGAUCCCAAAUUCAGUGGAGAUUCUUACAUGAAAUUUCAGAAAAAACUAUUUUCGGAGAAUUUUUCAUAAAUUUUGUGUAAACCAAUGUUAUACUCUACCAAAACUUGUGAAAUUUCUUCCUAGUAUCUGAAAUUUUAUUCUGGGUCCGUACUGCGCUGAAAAAAUUCACACAAGUACUUUCAAAUGUUGUUUGCACCCAGGCAAGGAGGCACGUCCAUAAAGAAAUCACAAAAAGAAUAUACGGGGGAGAAAAGCUAGGAUGUUUUUGUUUUCGGAAAAUCAAUUUUGUUCACUCUCGGCCUGGGACUUACUACGCCUUACUCCUUGGGAAUUUUGGUCUGAAAUUUUUACUAGACGUUCUUCACUGUGUCUACUGAAUUUUGGCUGAGAUUUGAGCCCCAGAUUCGUCCCACGAGACUAUCAAUAAAUUUUUUAUUCAUCAGUGUCAGAGCCUAGAGGAAGUUUCGUGUGUGUGUGAAACUGUUUGAUUUUUAUCGUGGGUGAAUAAUCAUCCGUGUGACCUUAAAUUUGUCGCAUUUUGUCCCAAAUGCAUCGGAGAUUCUUACGUGGAAUUUCAGGAAAAAACUAUUUCGAGAGAAUUUUUCAGAAAUUUUGUGCAAACCAAGGCUAUCCUCUACCAAAACUUGUGAAAUUUCGCCAAAGUAUCUGAAAUUUUAUUCUGGGUCCGUAUUGUGCUGAAAACAUUCACACAAGUACUUUCAAAUGUUCUUUGCACCCAGGCAAGGAGGCACGUCCAUAAAGAAAUCACAAAAAGAAUAUACGGGGGAGAAAAGCCAGGACGUUUUGUUUUCGGAAAACCAGUUUUGUCACUCUUUGUUUGGGACUUACUACGCCUUAUCCCUUGGGUAUUUUGGUUUGAAAUUUUUACCAGACGUUCGUCACUGUGUCUACUGAGUUUUGGCUGAGAUUUGAGCCCCAGAUUCGUUUCACGAGACUGUCAAUAAAUUGUUUUUGAUCACUGCCAUGGCUAAGAGGAAGGUUCGUUUGUGUGUGAAACUGUUUGAUUUUUUUCAUGGGUGAAUGCUCAUCCUUCUGCUGUUGCUGUUUUAAUUCUGAUGUAAUCAAAACAAUAUCUUGUUUUAUCUCUUAUCUUUGUCUAUUUGUGAAGACAAAUAGGGGGAGAUAUAUGCUGUGUUUCUAGUUUGUUUUAAGUUUCUGUUUUUCAGUUGAUAAAACAGUUUGGAAUAUGUAAUAUAUCUCUGAUAUUAGAUGUUUUAAGCUUUAAACUGUUUAUCUGUAUGCUAACAAAAUAUCAGAAGUUCAAUGUAUUGCUCAAAGUUCUAUUGCAGGAACUGCUUCAUUUAAUCAGGUACAACACAAGCAUCAGGGAUUUGUCUUCAUCAAAUAGGGGGAGAUUGUUGAACCAAGUGGUGUUCAAUGUUUUGAAGAAUCCAAAUCCUUUGAAGGAUGUUGAAGCAUCUGCUUUGCUUGAUGUUGCUGUGCUGGUUUAAGCUUUGUUCUGGGGUAGUUUAUAUGUUGUAAUCAACCCUUCGAUUAAAUCUCAAGCAAUUAGCAUCUCAAUCUUUAUGAAAAUAAAAUGUUUUUCAAACUAAGUUGAAACAACCAAUUGUUUUGUCGAAACAACCGAUUGUUUAUACUUAGGUGUUUUGAGAAAGAUUGAAAACUGUUUUUGAAUGGUUGAAACUGUUAAGUACCAAAACAACCGAUUGAUUCGAGGAAGCAACCGAUUGUUUGUUUUGGAAUCAUAAUAGAAAAACUGUUUUGUGUUUGAUUGAGCUUUAAAUGCUUUAACUGUAUAUGCUCUAGUCAUUAAAUGCUUUGACCAAUCUUUUAAUGCAAUUUAAGAGUUUGUUAAGAUUUGAUAACAAACUACAUCUUUGAAUAUAUUAAGAAAAACAUAUUUGAGAAUUAAGAAUCUUUGACAAAGUUUUUCUAAAGAGUUUUUCAAAGAGUUGAGAUUGCUAAGAGUUUGUGAUUGAUCAAGGUGCUGGAAUAGGAUUCUACUUGUAUUGAUUUCAGAUAUUCAUUUGUAACAAGUGUAAUCUUUGUACUCUGUUUAACAAUUUGUUUUUGUGCUUGCUGAGAUUGGCUAUGUGUUCUUGAGGUGUUCAAGAUCAGCAAUCUUAGUGUUGGCCAAGGAGAGUGUGUUUCUUGAGGUGUUCAAGGUCAUUCUCUUGGUUGAUUGUGUAAGUGAUCAAGGUGUGGUUGCUUAGUGGAUAUCCUCAGGAUUUCUGGAAGACUGGAUGUAGCUCUGGUUUGGAGUGAACCAGUAUAAACAACUGUGUACAAUCUCUCUAUCCCUAACUCUUUAAAUUCAGUUUAUUUGUUGUUUGCUGGUAUAAACAGCCGAUUGUUUCUACGAAACAACCAAUUGUUUUUCUGGUACUACAACUUUUGCUUGCUGUUUUGGCUAACUGAAUUGCUGAAUCAAUUGGUUUCUAAGAUAAAUUCAUUCUAGUGUUUGAAGAUUUUGCGAAAACCCUUUUAAACUAUUCACCCCCCUCUAGUUUAAAGCCAUCUUUUCUAACAACUAUUUCGAGACAAUUUUUCAAAAAUUUUGUGCAAACCAAGACUAUCCUGAUGAGAAUCAAAUAAAGGAGGCUUUUAUUAUUGAAGGAAGAGGUCAUUCACCUACACAUUUGAAGUUCUUCCUUCUAGUCUUCUCAAAAUUAAAAGAAGAUAUAAAAUAAAGAGAGGAUCAAGCCUAAAGCCAAAGAAGUCUACAGGCUUUCAAGAAUAGGCUUCAUUUAAAUAUCUCUCUUUAUAGUUUCUUUUGUAUAAAAUUGUAGAUAAUAUAGAAAAGUGUUUAGGAAGGUGCUUAUAGGAAAACCAUAGAUACCUCUUUUGUAAAGCAUCUUUAGGCUUUAGUUUAGAAUUUUCUAGAAGGUGACUCUUCAUAAGUCACUAUAGGCGUUAGCUUAGGAGACUUUUGGGUAGCUUGUGGUACAAGCUUUGUAAGCUUCAUGACCAGCCCUUGCUCCUAUAAAAGGAGGGCUUAGGUCCUUCAUAAUGCAAAUUUGGAAUUUGUAGUAUCAAAACUCUCCCAAAUUGGUGAUUGAGUGUAGUGAGAACUUGUCUUCUCCUCUUCCUAGUCUCAUCUUGAGUGCCUUGGUUCUCUCAAGUGGCGGCAUUGCACACUUAUCUUGGAGCAUUCACACUUCAAGUGGUGUGUUCAUCAACCAAGAACUACAACCACAUAAGUCCUCUUUCUUCUCCAUCUUCUCAUUCCAUUUCCGUGCCUAUUUGAAUUCCUAAACAUGUCUUAGGUUCCUUUCUUGCUUUCUAUUCGGUGUUCUUGCUUAUUUUCAUGUUUCAAUCGGUUCAUCUUCUUUCUCCUUGGAUUUGUUCUGUCCAUUUCAGUUUUGAAGCAUUUUAAUCGGUUCAUUUCAUUUGUUAUGCAAUUUAAUCGGUUCAUUUGCAUUUCUACAUCUUUUAAUCGGUUCAAUUGACAAGAAAUGGAACUUCCAUGUGAGUUUGGGUUUUGGUACUAGUUUUGGUGAGUUCUUCAUUAUAGAACAUUGAUCCAAUUCUAUUAAAAGUUCCUAUUCAAUCUCCAACUCAAGUUGAUUCCAUAGAAUGUCAAAGAAUCAUCUCUUCUUUGCUAUUGGAUUCAUAUCAUAUCCUCUACCAAAACUUGUGAAAUUUUGCCCUAGUAUAUGAAAUUUUAUUCUGGGUCCGUAUUGCGUUGAAAAAAUUCACACAUGUACUUUCAGAUGUUGUUUGCACCCAGGUAAGGAGGAACGUCCAUAAACAAAUCACCAAAAGAAUAUAAAGGGGAGAAAAGCCAGGACGAUUUGUUUCCGGAAAACUAGUUUUCUUCACUCUCGGUCUGGACUUACUACGCCUUACUCCUAGGGUAUUUUGUGAUGCAAAUUUUACCAGACAUUCGUCACUUUGUCUACUGAGUUUUGGCUGAGAUUUGAGCCCCAUAUUCGUCCCACGAGACUGUCAAUAAAUUUUUUAUUCAUCACUGUCAGAGCUGAGAGUGAGGUUCGUUUGUGUGUGAAACUGUUUGAUUUCUUUCAUGGGUGAAUACUCAUCCGUUUGACCUGAAAUUUGUCGCGUUUAGUCCCAAAUUCAGUGGACAUUCUUACAUGGAAUUUCAGGAAAAAACUAUUUCAGGAGAAUUUUUCAGAAAUUUUGUGCAAACCCAGGCUAUCCUCUUCCAAAACUUUUGAAAUUUCACCCUAGUAUCUGAAAUUUUAUUCUAGGUCCGUAUUGCGCUGAAAAAAUUCACACAAGUACUUUCAAAUAUUGUUUGCACCCUGGCAAGGGGGCACAUCCAUAAACAAAUCACAAAAAUAAUAUAUACGGGGGAGAAAAGGCAGGACGUUUUGUUUUCGGAAAACCAGUUUUGUUCACUCUCGUUCUAGGACUUACUACGCCUUACUCCUUGAGUAUUUUUGGUCUGAAAUGUUUACCAGACGUUCGUCACUGUGUCUACUGUGUUUUGGCUGAGAUUUGAGCCCCAGAUUCGUCCCACGAGAGUGUCAAUAAACAUUUUAUUCAUCACUGCCAGGGCCAAGAGGAAGGUUCGUUUGUGUGUGAAACUGUUUGAUUUUUUUCGUGGGAGAAUACUCAUCUGUUUGACCUGAAAUUUGUCGUGUUUUGUCCCAAAUUCAGUGGAGAUUCUUACGUGGAAUUUCAGAAAAAGUCUAUUUUAGGAGAAUUUUUCAGAAAUUUUGUGCAAACCCAGGUUAUCCUCUUCCAGAACUUUUGAAAUUUCGCCCUAGUAUCUGAAAUUUUAUUUUAGGUCCGUAUUGCGCUGAAAAAAUUCACACAAGUACUUUCAUAUGUUGUUUGCACCCAGAUAAGCAGGCUUGUCCAUAAACAAAUCACAAAAAGAAGAUACGGGGGAGAAACGACAGGACGAUUUGUUUUCGGAAAACCAGUUUCGUUCACUCUCGGUUUUGGACUUACUACGCCUUACUCCUUGGGUAUUUUGGUCUGAAAUUUUUAUCAGACCUUCGUCACUGUUUCUACUGAGAUUUCAGCCCUAGAUUCGUCCCAAGAGACUGUCAAUAAAUUUUUAUUCAUCACUGUCAGGGCUGAGAGGAAGGUUCGUUUGUGUGCAAAACUGUUUGAUUUUUUUCAUGGGUGAAUACUCAUCCGUUUGAUCUGAAAUUUGUUGCAUUUUGUCCCAAAUUCUGUGGAGAUUCUUACGUGAGAUUUCAGAAAAAAUUAUUUCCGGAGAAUUUUUCAAAAAUUUUGUGUAAACCAAGGCUUUAUACUCUACCAAAACUUGUGAAAUUUCGCCCCAGUAUCUGAAAUUUUAUUUUGGGUCCGUAUUGCGCUGAAAAAAUUCACACAAGUACUUUCAUAUGUUGUUUGCACCCAGGUAAGGAGGAACGUCCAUAAACAAAUCACCAAAAGAAUAUAAAGGGGAGAAAAGUCAGGACGAUUUGUUUUCGGAAAACCAGUUUUGUUCACUCUCGGUCAGGGACUUACUACGCCUUACUCCUAGAGUAUUUUGUGAUGAAAAUUUUACCAGACGUUCGUCACUGUGUCUACUGCGUUUUGGAUGAGAUUUGAGCCCCAGAUUCGUCACAUGAAACUGUCAAUAAAUUUUUUAUUCAUCACUGUUAGGGCUGAGAGGAAGGUUCGUUUGUGUGUGAAACUUUUUGAUUUUUAUUAGGGAUGGCAAAGCGGGGCGGGCCGUGCGGGCCGGCCCGCGGCCCGCAGGUAAAAAACGCGGUGCGGGUUAACCUUUUCAACCCGCUAACCCGCAUUAGCACGCCCCGCAUUAGCCCGCAACCCGUGCGGGCUGGCCUGCAAACCCGCAAGAAAAAAAAAUUGGCACUUAGUAGCAGCAGGGCAACGUAAUUAGGUUUUCACAAAAUUUCAAAGAAAGAAACACAACACAAUCGCGCUCACAUCUCACAGGGGCUCAGUUGCUGCUCCCAAACGGUCCACACACAAACGCUUUCGGCAACACCGCUGCGACUCCGCUUGCUCACGCCGCUACUGCUCCAUUGCGUCGCCUCUGAUCACUUCCGCACUGCACCAUUGCUGCAGCUACUGCCGCCACUCCUUCUCCACCACACAAGGCAAGUUUUUUUCUACAAAUUAAUUGGAGAUUUAUGUUUAUGUUGUUUGAAAUUUUGAUAUAAAUUGGGGAUUUAUGUUUAUUUGAUUUGAAAUUUUGAUAUAAAUUGGGGAUUUAUGUUUAUUUGAUUUGAAGUUUUGAUAGAAAUUGGGGAUUUAUGUUUAUUUGAUUUGAAGUUUUGAUAUAAAUUGGGAAUUUGUGUUUAUUUGUUUUGAAUUUUUUAUGUAAAUUGGGGAUUUGUGUUUAUUUUGUUUGAAAUUUUGAUAUAAAUUGGGGAUUUGUGUUUAUUUGUUUUGAAUUUUUUAUGUAAAUUGGGGAUUUGUGUUUAUUUUUUUUGAAAUUUUGAUAUAAAUUGGGUAUUUGGGUUUAUCUGCAUAUAAAUUAGGGAUUCUAUAUUUUCCAACAGGAUCUUAAUUUGCAAAUUGAUUGUAAUGGAUGAAGAAUGUAACAUGCCUCUUUGUGACUUUGAAGAUGAUAAUACUGAGAAACAAUCUGAAACUGUUGAACCUGAAAAAAAGAAAAGGGAUAAGACUAGCACAUCUGAUUGUUGGAGGUAUUUUACUAGGAUUAAGGAGGGAAAGGAUGGAAAAGAAAGGGCAAAGUGCAAUAGCUGCAACAAAAUAUAUAUAACUUGCGGAAGAAAAUAUGGGACUUCUCAUUUAAAUCGUCAUAUUAUGAAAUGUGUUAAAAGAAAAUCUGAAGAUGUGGGUCAAAUGAUUUUGGAUAUGCAGGGAAAGUUGAAGGCAAAAAAAAUAGAUCAAGUUGUACAUCGGGAAUUGUUGUCUAAUCUAGUUAUUAGCCACAAUUUGCCUUACAAAUUUGUUGAGUAUCCCGAACUUAGGACUUGGAUAAACUACUUGUGUCCUGAUGCAAUUAUGAUUUCUAGAAACACUGUUAAGGCUGAUAUUGGGAGAAUGUAUAUGAAAGAAAAAAUAAUGCUUAAGGAAUUGAUUGCUUCCAUUCCUAGUAGGAUAUGCUUAACUUCUGAUUUAUAGACAUCUAUUAAUACUGAGGGUUUCAUAUCAUUGACUGCACAUUUUGUUGACCUGAAUUGGAAGUUAAAUACCAAGCUACUAAACUUUUGUCAUAUGCCUCCCCCUCACAUAGGUUUUGAGUUGUCUAAGAAAAUUAAUGAAUUUUUACAAGAUUGGGGACUAGAGAAAAAAAAAUAUUUUUUUCCCCUCUGACUUUGGAUAAAUGCUUCCUGCUAAUGUCCAAAAUACUUUAAAAAGGCAACUUAUUUUUCAAAAUGGUUUGAUAUGUGGUGGUGAAUUCUUUCAUGUUCGUUGUUGUGCACACAUAUUGAAUUUAAUUGUUCAAGAAGGAUUAAAGGUGCUUGGUGAUGCUUUGGACCAAAUUAGAAAUAGCAUCAAGUAUGUGAGGGGUUCGGAAAGUAGAAUGGUGAAAUUUAAACAAUGCCUUGAAAGGUUUAGUGAUAUUGAUGCAUCAUCUGGGUUGUGUCUUGAUGUCCCUACAAGAUGGAACUCCACAUAUUUGAUGAUUAAUAGUGCUCUUAAAUAUCAACGUGUUUUUGGAAGCUUGCAUUUGGUUGAUGAAUCUUAUAAAUAUUGCCCUACAGAGGAAGAGUGGGAGAGAGCUAGAAAAAUUUGUGAGUUCUUGUUACCCUUUUAUGAAAUCACUAACUUGAUUUGUGCUACAAGUUAUCCUACUUCCAACUUGUAUUUUUUACAAGUUCGGAGAAUUCAGCGUUUAUUGAUGGAAAAUGUGAAGGAUGAAGAUGUACUAAUUAAGAACAUGGCUAAAUUGAUGAUAGUAAAGUUUGAGAAAUAUUGGGAUGAAUAAAGCGUUGUACUUGCAUUUGGUGCAAUUUUAGACCCAAGGAUGAAGUUAGAAACAUUGGGAUUUUGCUUUGAAAAAAUUGAAUCACUUACUUGGGAACUAAAAUUGAAAAAGAUCAAGGAAAAAUUAUACAAACUUUUUGCUGAAUAUUCUACCAAAGGUUUCACAACAUCAUCAAGUGUUCAAAAGCAAAGGCAAGGACAAUCUUCAUUCUCAUCAUCUAUGUCUAAACCAAGUCUUUUUGAUGUAAGUUAUUUACUUUAAUAAUACUUAUUAAUGCACUUUAAUUCAUUUUUAAUUUUUUUACAGCAAUCCAUUAUACUGACUUAUUACAUCAUUAUAGGAAUUAAAAAUGCGCAAGCUUCAAGUAGCUAAUAAAGCUGGAAGGUCACAACUUGACACUUAUUUGGAUGAACCAACUUUGGAUUUUGACUAUUCAGAGGAGAUGGAUGGGUUAGAUUGGUGGAAAAAUAAUAGUCAACGUUUUUCUGAUCUUGCUUUAAUGGCUAGAGAUUUGUUGAGCAUCCCUAUAACCACAGUUGCAUCAGAAUCUGCAUUUAGCAUUGGUUCUCGAAUUCUUAACAAGUAUAGGAAUCGACUUUUGCCUGAAAACUUGGAAGCAAUCAUUUGUACUUCUAGUUGGAAGCAUGGAUUUUCUGAAGGUAAUUCGAUUAUUUUAUUUUAUUUUAUUUUUAUUGUUUUUUUUUAUCAGCAAUAAGGAUUGAAUAACAGGAACCACUUAAGGGGUGGUUCAACCCUAUACAUACCUAUAUAAUAUGAAUCAAAUCUCAGGUCUCCCAAACCAAUAAGAUGAGAGAGACAAAAAAAUCUACCACUAAAAACCCGUUCAAACCCGUACAAACCCGUACAAUCCCGUACAAACUCAAAACAAACCCAAUACAAACUCACUGCAACCAUAACAAGGGCCAAAAAGAACAACAACCCUUAUCCACCAACCCAAUAGCCCACAAAAACCAACAACCAUCGAAAUAGAGAUACCUAUCACCCUAAACUGGGUCAUGCCAAUUAAAUCGAUUUCAAACACGAUAAAGGAACAAGACACCAGUCAGAAAAGGAGAAGCAAACAGAGGGUAUUUUAGAAGUUACCCAUGACCAAACCUUCAAUUGAGCCAAAAGUUAUCUUAUUUUUAUGAAAAAUUAAUUAAUUAAUUGUCAUUGUUUUAAUAUAUGCAGAUGACGGGGAAGAUUAUAAUUAUGAAAAAAUGGAUGAAAGUUCUUCUAAGGUGGCAUCCAAUGUUAUUGAGAUGGAAGAAUGUCAAUAAUGUUUAUGUUUAAUGUUUUUGAAUUAAUGUUUAUGUUUAAUGUUUUGGAAUUAGGUAUUUUUAAUGUUUUGGAAGUGGAAGAAUAGUGAUAUUUGAUAUUUAUUUUAAUGUUUAAUGUUUUGACGUUUGACUAUAUUUGAAAAGGAAGGAAAAAAAAUUAGGUUUGAUAAUAAUAAAUAUAUAGGUUUAAUUUGACAAUUUUUUAAGAACAAAAUGUAAAAAAAAAAGAACGCGGGCUGGCCAGCAAACCCGCGGGCUGGCCAGCAAACCCGCGGGCCUGCUCUUAUGCGGGGCGGGUCGGGAAUUCUAGCCCGCAAUAACUUUGCAGGGCGGGAAACCCGUCCCGCAUUUUUGUGGGCCAAGCGCGGGGCGGGCCAAUGCGGGGCGGGCUGGCCCGCUUUGCCAUCCCUAAUUUUUAUCAUGGGUGAAUACUCAUUCGUCGCACGAGACUGUCAAUAAAUUUCUUAUUCAUCAAUGCCAAGGCUGAGUAUAUGGUUCGUUUGUGUGUGAAACUGUUUCAUUUUUUUCGUGGGUGAAUACUCAUCCGUGUGACCUGAAAUUUGUCGUGUUUUGCCCCAAAUUCAUCGGAGAUUCUUACGUGGAAUUUCAGGAAAAAACUAUUUCGGGAUAAUUUUUCAGAAAUUUUGUGCAAACCAAGGCUAUCCUCUACCAAAACUUGUGAAAUUUCGCCCAAUAUCUGAAAUUUUAUUGUAGGUCCAUAUUGCGCUGAAAAAAUUCACACAAGUACUUUCAAAUAUUGUUUGCACCCUGGCAAGGGGGCACAUCCAUAAACAAAUCACAAAAAUAAUAUAUACGGGGGAGAAAAGGCAGGACGUUUUGUUUUCAGAAAACCAAUUUUGUUCACUCUCGGUUUGGGACUUACUACGCCUUACUCCUUGGCUAUUUUUGUUUGAAAUUUUUACCAGACGUUUGUCACUGUGUUUACUGAGUUUUGGCUGAGAUUUGACCCCCAGAUUCGUUCCACGAGACUGUUAAUAAAUUUUUAUUCAUCACUGUCAAGGCUGAGAGGAAGGUUCGUUUGAGUGUGAAACUGUGUUGAUUUUUUUUAUGGGUGAAUACUCAUCCGUUUGACUUGAAAUUUGUAGCAUUUUGUCCGAAAUUCAGUGGAGAUUCUUACGUGAAAUUUCAGAAAAAAGUAUUUCCGGAGAAUUUUUCAGAAAUUUUGUGUAAAACAAGGUUAUACUCUACCAAAACUUGUGAAAUUUCUCCCUAGUAUCUGAAAUUUUAUUUUCGGUCCGUAUUGCGCUGAAAAAAUUCACACAAGUAUUUUCAUACGUUCGUCACUAUGUCUUCUGAGUUUUGGCUGAGAUUUGAGCCUCAGAUUCGUCCCAUGAGACUGUCAAUAAAUUUUUUAUUCAUCAGUGCCAGAGCCUAGAGGAAGGUUCGUGUGUCUGUGAAACUGUUUGAUUUUUAUCGUGGGUGAAUACUCAUCUGUGUGACCUUAAAUUUGUCGCGUUUUGUCCCAAAUUCAUCGGAGAUUCUUACGUGGAAUUUUAGGAAAAAACUAUUUCGGGAGAAUUUUUCUGAAAUUUUAAAAUUUCGCCCUAGGAUCUGAAAAUUUAUUCUAGGUCCGUAUUGCGCUGAAAAAAUUCAUACAAGUACUUUCAUAUGUUGUUUGCACCCAGAUAAGCAGGCACGUCCAUAAAUAAAUCACAAAAAGAAGAUACGGGGGAGAAACGCCAGGACGAUUUGUUUUCGGAAAACAAGUUUUGAUCACUCUCGGAUUUGGACUUACUACGCCUUACUCCUUGGGUAUUUUGGUCUGAAAUUUUUACCAGACGUUCGUCACUAUAUCUACUGGGUUUUGGCUGAGAUUUCAGCCCCAGAUUCGUCCCAAGAGACAGUCAAUAAAUUUUUUAUUCAUCAUUGCCAGGGCUGAGAGUAAGGUUCGUUUGUGUGUGAAACUGUGUCAUAUUUUUCGUGGGUGAAUACUCAUCCGUUAGACCUGAAAUUUGUCGCGUUUUGUCUCAAAUUCAGGGGAGAUUCUUAUGUGGAAUUUAAGGAAAAAACUAUUUCGGAAUAAUUUUUCAUAAAUUUUGUGCUAACAAAGACUAUCCUUUACAAAACUUGUGAAAUUUCGCCCUAGUAUCUGAAAUUUUAUUAUAGGUCCCUAUUGCGCUGAAAAAAUUCGCACAAGUACUUUUAUAUGUUGUUUGCACCUACGUAAGCAUGCACAUCUAUAAACAAAUCACAAAAAGAAGAUACGGGGGAGAAAAGCCAGGACGUUUUGUUUUCGGAAAACCAGUUUUGUUCACUCUCGGUCUGGGACUUACUACGCCUUACUCCUUGGGAAUUUUAGUCUGAAAUUUUUACCAGACGUUCGUCACUGUGUCUACUGAGUUUUUGCUAAAAUUUGAGCCCCAGAUUCGUCCCACGAACCUGUCAAUAAAUUUUUUAUUCAUCACUGUCAGCGUUGAGAGGAAGGUUCGUUUGUGUGUGAAACUGUUUGAUCUUUUUCGUGGGUGAAUACUCAUCCGUUUGGCCUGAAAUUUGUCACAUAGUGUUCCAAAUUCAGCGGAGAAUCUUAUGUGGAAUUUCAGGAAAAAACUAUUUCAGGAGAAUUUUUCAGAAAUUUUGUGCAAACCAAGGCUAUCAUCCUCUACCAAAACUUGUGAAAUUUCGCCAUAGUAUCUGAAAUUUUAUUCUGGGUCCGAAUUGCGAUGAAAAAAUUGACACAAGUACUUUCAUAUGUUGUUUGGACCCAGGCAAGGAGGCAUGUGCAUAAAGAAAUCACAAAAAGAAUAUACGGGGGAGAAAAUCCAUGACGUUUUGUUUUCGGGAAACCAGUUUUGUUCACUCUCGGUAUAGGACUACUAGGCCUUACACCUUGGGUAUUUUGGUCACAAAUUUUUACCAGACUUUUGUCACUGUGUCUACUGAGUUUUUGCUUAGAAUUGAACCCCAGAUUCGUCCCACGAGACUGUCAAUAAAUUUUUUAUUCAUAACUGCCAGAGCUGAGAGGAAGGUUCGUUUGUGUGUGAAAUUGUUUGAUUUUUUACGUGGGUGAAUAUUCAUCCGUUUGACCUGAAAUUUGUCGCGUUUUGUCCCAAAUUAUGUGGAGAUUCUUACGUGGAAUUUAAGGAAAAAACUCUUACGGGAGAUUUUUUUUCAUAAAUUUUGUGCAAACCAAGUCUAUCCUCUACCAAAACUUCUUAAAUUUCUCCCUAGUAUUUGAAAUUUUAUUCUAGGUCCGUAAUCCGCAGAAAAAAUUCACACAAGUACUUUCAUAUGUUGUUUGCACCCAGGUAAGGAGGCACGUCAAAAAACAAAUCACAAAAAGAAGAUAAUGGGAGAAAAGCCAGGACGUUUUGUUUUUGGAAAACUAGUUUUGUUCACUCUCGGUCUCAGACUUACUACGCCUUACUCCUUGGGUAUUUUAGUGUGAAAUUUUGACGAGAUGUUCGUCACUGUAUCUACUGAGUUUUGGCUGAGAUUUGAGCCUUAGAUUCAUCCUACGAGACUGUCAAUAAAAUAUUUAUUCAUCCCAGUCAGGGCUGAGAAGAAGGUUCGUUUGUGUGUGAAACUGUUUGAUUUUUUUCGUGGGUGAAUACUCAUCCGUUUGACCUGAAAUUUGUCGCCUUUUGUCCCAAAUUCAGUGGAUAUUCUUAUGUGGAAUUUCAGGAAAAAAAUAUUUCGGGAGAAUUUUUCAUAAAUUUUGUGCAAACCUCUACAUAUAAACUUGUGAAAUUACGCCCUAGUAUCUGAAAUUUUAUUUUGGGUCCGUAUUGCGCUGAAAAAAUACACACAAGUACUUUCAUAUGUUGUUUUCACCCAGGCAAGGAGGCACGUCCAUAAAGAAAUCACAAAAAGAAUAUACGGGGGAGAAUAGCCAGGACGUUUUGUUUUCGGGAAACUAGUUUUUUUCACUCUCGGUCUGGGACUUAUUAUGCCUUACACCUUCAGUAUUUUGGUCAUAAAUUUUUACCAGACGUUCGUCAAUGUGUCUACUGAGUUUUGGCUGAGAUUUGAGCCCCAGAUUUUUCUCACGAGACUGUUAAUAAAUUUUUUAUUCAUCACUGCCAGGGCUGAGAGGAAUGUUCGUUUGUGUGUCAAAUUGUUUGGCUUUUUUCGUGGGUGAAUAUUCAUCCGUUUGACCUUAAAUUUGUCGCGUUUUGUCCCAAAUUUAGUGGAGAUUCUUACGUGGAAUUUCAGGAAAAAAGUAUUUCGCGAGAAGUUUUCAGAAUUUUUGUGCAAUUUCGCCCUAGUAUAUGAAAUUUUAUUCUAGGUCCGUAUUGCACUGAAAAAAUUUACACAAGUACUUUCAUAUGUUGUUUGCACCCAGGUAAGGAGGCACGUCCAAAAAAAAAUCACGAAAAGAAGAUACUGGGGUGAAAAGCCAGGAUGUUUUUGUUUAGGAAAACCAGUUUUGUUCACUCUCGGUCUCGGACAUACUACGCCUUACUCCUUGGGUAUUUUGGUUUGAAAUUUUUACGAGAUGUUCGUCACUGUGUUUACUGAGUUUUGGCUGAGAUUUGAGCACCAGAUUCAUCCAACGGGACUUACAAUAAAUAUUUUAUUCAUCACUGUCAGGGCUGAGAGGAAGGUUUGUUUGUAUGUGAAACUAUUUGAUUUUUUUCUUGGGUGAAUACUCAUCCGUUUGACCUGAAAUUUGUCGCCUUUUGUCCCAAAUUCAGUGGAGAUUCUUCUGUGGAAUUUCAGGAAAAAACUAUUUCCAGAGUAUUUUUCAGAAAUUUUGUGCAAACCAAGGCUAUCCUCUAAAUUUCGCCCUGGUAUCUAAAAUUUUAUUCUGGGUCCGUAUUGCGCUGAAAAUAUUCACACAAGUACUUUCAUAUGUUGUUUGCACCCAGGUAAGGAGGCACGUCCAUAAACAAAUCACAAAAAGAAGAUAAAGGGGAGAAAAGCCAGGACGUUUUGUUUUCGGAAAACCAGUUUUGUUCACUCUCGGUCUGGGACUACUACGCCUUACACAUUGGGUAUUUUGGUCAGAAAUUUUUACCAGACGUUCUUCAUUGUGUCUAAUGAGUUUUGGCUGAGAUUUGAGCCCCAUAUUCGUCCCACGAGACUGUCAAUAAAUUUUUAUUCAUCACUGCCAGGACUAAGAGGAAGGAUCGUUUGUGUGUGAAACUGUUUGAUUUUUUCGUGGGUGAAUUUUUUCUGGAAACUCUAUGUUUUGUUUAAGUGAUCUUUAUUCUGCUGCUUUACUGCUGAUGUUUUGGGGUUUUAGCUGCUACUUUGUUUAAGCAAAACAUAAGUUUUGUUUUACUGCUCUAACCUCUCCCAUAUAUGUUGUACUUUGCUUAAACUUUGCUUUGCAGGAACUGCUUCAGAUUCAAUCAAGUCCAACACAAGCAACCAGGGAUUUGUCUUCAUCAAUUAGGGGGAGAUUGUUGAAUCAAGUGUGUUCAAGCUUUGAAGAAUCCAAAUCGUAGUGUUUGAUGUAAAGCUGGAGGUGCUCUUUGAUGUUGUUGUGCUUUAGAAUAGGAUCUGGGGUAGAUUAUAUUUGUAAUCCACUCUUUGUUGAAUAUAAAGCUUAAGUGUUUUCAAAUCUUUUAAGUUUAAAGUGUUUUUCAAACUAAGUGAAAAACAACUUGUUUAGUCGAAACAACCGAUUGUUUUAUACUUAGGUGUUUUUGAAAUUGUUGAAAACUGUUUUGGAUGGUUGACUUGCUGUCAAACCAAAACAACCGAUUGAUUCGCUAUUUCAACUGAUUGUUUGUUUGAAAUCCUAACAAAAAUAGUUUUGUUAGUUAAAUGAGCUUUAAUUGAUUUUAUAACUGAAUACGCUCCUGCUUUAAAUGUUUUAACCAAGAUUUGAAUACUAUAAAUAGUUCGUUAAUGUUUUAUAACAAACAAGAAGAAAGAAAAACAAAUUUGAGUUUUUCAAAGAGCUUUUCAAAGAUUUGAGUUUUCACUUUGAGCUUUGGUUAUUCAAGAGAGAAGUGGAAUAUGAUUACUCUAUAUUGAUUUCAGUUGAUUCUGUAACAGUGUAAUUCGUUCUAAAGAGUUGUGUGCUCUUGAGGUUGUUAACAUCAACAUUCUUGGUGUGUGUGCUGAGCCAAAGGAAGUGUGUUUCUUGAGGGGAUCAAGGUCACUUCUUUGGUGGUGUGUGUAUGUAAUCUGGAUUUGAUUACCUAGUGGAUUCCCCAGUGGUUUCUAGGAAACUGGAUGUAGCUCUUGGGUUAAGAGUGAACCAGUAUAAACUGUUUGUGCAUUUCUCUCUUCCUUAAACUCUUUAAUUUCAUUUUUUGUUAUUUUUACUGGUAUAUACAACCGAUUGUUUUUCUGGUGCUUUACUGGUUUGAGCUUUGUUCUUGGCAAACUGAGUUCCUAAAUCUGGUUUCUUGCAAAGAAUUUCAUUCUAUCUUAAAAAGUUUGCGUAAACCUCCUUUAAACCAUUCCCCCCCCCCCCUUCUAGUUUAAAGCCAUACAUUCUAACACAAGGGAAGUGGAGUGAGUGAGGCCAACAAAAGAUGUACCUGAAUGUGCAACAAAAGUCGUGGAACUAGGGUUCUGAUCCUCAUACCAUUUAAGAAAUUCAUUGAAAAUAGCAGGUUGGCCUGAGGUAUCAAUUAAAGUAUGGUCCAUAGUAGAAGGUUGCACAGGGGCAGUUUGUGCAACCGCAACAGAUUUAGGAGGACGACCAUGUAAGGAAUAACAUCUGUUAAUUUUGUGGCCAAGUUUGCCACAAUGGUCACACUUGUGACGCCCUUUGCCCGGCUUGUGAGGGCGAGGACGAUCAUUAUGCUGAGAGACUAAAGCAGAAGAAUCAUCAACAUGAGACGUUAUAUCAGUGGUGUGUUUACCUGGCACACACAAAAGGGUAGAACAAGUGUAAGUAAAAUUGGGCACAAUAGGAGAUCCCAAAAUUUGAUCACGAACAUGAUAAUAAUCAUUAGGAAGGCCAUGUAAACCCAAUAACAUGAAGAACUUGGAUCUUUGUUCUAGUUCUUGAGAAGGAGUGGGAGCAUGAGGUAAUAACUCAUUAAAAUCAUGAAGAAAAGCAUGAAGUUUACCCAGAUAUUAUGCCAUUGUACCAUCAAGACAUUUGGAAGCAACAAUUGUGAGAAGAUUUUGACACACACCAUAAAGACGUUGAGUAUCAUUGGUGUAUAAUAAUUUUGCUUGUUCCCAAACUUCUGAACAUGUCUCAUAGGUACGAAAUAUUUGCUUUAAAGAUGAGUGAAUGGUAGAUUUUAUAACAGUGCAUAAUUGAGCAUAAAUUUUCAACCAACGGGAAACCUCAUUUUCAGCAACAGUAGGAUGGGAAAGAUGAUCAACAUAACCUUGACUCUUAAGCCAUAAUUUAAUAUCUGAUGCCAAAGUGUCAUAAUUGGUUCCAUCCAAUUUGUCAAUGGAGAGAUGAACAUUGAUGUAAUUAGUAUAAAUAGAUGGAUUCGGCAUAAUGACUGCGAAAGAAGCCACAGUGGUAGCGGCAGCGGAAGAAGCCAUAGUGGCAGCGGAAGCGGAAGAAGCCAUAGAGGAUAAGGACAAAUCAAGUCACUUGUUAAUUGGCGACAACAACAAAGAUGAAGGCUCUGGCAGCGUCUCUGGCGGAGGCUCCGGUGAGAUUCUGGCGGCGACUCUAGUGAGAUUCUAGCGACAGCUCCGGCAAGGUUCUGGCGAGGUUCCAGUAGCGGCUCUAGCGAGGUUUCGACGGCGACUCCGGCGAGGCGGUGGGGCAGUGGCUGGAAAAUUCCAAUGAAUAGUGGGUUCACCAAAAAUUGAACCCUAACCCUAUGCUUUGAUACCAUAUUAAAGGAAAAGAAAGAAUAGGGUAAAUCCCUUGUGUAUAUUGAACACAUAGGGUUAUGUUUAUAUAAGAAAAGAAACAUAUGGGUUAAGCCCAUUACAUAAAUAUGAAAUAUCUAACAAUAUCUAUAAUAUAUAAUAAUAUCUAAUUAUAUCUAAUAAUAUGUAAUAAUACCUAACAAUAAUAAAAAUUUAUGCAAUAAGUUUGAGUUAUUAGAAAAUUAAUAUAUUUCUCCUUUUUAAAAUUGUCUUACAAUCGUGCUAGAAUUGUCAGAAAUCCAACAAAUAUUUUUUGAAUUGGACACUUCACCGAUACGUGUCCCACAAGUGUCGUACGAGUCUCAGUGUCCAAUACAGGUGUCUGACAUGGACACACCAUUUAAGAGGAGUGUUUGAGCCUUAUAGGACACAACAGCAAGUUUGGUCUCCCAAACCUUGCAUACUACUUACUUCCUUUCCUCAACGACAAAUUUCCCCACCUUUACUAUUGAGACGGAUUUAAGUCGACCUUUUCAUUGGUUUUGUAUCUGUACAGAUCAUCUUUUUGACUAUGUUGCAUUAUUGUUUCUCUUCUUCUAACACUUCAUCAACUCAUCAAUUUCUUCUGUGGAAUCGUCAUCUUCAUGAUCAAAUCUGCCAUGGAUGUACGAUGUGCUCAUCAACUUUAAUGGAGAAGACAUCCAAAAGAAAUUUGUUUCUCAUCUCGAUUCUGCCCUCUUUGAUGUUGGCUUUACCACUUUCCUUCACUACCCCAAUGCACUCAACACAACGCACAUCCAACAACCUAUUCUCAAUCUCUCUUGUGUAACAAUUAUUGUUUUCAGGAAAUCCUAUAUUCAAUCUGCUUGGUGUCUUCAUCAAUUUCAACAAAUCAUUAAAUGGCACAAAACUUAUAGUCUACAUUAUUAAGGAAAUAAUGAUUAUCAAAUUAUACGCAAUUAACUUGAUAAUGAUAGAAUCUCACGAUUAUUGGAUCACAAAAUCCCAUGAUUAGUGGACUACCACAUAUGGAGUGUUGUAAAUACACACAAGAAUAUAAGAAAUUACCAUUUUCUUAUAUGGUAUCAGAGCAUCGAUCUUGGUGCUUUAAUAACCUCUCCAUUUUUAUCCGCUAAAUAAGAGAUCAUGUCUGAUAAGGAAGACACAGUAACGCCGCCAAGUCGGCUGCCAUGGAACCAACCAAUCCCUACUAUCUUCAUCAUUCGUACAAACCUGGACACAUGUUGGUGUUGACCAAAUUGAACGACACCGAUUAUCAAUCCUGGAAGACAACAAUGAUGCACACACUCACAGCGAAGAAGAAACCUAUUUAUAGUAGAAACAAUAAGUAAGAAAUGAAUUGAGUUAAAAAGGAUCAAGACUUUGAAUCUUAUACCACACCUGUUAUAUAUGUUAUCAUAAUUAUUAUUAAUGUUAGAAAACAGUGGACGAAACUUGAAGCCAAUUUCCUUGAGUGACCAAAGAAGCUUUAACCACCACACCAGACCAGUUCUUUUUGUCAUAUUAUGAUUUUUAUUAUACUUAUUAUUAUUAUUAAUAUCAUUUAUAUUAUUAAUAUUAUUCAUAAUAUAACUAUUAUUAAUAUUAUGAAUAUCAUUUAUAUUAUUAAUAUUAUAAACAUUAUAAAUAUAAUUAGUAUUAAUAGUAUUAUUAAAUUUAUUAUUAUUAUUAUUAAUAUUAAUAUUAAUAUUAUCAUUAAUAUUAGUAUUGUUAUUAUUAAUAUAAAUAAAAAUAUUAAUAUCAAUAUUAUCAUUAAUAUCAAUAUUAUUAUUAUUACAAUUAUUAAAAAUAUUUUUUAUGUAAUACUUUAUAUUUGGAUACAUGUAAUAUUCCCGUUUCAUACGCUUCAUGCAACACCUAAUUUUAUUUUUAGUUUUUUAAUGGGCUGCAACACAUAUGGUGGAAUUAGAAAAAAGGUGUUAAAAUUCUAAUUGAAUUUAGAUGGAGAUAAUCAAUAUGAAAUAUUAUUAUUGAUACCAAUACUUAUGUUAUUUUUUCAUUUUUUUUAAUUUUAAUAUUAUAAAUUUUUCUUUAAUUAAAUUAAAAGAAUAAUUAAACUAAAAUUACUUUUUUAAUUUAUUUAUAACAACGUAAUACAUCUUAAAAUUAUUUCAAUUCCAUGUAACCUUCUUUUAUAUUUUCAUUUUUAAUUUUUUUUUUAUUUUAGUUAGAACUAUAUGAAUCUAAAUGCUAUGUAAAAAUCCGUAUGUAAUGCUCACUUUACAUAUGGAUCUGGAUCCGUAUGUAAAAAUCGAUAUGUAACACUUACUUUACAUAUGAAUCUGGAUCCGUAUGUAGCUAACUUUACAUACAAAUUUGGAUUUGUAUGUAAAAAUCGGUAUGUAACAAUUACUUUACAUACAAAUCUGGAUCCGUAUGUAAAAAUCCGUACGUAACGCUGAUAAGUGCCAAUGUGUAGUUUUUAUGAUUGAGAAAAUUGAACACUUUGGAACUUAAUUGUUGCUUAAUGUAAGAAAAUUACCCUAAUCUGAGAAUUAUUGAAUCUGAUUAUAUAUUUCUUGAACCAAGAAACAAAUGAAGAAAUUUAAUCUCAAUUUUUGUGUAAAUUGCAGAUGAAUAUGAAGCAUUGAAAGAAUGUAUUCAAGCUGGCAUUGAAAGAAGAAAAAGUAAAAACUGAAUUGGAUCACAAGAAGAUUUAGCUCAAGCUAGAGGAUUUAGCUCAAGCUAAAACUGUCCAGAGUUGAUUAAAGGUGCAGUACAAUUUUAGCCCAGGCUAGAAUUGCUAGCUCAAGCUAAAACUGUCCAGAGCUGAUUAAAGGUGCAGUACUGAUCUAGCUCAGGCUAGAAUCGCUAGCUCAAGCUAAAAAUGCACCGAAAGAUCUAGCUCAAGCUAAAACAGGCUAGCUUGAGCUAAAGUUGAUUAUAUAAAUUCUGAAACAUAACUCAAAACCAGCGGUGGAAAACAGAUUAGGUUUUUUAGAGAGAGACUAGUGAGAGAAAGGGAAGAAACCUCUGUUCUUAGGAGAAGAACUUGCUCAGAUCAGCCCUUCUUAUGCAAUCCAGAUCAAGAAUGAAGAUUGGAGGAGCUGUCAUGAGUGGCUAAGUUCUUUCUAACUUGGGAUUGAAUGUAAUUUAUCUUGAUCAAAUGUAUUCUUGGUGAUAUAUAUAUAAAAUUCUCUUUUCUACUUGUUCUUGGUAUUUUCGUUUUAUGCUUAUUGCUUGAUUCUUUCUAAUCAAUAGAGUCUUGAUUUUGAUCCUUAAAUUUAACUGGAAAGUACCUUUAAGGAUCUGAAAUAGACGAAAAUGCUUGAUAACUUGUAAUGCUAGGAAUAGAUUCCAGGUUAUUGAUUGCAUGAUAAUUCUGUUCCUAAAGCUGGAUGAUUUGUUAAAUAUGUGAGGAAUGAAUGUUUAAGAAAUUAUCUUAUGAAUUUUAUCUGUGAGGAAUCAAGAUGAAUGACUUUAAAUUAAGCAUCAAGAAUAAGUAGUUUUGAGUAUUAUAUAUUGUAUUAUUCAAAAUACAGAUGAUUGAGAUAAACACAAUUCAAUCCCAAGUAUCUUUCUCUAUAUUUGAUAAGUUAGUUUGGUAUUUGGUUGAAUCAAACCCUAAAUCUUUGAGUUCUUGUGAAAUCUUUAAUUUGGUUAUGAACAAAGUCUCAAAAUUAUUUUCUAUACUUAAUGAGUUUUAAAACAGAACAUCUUAAUUAGAAUUGUUCCCUGUGGGUUCGACAUUCGUACUUUAAAGAGUACUAUAUUACAGUUGAUUCGGUACACUUGCCGAAGAAAUAAUCAACAAACGCUCACUUUACAUACGAAUUAUCCGUAUGUAAAAAUCCAUAUGUAAUGUUCACUUUACAUACGGAUUCAGAUCCUUUUCAGUAUGUAAAUAACAGUUAUGUAGUGUUAUACCCUAUAUAAUGGCGCUGAAAUCCUUUUCAAUGAAUUAAAUUGUGACAGUUAUGACUGACACUAUUUACAUAUAAAAAUCGGCAUUUUAAACAAAGUGUUAAAUUGGCGGGUGUUGCGGAAGGUAGCUUAAGACUGCCACAUUAAACUUUGUGGUGGCCAAUCCUAUGAUGGUUUGGGAAACCAUCACACGCGUAUAUUGUGGUGUUUAUAAACGCUAGUUUAUACGAAAAUAAUUGUCGCAUUAUACACCUUUUUUUGUAGUGAUUGUUUUAAGAAAAAGAAGUAUAAUAAAAAUAAAUUUGCAAUUUAAUUAUGUGAAAAAUUAUUAAAAUAACAUUAGUAAGAGUUGUUUUAUGGGUGUAAAAUAAAAUUUCGGCAAUGUUUCAGGAGAUAUAUAUCAGAGAGAAGCAACCUGAUUUAAUCUGAACACAUUAAUACCAUGUUAGAAUAAGCUCGAGAAAACAAUUUUUUUUAUGAAGUUUAGGAGAGAUGAAUAUUCAUUUCAAAUAAGACAGAAAAAGGGAGAAUCAAAACAAAAUAUGUCUUUUUUUUUAUAUAACCAUGCCUAAAGCAGUGCAACAUAAAAGUAUGCAGCAGAGCAAAAUGCAAAAACAGAAUGAGUCAUCAAUAUAAUAUACAUGUGUACCUACAAAAUAUGUUUUUUUGUUUCUUUAUUUUAAUUUAAAAUAAUAAUUUAAUUGUUAAAAAGUAACUGUAAAAUUUUAUUGUUUUUAAUAUGUAAAGGAUAAAAUUGAAAAAUUAAAUGUAUAUGCAAAAGAGGAAAAUUCUAUUGUUAUAGACUAAUAUUAAUAAUAUUAUUAUUAAGUUAAUAUGAUGGCUAGCAUGGGUUUUUUUGAAAAAUGGGUCUAUUGGAUCAAAGAAUACCUCAAAUAUGUUGAAGAUGAAUGAAGCUUAGUCUCUACCUAGCCUUAGUGUGUUUGAUGUAGAAUUUAGCUAGUUUGCUUUGAAGGUUGCAAUGUGUCUUAGAUGAUCUUGUACUUUAGGUUUGUGUAUGUUCAAGGUUGCUUUUUGCUACAUGACCCAUCCUAGAUGCCAAAUCAAGGUAGUAAGAUCAAGCACAUGAUGUGGUUAAAUGGUUUUGGAAAAGUUUUUUAAAGUUUUCUUAAAAGGUUUGACUCAGUACAAAAAUAAAUUUGUUUACUUGAGAAACAAUGGGUUUAUUUUUGCUCUAUUGAAAGAUUUUUCGAAAUUCAGUUAGGGCACCAAAGUUAAAGCUCAGUCUGUUAUUUCAGUUAAGGUGAGUUGGCAGUUUUGUUAACAUUUAACCUGUUGUUUUUAGAAUAAAUCUGUUGUUUUUAAAACUGCUUUGAAACUGCUUUUUGAAAAGUGGUUAGAAACUGUUCUCUAUAAAAUAAAAUGCCCUUCUCACAUAAAGAGAGCUGAGCAAUCACAGUUUUAACAGAGAUAAAACACUUCUUGUGUGAGAAAGAGAAUUGAAAAGGUUUUGCAAAGGUUUUUUAGUAGGAAAAUAGAUGUGUGCUUGUUCUUGAAGAACCUUGUGCUGGAUGAAGGUGUUGGUACUGUCUUGAAGCAAAUAGAACAACUGGUAUAUGUUCUUGCAUCACUUUUCAAGUGUAAUCUUUCCGUUAUUCGUUCUUGUAAUAGGUGUAAGUGUUAGUCACUCUUGAUAAGAUUUCUUGGAGUGCAAGGUGUGCUGAAAUAGUGUUUUUCAGCCUUGUUUGUUGAAGUUCUUGUAGGGUUCAAGAACUGUUGUGUAUGCUGUAAUUGAUUGUAUCUGUUUUAGUGGAUUCCACCUUGGAGUAAGGUGAACUGGACGUAGCUCUUGAUGAGUGAACCAGUAUAAAAAUUCUCUUGUGUUUCUCUUCUCAUCCCUGCACUUAUUUAUGAGUUUUCACAUAAUUUGUCAAGAAAGGAAUCUGUUCUUUUAAAUCUAAAUUUGUUAACUCUAGACCUGAUAAAAUCUGUCAUUCUAACUUGUUAAUCAAUCUUCUAAACAUAAAUCAAGCUACUGUGUGAAUCUGUAAUAUGGCUAAAGUGUGAAUUGUUUUCCUUGACUGAACUGUGGCAUUUGUUCAUUCUCCUAGAUGCUUUGUGUUAAGUAAAAUUGAUUAAUCUUGUGAUAUAAUCUGCAAUUUGUAAGUUGUAAAAGUUAAUCAAUUUGUUUCUGCUAUUCUUGCUGGUUGAUCUAAAUCUUGUUGAUCAAGUUCUGUUUGUGCUAAAGUCAUUUGGAAAAUCAAUCUGUUUCAUUUAAAAUCAAUCUGUUCUUUUCAUCUCUGUCACACUGUAAAUCAGUUUCUUUUGCGAAAAUUUGAUAAGCUCAAUUCACCCCUCCCCUCUUGAACUUAGACGUUGUUUAACUCUAACAGAAUCUUCUUCUAUCUUUGUUUUAGUUAAUGAAAGUCCAUCUAAGUAAUUCAAACCGUCUAGAGGUCUAAGACAAGGGGAUCCAAUUGCACCGUUCUUAUUCAUAAUUGUGGCCGAAGGCCUAUCAAGUUUAUUAAAUCAAGGGCUACAAAGGAAGUGUUUUCUGAAUUAAAAGUCAGUGCAAAAAAUAUAGAGGUGAAAUUACUUCCUUUUGCAAAUGACACUUUGAUCAUGUGUAAAUCUAAUAUCCAAAAUAUUAGUGGUAUUAAAGGGAUCCUUAAAUGUUUUGAAAUUUGCUCAGGGCUUAGAAUAAACUUCUUUAAGAGAAAAAUUGGAGUUAUAGGAGUGGACAAAAAUGUGUUAGGAUCUUUCUUUGAGGUUCUCCAUUGCAACAUUAUGAAUAUUCCUUUUUUAUAUCUUAGUUUACCUAUUGGGGGAAAUUCUACUAAGGUUUCUUUUUGUGACCCAGUGCUUACAAAGGUUAAGAAGAGGCUAUCUAUGUGGAAAGGUAAAAAUCUAUCAUUUGCAGGUCGUGUGUGCUUCAUUCAUUUUGUGUUGAAUGCAACCCCUUGUAUUAUCUCUCUUUCUUCAAAGCUCCAUCAUCUAUAUGCAAAAAGAUUACAAAGUUACAACGUAAGUUCUUGUGGGGCUGGGAUAUUGAGGGAAGGAAAAUUGCUUGGAUUAAAUGGGAUAAUUUAUGUAAACCUAAAGCGAAAGGUGGGUUAGGCAUAAAGCAGAUAGACAUUUUCAACAAAGCUUUACUUGGCAAAUGGAAAUGGAGACUUGGGUCUCUUGAGAACUGUUUAUGGAAAGAUAUUCUUGCUUCUAAAUAUGGUUCUUGGAGAAAUUUAUCUGAAUCUAAAGUUUCAAAGCAUGCUUCAAGAUGGUGGUUCCAUUUAAACAAAGUGUGUGAGGAUGAGCAGGGCAUCAAUUGGUUUGAUUCUAAUAUGGAAUGGGCGGUUGGGUCUAGUGAAAAAGUUAAGUUGUGGGAAGAUGUUUGUGUUUAUAUUGUUUGGGUUUAUAACUGUCAAUUGAAAGCUAGAUUCCCAAGGUUGUUUAAUAACUCUCUCAUCAUAGAUAAUUCCUUGUGUCGCUUUGGUAAUUGGAACAGAGACAACUGGGUUGAGAAUUAAAGUGGAGAAGAGAGUGGUUUAAAUGGGAGAAGGUCCAAGUAGAUGAAUUUAUGACUAUGCUAGAAGGUCAGACCUUGAAAAUAGGUAAGGAGGAUAAAUGGUUAUGGAGAGACCCGCAAACCUGUAAGUACUCUGUCAAAUCUGCAUAUGCAUUCGUUUCUAAUCCUAUCCCAAGUGCAUCUAAGGAUAUGUAUAGGGUUAUGUGGGGCUUGUUAGUCUCACCAUCGGCCCAAUGUUUUGUUUGGAGAGCAUUGCAAAACAGGAUCACCAAAAAGCAAAAUCUGAUUAGAAGGUCGGUCCACCUUGCGGAUUCAUUAUGUGUUUUAUGUGGGAUCGAGGAGGAAAUGUCCUCACACCUUUUCUUAAGUUGUCAGAUUGCGAGCGUUGUUUGGAAUUGCUGUAGUAAAUGGAUUGGGGUUAGAUCUGUAAAUCAUUUUGCUCUGAAGGAACACUUUGAACAAUUUCAUUGCCCUUAGCUUAGCAAAGAAGGCAAUAAGUUGUGGAAAUGAGUGUGGGUAUCUAUCAUCUGGUGCAUUUGGAAACAUAGGAAUGAGAUUGUGUUUAACCAAGCAAAAGUGGAUGCGGGUGAAAUCUUUGGCCUGACCCAAAUGCAAUUGUGGGCUUGGUUAAAAAUACAAGACUUCAAUGACGCUUUUUUCUUUUUCCGACUGGGUCCAAUGUCCGAAUACUUGCAUUAAUAUAACAGUAAAACGUUGAUUUUGUGAGGAUAGAGAGGUUGUAUGUAUUGAUUGGUUUUUGUUCCUUUUUUAGGAUGUUUUGAGAGUAUGUAAUGUACCCUUAAAGUGUAUAAGGGUUGGAGCACCCCUUUGUGCUCCUUUUCUAUUAAUUUAUUUUUUUGCCAAUUAAAAAAAAAGUUUACAAAGGAUGUUAACCAUAUUAAUUAAUUCAAUUCGUCUGCCUAUAUAUUACGCAUAUCUAUAUGAGUACUUAAGAGUGAAAUAUUAAAUAAAUUUAUUUUCCCUUCCACUCAUUCUCUUUCUUAUUAAUAUAUUACUCUAUAAAUAGGUUGAUAUUUCUUAUGUAUAGUGUUCUUUGCACACACAUUCCAACUAAGAGUACCUCCUGAUAGAAGGCAUGAAGAUCUCAUCUACGCUUUGAAAAGAAAGAUUAUAUAAGAUAAUCUCCACUCGUGUAAGAAAGAAAAGUACAAUGUAUUUUUUUAGUUCUUGCAAAUAUAAUACUUUUGUUAUACAUGUCAAUUUUUAUUUUAAAUCCAACCACAUUAGUUUCAUGUUAUUAUCCCCAGUCACUUCAAAAAAAUUAACAGAAGCUAAAAACAACUUUUUAAAAGUACAGAACUAAGAUAAGAAUAAAAGUGCAUGGAUCAAAAAUAAAAAUAUAGUUAAGAGGGAAAAUAUUUAACCGUGACAAAGGUUUUAAAAAGAGGUGACAAGAUGCAUUAGAGAAGUAGAAUAAAACUUUCACUUAUUUUUUACGCCAUGAUUAAAUUAGUAAAUAAAAAAUUGAUUAAAUUGUUGAAAGUUAUAUAACUUUUAACGUUUUUCAUGAGUUUAGACAUGCUAAACUAGAAAUGUAGAAUUCAAAAUCAAUAUAAAUAAAAGAAAAAGAAAAUAUUUGCUUAAUGAUUUUAACAAAAUGACAUUGAAAUAAUGUUAUAAACUGAUUAUAGAUAAACUGAAUGUUUUUCUAAACUGUGUUUAUACCUACAUUAACCUGUUUUAGAUAUACAUGUGUAAUGUGAAAGAUGAUAAUGUUAUAAGCUUUUAAAACUUUAAGCGAUAUUUGCAUUAUCUCUUCCACGACCACUAAAAAAGUACUUUUAUUAUUGUGUCUGUAGAGAUCAUCUCUUUGACUGUGUUGCAUUAUUGCUUUCUCUUCUAAACACUUCAUCAACUCCUUCCAUGGAAUUGGCGUCUUCAUCAACCAAACUCUCAAAGAUGUACGACGUGCUCAUCAACUUCAAUGGAGAAGACAUCCAAAGGAAAUUUGUGUCUCAUCUCGAUUCUGCCCUCUCUGCUGUUGGCUUCACCACUUUCCUUCACCACCCCAAUGCACACAACCCAAUUCACUUCCAACAACCUAUUCUCAAUCUCUCUCGUGUAGCAAUUGUUGUUUUCACCACAACCUAUUCUCAAUCUGCUUGGUGUCUUCAUCAGCUUCAACAAAUCAUCAAAUGGCACCAAACUUAUUGCCGACAUGUUCUGCCUGUUUAUUACGAAAUCCAGUCAUCUGAUGUACGUCUUCAGAUGGGUGAUUUUGGAAAAGCCUUCAAAGCCACUGCACAACAAACAUUCUCACCACAACAACUGGAGCAUGGCAUGUCCAGAUGGAGCCACGCACUCACCAAAACUGCAAAUUUCUUUGGAUGGGAUGAGAGCAAUUACAGGUAAAUCACUCACUUACUAAGCUUGUACUUCAAUUUUGGUAAUACAUGACUUGUUCAAUAAUUGUUAUUGACUUUGAAGGAGUGAUGCUGAACUAGUGGACAAAAUUGUUAAGACCGUUCUUCAUUUACCAAUCUUGUCUGCUACAAAAUUUCCAGUUGGAUUAGAAUCCCGUGUGGAGGAUGUGAUUCGAACCAUAAAAAGUAAAUCCACCCAAGUUUUUACUAUAGCGAUAUGUGGAAUGGAAGGAUCGGGUAGAACCACUCUUGCCAAAGCCAUCUACAAUCAAAUUCAUGGUACAUUCACGGAGAAAAGUUUCAUCGAAGAUAUUGCACAAGUUAGUCAAACAAGAGGGUAUGUUCCUUUACAAGAACAAUUUCUUUCAGAUGUACUAAAAACAAAGGUGGAGAUAAGUGACGUUCAGAUGGGAAAAAGUAUGAUUUGGGAAAGACUAUAUGGGAAAAGGGUGCUUCUUGUACUUGACGAUUUGAAUGACUAUGGCCAAUUAGGCCUCUGGGGAACUAGUUCAUGGUUCGGUGAAGGAACUGUAAUAAUCAUUACAGCGAGAGAUGAAGUAGACCUGCCGAGUAUGCUUGAAGUUGAUUCUGUUUUUCAGAUGAUUCCAAUGAACGCAAACGAGUCCCUUGAGCUUCUUAGUUGGCACGCAUUUAGAGAACCAAAACCAAAAAAAGAAUACCGUGUACUUGCAAAAAGAGUAGUUGCUUAUUGUGGAACACUACCUCUAGCUCUCGAAGUCAUUGGAACUUAUUUAUACAAAAGGACGAAAGAUGAAUGGAAUAGAGUAUUGAUAAGAUUAGACAAUAUUCCCCAGCAUGAAGUUCCACAGAUAUUGAAAAUAAGUUUUGACGGUUUAGCUAAUCAAAUAGAAAAAGAUUUAUUCCUUGAUGUAUGUUGUUUCUUUGUUGGUAAAAGCAGAGCCUAUGUUACCAAGAUCCUAAAUGGCUGUGGAGUAGACUCUGAUAGUGGAAUAAGAGUUCUCAUAAAGCGUAACCUCAUCAAAGUUAAAGAAAACAACAAAUUUGGAAUGCAUCAUUUGCUACGAGAAAUGGGAAGAGAAAUUAUUAGUGAAAUUUCAAGAAAGGAAUCUGGGAAGAACAGUCGACUGUGGCCUCAUGAGGAUCUAAAACAUGAAUUUUCAGUGAAUACUGUAAGAGCAUUCUUAAUCUAUGAUUUUGAAACUUCUUUUGGAAGUGGUUGAUUUCUCAUGUGCAAUACCAAUGUUUUUCUUAGCUCUUUUCAUCACCGGGUAAAAAAGUCAUUCAGAGAUUGUCUAGCGGAAGAGAUUUCUUCGAAACUUAUCCUGUAGAGGUAAGAGACCCAUCACCGGAUACAAAAGUCUUCGAACUCCCUGGACUGCUGAAACUCCCUUGGAAAUUCGAACCACAUUCUAAAAUUACCUACCUUAACGCUUGACUUUUAUNNNNNNNNNNNNNNNNNNNNNNNNNNNNNNNNNNNNNNNNNNNNNNNNNNNNNNNNNNNNNNNNNNNNNNNNNNNNNNNNNNNNNNNNNNNNNNNNNNNNNNNNNNNNNNNNNNNNNNNNNNNNNNNNNNNNNNNNNNNNNNNNNNNNNNNNNNNNNNNNNNNNNNNNNNNNNNNNNNNNNNNNNNNNNNNNNNNNNNNNNNNNNNNNNNNNNNNNNNNNNNNNNNNNNNNNNNNNNNNNNNNNNNNNNNNNNNNNNNNNNNNNNNNNNNNNNNNNNNNNNNNNNNNNNNNNNNNNNNNNNNNNNCACCAAUCUAUUGGAUGUCUCUGCAAUCUUAUACUGCUAAAUUUGAAGGACUGUACAAGUCUAAGCACUCUCCCCAGAGAGAUAUGUAAGUUGAAAUCUUUGAAAACUCUCAUUAUAUCUGGUUGUUGGAAAAUUGACCUAUUGGAAAAAGAUAUAGUGCAAUUGGAAUCCUUGAGAAUUCUAAUUUCUGAAAAUACAGAUGUGAAACAAGUGCCUUUUUCAAUUGUAAGCUCAAAAAGCUUUGCAUAUUUAUUCCUACCUGCAUUUGAGGGAUUAUCACAUAAUCUUUUUCCUUCUGUGAUUCGGUCUCUGAUGUCGCCAACAAUGAAUCCCUUAUCUUAUAUUCAUUCCUUCAUGGAUAUGGAGGAUAAUAGUUGGGAUGAUAUUUCACCAUUGCUCAGCAGCCUUGCAAAUCUUCGAAGUGUUUUGGUGCAAUGUGACGCCAAGUUUGAACUAUAUGAGCAAGUAAAAACUAUAUUGGUCGAAUAUGAUGCAAAUAUUACAGAAUCAGGAAUUUCAAAGAAUAAUUUCAGGUCUUCUCUGACUGGUGUUGGAAGAUACAAAGAAUUCUUCAAUACUGUCAGCGAUAGCAUACCUAAGGUUCUUCUCUAGCUUUCCCUUUGUUUAUUACCUUCACCAUCAUUUUAGCUAUUAUUUCUGAGAACAUAAAAUAGUCCUAAUGAAGUAUUAGUAGAAACUACACUACUGAACUUUAAGCACCUUUCGCUUCUAUAGCCCCACGACUUCAUCUAAAAGUAUCUGAGUUGAAUAAUCAAAUAACCAAGUCAUUAUGCUUAUCCUAAGUACAUGCAAAUUGAUUUCCACUUACUAGUUUACUUCAUGGGUUUUUUAUUCCCAAUGAUCGUAUAAAUAUAAACUAAGAGAGACAAAAAUAGAAAUGCAAAAUGAUGGUGAUAUAUACACAACAAAACUAUAAACCAAAUUUGUUUCGAUCAUGUAACUAAACAUGCCCUUGUUUGUCCCAUGAUACAGGUAUUUGCAAGCAGUGAGUCAUGUGAUGUUUCUCUCCCAGGUGACAACGAUCCUUAUUGGUUGGCCUAUAUGGGUGAUGGACAUUCUGUUUAUUUCACUGUGCCUCAAGAUCGUGUGGUGAAGGGAAUGGCUUUGUGUGUUGUUUAUUUAUCAACCUCCGAAAUCAUUGAACCUGAACUUACUACUGUCUUAAUUGUUAAUUACACGAAGUGCACAUGCCAAAUACACAACCAUGGGACAGUAAUUUCCUUUAAUGAUGAAGAUUGGCCUAAUAUAAUGUCAAAUUUAGGAUCAGGAGAUAAAGUGGAGAUUUUUGUGAGUUUUGGUGAUGGAUUGGUGGUCAAGAACACAGCUGUCUAUUUGAUAUGUGGUGAAUCAAAUGAGUUAGAAAAGGAGGCUGUGCCAAAGAAAAAAUCGCUCCUUAAAUUCAUAAAGAGAACUCUAAUGUGAGUUCUAGUAAGUCAUUUAUAUUUGAGAACUUUGAGUUAUGGAAUUAAUCCUUGUGUCCUUCAUUGCAAUUUAUUUUUUCUGAUCUGUCCUUGUUUUUCUUUGAGUAUAGCUCAUAGUUACGAGAUUCAUAUUUAUUUUACCCUGUUUCUCACUCCUCACAUUGUUUACUUGAACUGUUUAUUGUAUUUGCUUUGUUGUUGUUACUUUUUGUCAAUUCUAUUCCCUUCUUAGCAUAUAAUAUUGCAUUCAGAAAAUCUCGUAAAAAAUAUUGCAUUAUGAAAUAAAGAUAGCUGCGGUUCGAUAAUUUGUUAUGUGUUUUGCCUUGCUAUAUGCUAUGCAGUCUCUGUUUUUGUUUCAACAUAAGAAGCACCGUAGCCUCAUCCCUUUAUUUUAAGACUAAAACAAAGUUUGAUUUCAUUUCUCCUUAUUUACACUGAUUAUAUUUUUUUAUGUCUAAUUUAAAAAUAUUUAAAUUUUUUCAAUUUACAUUUAUAAGUUUCAUUACAGUUUUCAGUUAUGUAAAGUCACCAAAUUAUUUUAAAUUUUAAAUUUUCAACUAAUUUUUUUCAAAUAUAGUCAUGAUCUUUCAAAAUAUUUUAAUCUGUUAUAAAUUGUUUUAAAAUUAAUUCUUAUAAAUUAAUAUUCAUUUGAUAUGUGCAAAUAUAAUCUUUAAAAAAUUCAAAAAAUAACCAUGUAGACAAAUACCGCUAAUAGUUAAAAAAAAUUCAAAUGUGUACUUUUUAUUGACAAUUAGUUUAGGCUUUUAUGUUUCAAAUAUAAAGUUAAAUGUUCAACUGUAUUACAAAACAAAAAGAUAUUCAUACAAAAUCUCCAUUCUAUGAUCCUCACCAGAAAAAAGCAUUGAAAGAUAUGAUAGCACUUGAUCCACCAUGAUGAUAGCACUUGAUCCACCAACACCAAUCCUGCUACAAUGUUCAUACCUUCACUGCUACAAUGUAGUAGGCACGUACCUGCAUCAAACCACCCCUCUCAACCUUAAACUGUAUAACUUACCAUAAUUCUCCUUUCCUUCAUAAUCCAAUAAACCAUUUCCCAUUAUAUUUCACAACACAUAUUAAUAACAUAUCCGUACUAGUCAAACAACUCUUCACUUCAAAAAUAAAUAAAUGACAUAUUGUCUCAUCAUCCUCCCCACGCAUAGUUCCAAAACUCACCAUGUUGUGGUAUAUGAUGAAGAGAGUGCCUUAAUCCUCUAAAAAUUCUCGUACAUGGACAUGCCUUCCCCCUUCUACUUCGCCCUUUAAGAUUCUAUAUGCUGAUUUAAUCGUAUAAUUUGAUGUUUCUCCUUCCUUCCUUACCCACUUAUCGUCUUUUUCCAUGUUUAAACUUGUGUCUUCCAAAACAUGUGCGAAUUGAUGCGCUUGGUUAUUUUCCCACUCAAAUAAAUUCCUUCUCCAUUCUAACUUCUAUAACCAAUUGUUAUUAUUCCACUCCCUAACCUAAUACAACUUAAAAUCUCUGUUUGUGCUUAAACAAAAUAAUCUCAGAGAACUUAUUUUUUAGUUCUUCAUUAUCCGCUCAUUUAUCUUCCCAAGAACUAAUCUCCAUCCCAUUUCCUGCCUCCCAAGUUACAAUAUCAUCAAAUUUACUUUCCCAUGAAGCCCAUGCUAUUUUCCUACCCUCCGAACAUCAAUCCCAUAAAAAUUUUCUUUGCAAUUUCACUAUCUCCUUUGUCACCAUUAUUGGCAUUUUAUAUAAAGAUAAAUGAAAUAGAGGGAGAGAUGAAAGCACUGAUUUAAUUAAGCAUAUCCUACCUGCCGUAGAUACAAAUUUAUCAUUCCAUCUACCUAAUCUAUUCCUCAUUCUUUCCACCACAUCCUCUAGAAUUUAUCUCUUGUGGCACCCCCCCAACUAACAUUCUCAGAUAUUUAAAUGGUGUUUUCAUCACAUCACAAUUAAGAAUUUCCGCAAAAUAUUGAAUCAGAUUGUGAUUGACUCCCACCCCUCCAAUUUUACUCUUUAGAAAAUUUACCUUAAAGCCAGAUGCUAAUUCAAAGCAGUUUUAGAUUACCUUUAUAAUAAACACACUUUGAGUAUUGACUUUACAGAAAAAUAGUGUAUCAUCCGCGUAUUGUAACAUAUUCACCUUAACCAACUUAUCCCCAAUCUCCAUACUUUCUAUCAUAUUUUUCUUAACUGCUUUUCUUACACCCCGUACUAAUCCUUCUACCACUAUAAGAAACAAGAAAUGUGCUAAGGGACUCCUUGUCUCAGCCCCUUCUGUGGUUUAAAUUCCUAAGUUGGACUCCCACUCACUAAUACUGACACCGAAGAUGAUUCUAAACAUGCUUUUACCCAAACUAUCCAUCUUUCACAAAGAACCUAACCUUCCUAACAUAUAGUAGAUGAACUCCCAUCUUAAUGACUCAUAAGACUUCAUUGGCCACAAGCACACUAUCCAUUAACCCCUUACCUUCUAAAAGCGUUGACUGCCAAAGAUCAAUAACUUUAUGUGACUAUAUAUAUUCUUCUUGAUCUCUUCCUAACAAAUUUUAUAAAACCAAAAUUAAAGUCGUCACAACAUUUCAUCUUCUAUAAUACUUCCUACUAACAUUUCAUCUUCUCCAUAAAUAGUUUUAAAAUUUGUAUUAUCUAACCUGACUUUUCCUUAACAACCACUUGAUCCUCACACCAUUGGCCAUUCUCUAGCAAACCAUUAAUCCCAUUUCUUGACCUUCACCAUUUAGUUAUAGAGUGAAAAAAAUUGGUAUUAAGAUCACCUUGCUUCAACCACCUAUGACGAGCUUUCUGUUGCAUUAUAGCUUCUUGUUUAAAAUUAUUUUUACUAUGCUAACAAACACAAACUUACUUUCCUCUCUUCCUUCCUAAUCUAACUCAUUCUUGUCAUUUGUUGCAUCUAACUCUUGAUUUUUUCUUUGUUCCAUAUUUUUAAAUCAAAUUUUAGUUUUUUCAAUUUUUAUUUAAAAAUAAACACCUUGCUACCUUGCACCUCAUAUCUAUUCCAUUUAUUCCAUAUGAAGUCUUUGAAUCUGCCAUCUCUUUGCCAGAUGUUCAAACACCUAAACAGUUUCGGACCCUAAUUCUUACUCAUGUCUUUUAACACCAAUGUACGAUGACCGAACAUUGAUUUAUGUUAACAUAUUUAGUUUUUUCUAUUUUAACUUAUUGGACUUUGUUUGUUUGGCCCAACUUUCCUUUUCUGUUUCAGCCAGGUCUUAGUCUUUUUCUUAUAUAUACACAAUUUAUUUUAUUCUCUAAUACACAAGUAAAUAAGAAUUUCUUUUGUAUUUUCUUUUCUUUGUUUUUCUCUUUGAUCUUUAUUUCCCCCUUUGUUGUUCUUGGUUAUCUUUUAUGUUCUCUUUCAAAAUCUUGAUUGGGUUUCAAAAUCUCUUAGGCAAUGUCUAAUGAAAACCAUAGUCUUAAUAGUAGCCACACUAUUACAUGCAAUUUAUGUGGUAAAUACGGUCAUAUUGAGGCUGUUUGUUUUCGCAAAGUGGGUUUUCCUUCUAGUAAUGUUAAAACCUCAAAGUUUUUUUCUACUAGAAAAGUCUGCACUUUUUGUAAUCAUAUUGGCCACACUACCGACACCUGUUAUAAAAAGCAUGGGUUCCCUCCUGGCUACAAAUUCACCAAUUGGACAUCCCUAACCAAUAAUAUGAUUACUACUGACACUUUUUUUGAGCUUUUUCCUAAAGAACAAGAUGUAAAGGGGAUUCAACUUACAUCACAACAGUGUCAAUUCUUGACCAACAUUUUGCGUCAGCAAAACCUUGAGGAUCCUGCCCCUCACACUCAAAUUAAUCAAGUUGACACCUUCUCUGCGGAUGAAAUCCCCAAUACUGAGCAAUCUUCAAUAUGUAAGUUUCUCUCUUCACUAUCUGCUAUAAAAGAAUCUUGGAUUAUUGAUUCUGGUGCCACAUAUCAUGUUUGCCACAAUUUGAACAUUUUUACUACUUAUACUAAAAUUAAACCUGUCUUAAUUAGUCUUCCAAAUGACCAAACUGUUUAUGCCACAUAUUCUGGUUUAGUACGUUUUUAUGAUAAGUUUUAUUUGUCUGAUGUGUUAUAUGUGCCUCAUUUUCAAUUAAACUUAAUAUCUGUUUCUAAACUCACACACCAACUUAAAUGCACUUUAACUUUCACUUCAACCCACUGCAGUAUACAAGACAAUCUCACCCAAGAGAGGAUUGGUAUAGUUAAAGCCACUGCUAGCUUGUACCUUGUCACUACCUUGCCUGUUUCUAGCCAUUUUAAACCACAUUGUUUUGCUCCUUUUAUUAAUUGUAAUAUCAUGGACAAAACACUGUGGCAUUAUAGACUAGGACACCGUUCACUUGAAAGAUUACAUGUCUUAAGCGAACAAUACUCUUUUAUUACUGUUGAUACUCAUCAUGUAUGUGACACUUGUAGUCGUUUAAAGCAGAGAAAACUUCCUUUCACUUUAAGUAAUAUUGUUACCUCUGCUAUUUUUGAUCUUGUACACUUUGAUAUUUUGGGACCAUGUUCCAUAACUUCUAUGCAAGGUUUUCGUUAUUUCUUGACUAUUGUUGAUGAUUACUCGCGUUAUACUUGGGUUAUUUUGCUGCAUAACAAAUCUGAAGUGCGUCAGCAUAUCAUUAACUUCAAUAUUUUCAUUCAAAAUCAUUUCAAAACUAAUAUCAAAAUGAUUUGUACUGACAAUGGUGUUGAGUUUGCUAUGUCAAAUUUUUAUGCUUCAAAGGGAAAUAUACAUAAAAAAUCUUGUCUUGAAACACCAUAGCAAAAUGGCAUUGUAGAAUGUAAACAUCAACACAUACUAAAUGUAACCUGAGCUUUACUUUUUCAAGCAAAUCUUCCUCCUAUUUUUUGGGAAUUUGCUGUAAAUUAUGUUGUUUUUUUAAUAAAUGUUAUUCCUACUCCAUUACUUAAUAAUAUCACUCCUCAUGAAAAGUUGUUUGGAAAACUGUAUGACAUUUCCUUUUUAAAAGUGUUUGGUUGUCUUUGUUAUGCUAGUACCAUUACUGCACAUAGGACAAAAAUUAGAUGAUAGAUCUAUCAAAGGUAUUUUUCUUGGCUUCCCGCAAAAUACAAAAGGUUAUAUUAUCUUAAAUUUAAAGUUUCAUAGCAUAGAGAUAUCAAGACAUGUAAUCUUUCAUGAAAACCACUUUCCAUAUAAAUUGGACAGUGGCUUGCCUAGGGACCCGAAUACUUUAUCUCUCCUUAUUUCUAAUGCAUAUAAUUAUGCUUUUGAUUUUUUUUUUUUUGAUAUUGCACUUCCUGCCGAGCCAUGUACCUCUACUCCUACACCUAAUAUUGUCCCUCCACCAACCUCAUUAUCCUCUGAUCUUUCAGCAAAUAAUGUCUCUGCUCCUGCAUCCAACAUUGCACCUCCACCAGAAUUAUCAAUGCCUGCACCUCCAGGAAGCACUUCACCCCAAUUCCCAAGAAGAUCAGUCUGUCUUCACUGACAACCUGCCCAUCUUGCAAAUUUACACACUGCAACCAACAUUGUGGGUAGUAGAUAUCCUAUUCAUAAUUACUUGUCUUACAAUUCCUUAUCUUCCAAUUUUAGGAAUAUUAUUUCCUCUAUCAAUUCUCAUCAUGAACCUCUGACCUAUAACGAAGCCUCCAAACAUGCUUCUUGGCAAUCUGCCAUGCAAGAUGAGUGUCAAGCUCUUGCUGCUAACAAUACUUGGCAACUUACCUCUCUCCCUCCAGGAAAGAAAACUAUUGGUUGUAAAUGAGUAUAUAAAAUCAAAUACCAUUCUAAUGGCACUGUUGAGCGCCACAAAGCUAGAGUUGUUGCCAAAGGGUUCAUCCAACUUGAAGGACUUGAUUUCUUAGACACUUUUGCACCUGUUGCUAAACUCACUACCCUCUGUCUUCUCCUUGUUGUUGCCACUACCAAAAAUUGAAUUUUAAAACAACUUGAUGUUUAUAAUGCCUUUCUUCAUGGUAAUCUCCAUUAAGAGGUAUACAUGACCCCCCACCUGGCCUCUCUCUUCCUUCUCCCAAGCAUGUCUGCAAGCUUCAACGGUGUUUGUAUGGCCUUCGUCAAGCUGGUUGCCAAUGGUACGCCAAGCUUUCUACUUUUCUUUUAUCAAAUUAUUACUCUAUUUCUGCUACUGAUCACUCUCUUUUUCUUAAAUAUAAUAACGAUAAACUCACUGUUAUUCUUGUUUAUGUUGAUGAUUUGGUCUUAACUGGUGAUGACACGGUGGAAAUCAAUACAAUUACUGCAUCCUUUCACAUCACUUCAAGAUAAAAAUAUUUAGGUCAUCUCACUUACUUUUAGGGACUGGAAAUUGCUCGCAACAGUUAUGGUCUUCAUUUAAGUCAACGCAAGUAUACUCUUGAUCUUCUUCACGAAACUGGCAUGCUUGACUCUGCACCUGUGGCCACUCCUUUUGAUGUUGAUGCAACUUCCCAAAUACAGAAGACUCCUUGGACGUCUAAUCUACUUAACCAACACGCGGCCAAACAUCGCCUUCACUGUCCACAAUUUAAGUCAAUUCAUAUCUGCACCCACAACUCAUCAUCAACAAGUUGUCUCACGUCUUUUGCGUUACCUCAAGGGCACCCCUGGUGAAUGACUAUAUUUUUCUCAUAAUAGCUCACUUCACCUUUGUGGUUUUAGUGACUCUGAUUGGACAACAUGGCAUACCACACACAAAUUUGUCACUGGAUAUUCCAUGUGUUGAACCAAGUGGUGUUCAAGCUUUGAAGAAUCCAAACCCUUUGAAGGUUGUUGAAGGCUUGGUUGUGCUUGCUGUUGCUGAGCUGUCUUAGACAGGAUCUGGGGUAGUUUGUUUAUGUAAUCCACUCUUGAUUGAAUCUAAAGCAUAGGCACUCUCAAUCUUUGCCCUACCAAAUGCAACCGUGGGCUUGGUUAAAAAACAAGGCUCCAAUGACGCUAUUUUCUUUUUCCAACUGGGUCCAAUAUCCGAUUACUUGCAUUAANNNNNNNNNNNNNNNNNNNNNNNNNNNNNNNNNNNNNNNNNNNNNNNNNNNNNNNNNNNNNNNNNNNNNNNNNNNNNNNNNNNNNNNNNNNNNNNNNNNNUAAAAAAAAAAGUUUACAAAGGAUGUUAACCAUAUUAAUUAAUUCAAUUCAUCUGCCUAUAUAUUACGCAUAUCUAUAUGAGUGGUUAAGAGUGAACUAUUAAAUAAAUUUAUUUUCUCUCUACGCCUUCCACUCAUUCUCUUUCUUAUUAAUAGAUUCCUCUAUAAAUAGGUUCAUACUUCCACUAUUCUCUUUCUUAUUAAUAGAUUCCUCUAUAAAUAGGUUCAUAUUUCUUAUGUAUAGUGUUCUUUGCACACACAUUCCAACUAAGAGUACCUCCUGAUAGAAGGCAUGAAGAUCUCAUCUACGCUUUGAAAAGAAAGAUUAUAUAAGAUAAUCUCCACUCGUGUAAGAAAGGAAAGUACAAUGUAUUUUUUUAGUUCUUGCCAAUAUAAUACUUUUGUCAUACAUGUCAAAUUUUUAUUUUAAAUCCAACCACAUAUUAGUUUCAUGUUAUUAUCCCCAUUCACUUCAAAAAGUUUAACAGAAGCUAAAAACAACUUUUUAAAAGUACAGAACGAAGAGAUAAGAAUAAAAGUGCAUGGAUAAAAUAAAAAAUAUUAGGAGGGAAAAUAUUUAACCGUGACUAAGGUUUAAAAUAAUAGUUGGGAUGAUAUUUCACCAUUGCUUAGCAGCCUUGCAAAUCUUCGAAGUGUUUUGGUGCAAUGUGACGCCAAGUUUGAACUACAUGAGCAAGUAAAAAGUAUAUUGGUCGAAUAUGAUGCAAAUAUUACAGAAUCAGGAAUUUCAAAGAAUAAUUUCAGGUCUUCUCUGACUGGUGUCGGAAGAUACAAAGAAUUCUUCAAUACUGUGAGCGAUAGCAUACCUAAGGUUCUUCUCUAGUUUUCCCUUCGUUUAUUACCUUCACCAUCAUUUUAGCUAUUAUUUCUGAGAACAUAAAAUAAUCCUAAUGAAGUAUCUAGUAGAAACUACACUACUGAACUUUAAGCACCUUUCGCUUCUAUAGCUUCCACUUUAUUGCUUUACUAGCUUCAUGGUUUUUUUAUUCCUAAUGAUCGUAUAAAUAUAAACUGAGAGACAAAAACAGAAAUGCAAAAUGAUGGUGAUAUAUACACAGCAAAACUAUUAACCAGAUUUGUUUUAAUCAUGUAUAACAUUUUUGUUUCACUAAACAUGCCCCAGUUUGUCACAUGAUACAGGUAUUUGCAAACAGUGAGUCAUGUGAUGUUUCUCUCCCAGGUGACAACGAUCCUGAUUGGUUGGUCCAUAUGGGUGAUGGACAUUUAUAAGAAUGGCUUUGUGUGUUGUUUAUUUAUCAACCUCCGAAAUCAUUGAACCUAAACUUACUACUGUCUUAAUUGUUAAUUACACGAAGUGCACAUGCCAAAUACACAACCAUGGCACAAUAAUUUCCUUUAAUGAUGAAGAUUGGCAUAACAUAAUGUCAAAUUUAGAAUCAAGAGACUAGGUGGAGAUUUUUGUGACUUUUGGUCAUGAUUUGGUGAUUAAGAACACAGCUGUCUAUCUGAUAUAUGGUUUGCCAAGGAAAAUUCCCUCAUUAGAUUCAUAAAAAAAAUUGUAAUGUGACUUUUCGGGUAAGUCAUUAUCUCCUUUUUGAACAGGAAGGUCAUUUUUUCCCCAUCUUUUCCUUUCUUUAUAGUGUAGCUUAUAGUUAAAAAAUUCAUGUUUAUUUUACCCUGUUUCUCACUCCUCAGUGGUGCUUCCUUGGCUUUGCUUAAGCUGUUUAUUGUAUUUGUUUUCUGGAUUUUACUUUUGUCAAUUAUUUUCCCUUUUAGCAUAUAAUAUUUCAAUAGGAAUCCUCUUAAAAUAAGACAUUGCAUUAUGAUAUAAAGACAGCUGCAGUUUGAUAUUUUGCUAAGUGUUCUGUUUUGCUAUCUUGUAGGUAGUCUCUGUUUUCGUUUGAACAUAAUAAACAUUCAAAGGAUAUGUAUAGACACAACCAUUCAAAGGACACCAAAGAUGAGUACAUUUUUUUUAUAGUGGUGCAAGCGCGUUUAAAAAAUUCGACCAACGCACGCCAACUUUGAACCACUGGAAAAAUAAAUAUUAUACUAAUACAGUUGAAAUUUUCUCCAAUAUAUUCCUUUUUUCUAUAUUAUGCGUCCAUGUUUUUAAGUUUUAAAAUAUAACACAUGCUUCUUUGUUUACAUUACCCAUCUCGUUAAGAUAAAUCAUAAACAAAAAAAAUGUAUAAAUCUAGUUUGAAAAGAAUUACGACAAGUCAUUUUUUAUAAACAAGAAGAAACAGGGUAAUAUAAAUAUGAAUUUGUUAACUGUAAGCUAUACUCAAAGAAAAACAAGGAUAGGAUCAUAGGAUUAAUUCCAUAACUCAAGGGUUCCUACUGUUCUCAAAGAAGAUAAAUUACUUACCAGAAGUCACAUAGGGAUAUAUAUCCAAUGCUUGUUGGGUUUACAAUUGAAAAAGGCAUUUGUUUGACAGCUGUAUUUUCAGCAAUUAUAGUUAUCAAGGAUUUCAUUCACACUAUAUCUUUUUCUAUUAGGUGAAUCUUCCAACAACCAGAUAGAAUCAGAGUUUUUAAGGAUUUCAACUUAUACAUCUUUCUGGGGAGAUUGCUUAGAUUUGUACAGUCCUGCAAAUUUAGCAAUGUAAGAUACAAGAGGCAUCCAAUAGAUUGGUCUACUUCCCUCAAUCUUGGACAAUCUUUGAGAAUGAGUUGUUAAAGACUUGGUAUCGGAAAAGUCAGGGGUUUCUAUCAAGAUUAAGGACUUUUAGCCACGUCAAAACCUUGAAGAAGAUAGUUUUUGAUAAAAUAUCAGAGAAGUAAAUGAGAAAACGAAAUAGUUAUAAGUGGAAACAAAUAAUGAUUUUAAAAGAGAAUGACACGUAAUAAAACCUUGGGUUCUUUCCAAACGAAUCGAACAAGACUGUGUUUUAAGUCAAUCUCUAUUGCAUCAUGCAGAUAAAUAUUGUUUUAUAGGUAUUCUUAUAAAACAGGUACCCCUAAAGUAUCCCUCUUAAUUUAAUUCAUUCAUUGCUGAUAAAAAAAAAAAAUAGGUAUUCUUAUAAAGGUACUCGGAAUGUCCAGCGAAUUUCAGCAGUCUUACCUCUAAAGGAUAACGUUCCAAGAAAUCACUUGCGGUAGGCAAUCUCUGAAUCACUUUUGUCCUUUUAGAUGAAAAGAGCAAAGAAAAAGAAAUAUAUUGCUCAUGAGAAAGCAACCACUUCCAAAAAGAAGUUUCAAAACCAUAGAUAAAGGGUGUUCUUACCGUAUGCUCUGACAGUGCAUAUUCUGCAUCCUUAUUAAACCACAGUUGACUGUUCUUCCCUGAAAUUUGACGAAUAAUUUAUCUUCCCAUUUGUCUUCCUAAUUUGUUGUUCUUAUUAUGAGACUACGCUGUAUGAGAACUCUUAUUCCACUAUCAGCAUCUAUUCCACAGCCAUUUAGGAUCUUAGUAACGUAGACACUGUCCUUACUAACAAAGGAAAUAACAUACAUCAAGGAAUAAAUCUUUUUCCAUUUGAUUGUGUACACCGUCGAAGCUUGUUUUCAGUAUUUUGUAAAAUAAAUAUGAAUUUAACUAUGAGCUAUACUCAAAGAAAAACAAGGAAAGGAUCAGAAAGAUAAAUUGCACUAGAGGACACAAGGAUUAAUUCCAUAACUCACGGGAUCAUGCAAAAAAAAGUGGUUAGGUAGGUAAAACCCUCGCAAACUGAUUGAUCUUAAUUUCGCAGGAAGGUACUCAGAGUCUGCAGCUAGUUUCAAAAGUCUUGAUGAGUCUCUUAGACCUACAGGAAAGUUUCAAAAGUUUCGAUAUUAUGUUGUGUUUAGUUUAGCUAUCUGUUUGGUAGUGUCUGUUUUUGUUUCUACAUAAUAAGCACCGUAGCCUCUAUUCAUGAACCUAGGUUCUAUUGUGAUGAUCCAUCAUAGCCAGAUAGUAGAACAUAUUUUACCAUCCCCCAAAAAUCCAGUUUUAAAGCCCGGUCAUUGAAAUUGCCAGAUCUCACCAAAAUUGUAUUACUGAGCAUCAUAUGAUGUGGUCGGCAAAAGUUGUAUUGGUCCAAAGAAAGCUUCAUGAAACGUACCAUCUGACACAACCUAUGAAGCAUAUUGACACAGACACUGAUAUACAACACAGACACGAAAAUACGUAUAAUCUCUAAAAUGUAGGAUACGGGGACACGAUUUAUAUAUUAUAUAAUCAUGAAUUAUAUAAAUUAAUAAUAAAGAUUUAUGUGCAAAGUAUGUUUGAGUUAUUUUUGGAACAAAAAGAUUUUCUCAUAGCUGGUUCAAAAGGAUUUGUUCUUUAUUUUUAUAAUCAUAAUACGGGUAGAACGUAUACCUUUACGGAUAGCAAUAGGAAGAUCAAGUUCAACUGUUGGAGGUUCAACUGUCGUUGGAUGAGGAAAUAAAAUAGAAUGAGGAAUUUUGUUAUCUAAAACUGAAGAUGGCAUGCGAUUAAUGAGAUAACAUGCACUAAGAACAACAUCACCCCAAAAACACUGAGGAACAUCACCAUGGAUUAAAAUAGUACGAGUUGUUUUAACCAGAUGUCUAUUCUUGCGCCCAGCUACCCCAUUUUGUUAAGGUGUAUAAGCACAUGAAGUUUGAUGAAGAAUACCAUGAGAAGCCAUACAAUUUUGGGGAUAAUAAGUGAGACGACUGGAUAAUAAGUUAAAUGGAGACCCAAAAACAUAAAGAACAUUAUCAAUAGAUAAAGUAUGAAAAAGAUUAAUAGUACCAACACCAUGUGAUGGUAGCCUAUAUUCAUUGGCCAUGGUAACCGAAGGUAAAUAACCCGUAGUUGUACUUGUAAAGGGCUAAGACAGUAUUUGCAACCGGUUGGACAACUAAUUCUUCCCCUUGGUCACGCUUUACUUACUUUCCUUCUUCUUGCAUUCAGGUUUCGGCUCUCUACGGGAGUGCACCUACAAAAGGUUCUUUGAUGCUCAAGUGAGUAUUCAAUAUUUAAGUGCUAUUAAUGUUGUAAUAGUGAAGUACCUUUGCUUUGUCUAAUGUGCUUAUUUAUACCAGUGUAAUUGACUCUAUCAUUGAUGGGUCAUGUUUAUUGUGUAUAAUCAUAAAAAUGAAAUUACCUAAUAUAUCACGUAUUCCUUUUUACUUUGAUGUAUUUACACUAGUUAGUUGUGCGACAUCUGAUACCAAGUGUUAUAGGAUCAUUCGGCCUCGACCGAUACAUGUUUGAUCAAUCAAGAAGAGGUGCAAGUUUUGACCCUAAAUAUAAUAUUGUGGAUAUUCAAAUGAGUUCAAGAUACCAACCAUUUGAUCCAUUUAAUCUAGCACAGAUAAGUGAACAAUGUCCUAUAUCCAACAUUUCAAGUAGACAAACAUGGUUGAUGUGUUGAAUUAAAGCCAGCCUAAGGUCACAUUGACUCAAAUGAUGGAAGAGAACGUCCCUUACCAAGUAGAUCAAAUGUCACAUGCCAAUAAAAUCAUUGAAGUGGAAGGUAUAUUUGGAUUACAGAGGAAGAAGAGAGAACAAGAAGUUGAUGAUGAUGAUGUGGAGGAGUAAGAAACAGGGUAAAGUAAAUGCAUGCGGCUAUUAUUAGAUGACCUACAGUGGCAUCGUCUAUGGCUUAUAUAUAUAUAUAUAUAUAUAUAUAACAAUGCUUGCGGCUCAUACAUACCCAUACAUGCAGUUCAUGUAACAAAAUUUAUAAAUGUAAAUUGAAAAAAAAAUGAAAUACUUUUAAAUUAUACAUAAAACAAAUAGAAUCAGUGUAAAUAACGAGAAAUGAAAUCAAACUUUGUUUAAUUUAGUUUGAAAUAAAGCGAUGAGGCUACGGUGCUUCUUAUGUUGAAAUAAAAACAGACUACAUAGCAUAUAGUAUGGCAAAACACAUAACAAAUUAUUGAACCGCAACUAUCUUUAUUUCAUAAGAAAUACGAGGAUUUCUGAAUGAAAUAUUAUAUGCUAAAAGGGAAAAGAAUUGACAAAAGUAACAACGAGAAAGCAAAUCCAAUAAACAGCUAAGUAAAGCCAAGCAAGCACAAUGUGAGAAAUGAGAAACAGGGUAAAAUAAAUAUGAAUCUCGUAACUAUGAGCUCUACUCAAAGAAAAACAAGGAAAGAUCAGAAAAAAGAAUUGCAAUAAGGACACCAGGAUUCAUUCCAUAACUCAAGGGAUCCGGCUGUUCUCACAUUACAAUUUUCUUUAUUAAUCUAAUAAAAGAUUUUUUUCUUUGGCACAGGCUCCUUUUCUAAGUCAUUCGAUUCACUACAUAUUAGAUAGACAGCUGUGUUCUUGACUACCAAUUCAUUACCAAAACUCACAAAAAUCUCCACCUUGUCUUUUGAUCCUAAAUUUGACAUUAUGUCAGCCCAAUCUUCGUUGUUGAAGGAAAUUACUGUGCCAUGGUUGUGUAUCUGGCAUGUGCACUUUGUGUAAUUAACAAUUAAGACAGUACUAAGUGCAGGUUCAAUGAUUUCAGAGGUUGAUAAAUAAACCACACACAAAGCCAUUCCCUUCACGACACGAUCUUGAGGCACAGUGAAAGAAACAGAAUGUCCCUCACCCAUAUGGGCCAACCAAUAAGGAUCAUUGUCACCUGGGAGAUAAGCAUCACAUAACUCACUGCUUUCAAAUAUCUGUAUCAUGUGAUAAACAAGGAUAUGUUUAGUUAAACAAAAAUGUUAUACAUGAUUAAAACAGAUCUGGUUAAUAGUUUUGUUGUGUAUAUAGCACUUUCAUUUCUUUAAGGAUUUAGAAUGCAUUUCUGUUUUUGUCUCUCUUAGUUUAUAUUUCAAUGAUCAUUGGGAAUAAAGCAAUCAUGAAGCUAGUAAAGCAAGAAAGUGGAAAUCAAUUUGGUAGUACUUAGUAUAAGCAUAAUCACUUGAUUAGUUGUUUAUUAAAAUAAGAUACUUUUAUAUGAAGUCGUGGGGCCAUCGAAGGGAAGAGAUAUAAAAGUUCAGUAUUUUAGUUUGUACUAUAUACUUGAUUAGGAUUAUUUUCUGUUCUCUUAAAUAAUACCUAAAAUGAUGUUGAAGGUAAUAAAAAAGGGAAAGCUAGAGAAGAACCUUAGGUAUGCUACUGCUCCCAGUAUUGAAGAAUUGUUUGUAUCUUCCAACACCAGUCAGAAAAUACCUGAGGUGAUGCUUUGAAAUUACUGAUUCUGUAAUAUUUGCACCAUAUUCGGCCAGUAUGGUUUUUACUUGCUUAGAUAGUUGAAACUCGGCGUCACAUUGCACCAAAACACUUCGAAGAUUUGCGAGGCUGCUAAGCAAUGGUGCAAUAUCAUCCCAACUAUUAUCUUCCGUAUGCAUGAAGGAAUGAAUAUAAGAUAGGGGAUUCGUUGUUGGCGACAUCCGAGACCGAAUGAUAGAAGGAAAAAGAUUAUGUGACGAUUCCUCAAAUCCACGUAGGGAUAUAUAUCCAAUGCUUUUUCGGCUUACAAUUGUAAAAGGCAAUUGUUUCAUAACUGUAUUUUCAGCAAUUAUAGUUAUCAAGGAUUUCAUUCGCACUCUAUCGUUUUCCAUUAGGUCCAUCUUCGAACAACCAGAUAGAAUCAGAGUUUUUAAACAUUUCAGCUUAUAUAUCUCUUCGGGGAGAUUGCUCAGACUUGUACAAUCCUUCAAAUUUAGCAGUAUAAGAUUGCAGAGACAUCCAAUAGAUUGGUGUACUUCACGCAAUCUUGGACAAUCUUUGAGAAUAAGCUGUUCAAGACUUGGUAGUCCGGAAAAGUCAGGGGUUUCUUUUAAGUACUUUGAGUGACUAAGAUUAAGGACUUUUAGCCACGCCAAAACCUUCAAGAAGAUAGUUUUUGAUAAAACGGUAGAGAAGAAUAUGAGAAAACGGAAUAGUUAUAAGUGGAAACAAAUAAUAAUUUUAAAACAAAAUGACACGUAGUAAAAACCUGGGGUUCUUUCCAAACGAAUCGAAGAAGACUGUGUUUUAAAUCAAUCACUAUUGCAUCAUGCAGAUAAAAGUCGUUAGGUAGGUAUUCUGAAGAAAACCCUUGCAUACUGAUCCAUCUCAGUUUCUUAGAAUGGUACUCGGAAUGUCCAGCGAAUUCCAGCCGUCUUGAUGCGUCUCUUGCCUCUAAAGAAUAACGUUCCAAGAAAUCACUUCCGAUAGGCAAUCUCUGAAUCACUUUUGUCCCCUUAGAUGAGAAGAGCUAAGAAAGAAAUAUAUUACACAUGAGAAAGCAACCACUUCCAAAAGAAGUUUCAAAAGCAUAGAUAAAGGAUGUUCUUACCGUAUUCUCUGACAGUACAUAUUCUGCAUCCUUAUCAAAACACAGUUGACUGUUCUUCCCAGUUUCCUUUCUUGAAAUUUGACGAAUAAUUUCUCUUCCCAUUUGUCGUAGCAACGGAUGCAUUCCUAAUUUGUUGUUCUUAUUAACUCGUAUAAGACUACGCUCUGUCAGAACUCUUAUUUCACUAUCAGGGUCUAUUCCACAGCCAUUUAGGAUCUUGGUAACAUACGCUCUGCCUUUACCAACAAAGGAACAACAUAAAUCAAGGAAUAAUUUUUUUUCCAUUUGAUUGCAUAAACCGUCGAAGCUUAUUUUCAAUAUCUGGUCAAAUUUACGGUCGGGAAUUUUCUUUAAUUUUAAGAGUACUCUAUUCCAUUCUUCUUUCGUCCUUUCAUAUAAAUAACUUUCAAUGACUUCAAGAGCUAGAGGUAGUCCUCCACAAUAAGCAACUACUCUUUCUGCUAGGAAACGAUAAUCUUCUUUUGGUUUUGCUUCUUUAAAUGCGUGCCAACUAAGAAGCUCAAGGGAUUCAUCUGAGUUCAUUAGCUCUACCUGAAAAAUAGAAUCAGUUUGAUAUAUCAUCGGUAGUUUUUCAGGUGUUGUUGUAAUGAUUAUUACACUUCCUCUUCCAUACCAAUGACGGCAUUCCCAUAGUAAUGUGGCAUCAAACGGAGGCACAUCGUCAAGUACAAUGAGCACCCUUUUCCCAGAAAGUCUUUCCCGAAUCAUACGUCUUCCCAUCUCAAAGCUAUCUAUCUCUACCUUUGUUUUUAGGACAUCUGAAAGGAGUUGUUCUAGUAAACCAAGAUCCCCUCUUAUUCCGAUAACUUGUCCAAUAUCUUCAAUGAAACUUUUCUCCGUGAAUGUAUCAUGAAUUUGAUGGUAGAUGGCUUUAGCAAGGGUGGUUUUACCAGAUCCUCCCUGUCCACAUAUCGCUAUCCUACAAACUUCCGUGGAUUUACUUUUGAUAGUUCCAAUCAGAUCCUCCACUUGGUAUUGUAAUCCAACUGGAAAUUUAGUAGCAGACAACACUGGUAAAUUAAGAACGGUCUUAACAAUUUUGUCCACUAGUUCAGCAUCACUCCUUCAAGUUCAAUAGCAAUUAUGGAAGAAGUCAUGUCAUGUAUUACCAAAAUUAAAUCAGAAGCUUAAAAUAUGGUGAUUGAGUGAGUGAUUUACCUGUAAUUGCUCUCAUCCCAUCCAAAGAAAUUUGCAGCUUUGGUGAGUGCGUGGCUCCAUUUGGACAUGGCAUGUUCCAGUUGUUGUCCUGAAAAUGUUUGGUGUGCAGUUUCUUUCAAGGCUUUUCCAAAAUCACCCUUCUGAAGACGUACAUCAGAUGGCUCAAUUUCGUAAUAAACGGGCAGAACAUGUCGACAAUAAGUUUCUUUCCAUCUAAUGAUUUGUUGAAGCUGGUGAAGACACCAAGCAGAUUGAGAAUAGGUUUUGGUGAAAACAACAAUUGCUACACGAGAGAGAUUGAGAAUAGGUUGUUGGAUGUGAAUUGGGUUGUGUGCAUUGGGGUGGUGAAGGAAAGUGGUGAAGCCAACAGCAGAGAGGGCAGAAUUGAGAUGAGACACAAAUUUCCUUUGGAUGUCUUCUCCAGUAAAGUUGAUGAGUACAUCGUACAUCCGUGGGAGUUUGGAUGUUGAGGAGGCCAAUUCCAUGGAAGGAAUUGAUGAGGUCAUCAACUGUUAGCAGAAGAGAAACAAAUGAUGCAACGCAGUCAAAUAAUAUGCACAGACAUAACCGUUAAGGACACCAAAGAUGAAUAAUACAUUUUUUUAUAGUCAAAUGAUAUCACAGAACCUCUUUUACUUUAGCCAUUUUAAAAGUUAGACCAAUGCACGCCAACUUUGAAUCACUGAAAAAAUAAAUAUUAUACUAAUACCUAUGAAAUUUUCUCCAAUAUAUUCCUUUUUUAUAUUAUGCGUCCAGCUUUUUAAGUUUUAAAAUAUAACAUGCAUGUUUACAUUACCCAUUCACCUCGUUAACAUAAAUCAUUGUAACAAAGUAACAAAAUAAAAAAAAAGUAUAAAUAUAAUUUGAAAAAAUUUACGACAGGUCAUUUUUUAUAAACAAGUAGCGAUGAAGUUCGCGCACAUCAAUGGAGAAGGAAAGGUGUCAGUGAAAGGGUAGCUUUGUCAAAUGAAAUAAUUGGUUUCAAUUGGUUCGUUGACAAAAAUUUCUUGCUAGAUUUGCCUAUUAUUGGCAAGAAGUGCACAUGGUUCAAAUCAAAUGGAUCAACUAAGAGCAGGUUAGAUAGAGUGCUUGUGAACAAUGAUUGGUUACAGAAUUGGUCAGGGUGUAAACAGCAGGUAGUGUUUGAUCACUAUGUUUUAGUGGUGAAGUUUAUGGUAAAAGACUGAGAUCCUAAGCCAUUCAGAACUAUCGACGCAUGGCACAUGGAGAGGGGAUUCAAGGAGCUGGUGCAAGAGAAAUGGAUGUCAUACUCUACACAAGGGAAUGACAUGAUCAAACUCAAAGAUAAGUUGAAGAUGCUAAAGAACGACCUAAAAGUCUGGAACAUGGAUGUGUUUGGUAAUAUUGACUUAAAAAAGAGUAGAAUCUUGAAGAGAAUAGAAGAAGUUGACUGUCAAGAUGCAUAUGGCAAGCUGGAGGGAAGUUCUAGGCUUGAAAGAAUGGAACUCGUUAGCCAAUUGAGGGUGACAAAUAAAAAGAUAUAAUCUCUCACUAGUCAAAAGACGAGAGUAAAUUGGCUAAAGCAUGGGGAUUCAUGUUCAAGAUACUAUCACUCAAUUCUAAGGUGGAGAAGACUUAGGAAUGAAAUCAAAAGAGUUGAGGUCGGAGGUGAGUGGUGCGAGGAGCCUGAAGUUGUUAUAAAAGAAGCAAAAAAGUUGUUCCAAGACAAAUUUGUGGCUACUAAAGACGUCGGGGUUAGAAUUGGUGCGGCUAAGUUUAAAACCCUCUCUGUGGAAGGAAAUCUUAUCCUUAUUGUUGAGUUCACUAAGGAAGAAGUGCAGGAAGCGGUGUGGCGAUGUGAUGGCUCAAAGAGUCCUGGUCCAUAUGGAUAUAACUUUAACUUCAUCAAGAAAAGUUGGGAUGUUAUUAAAAGUGACAUUGUAGCAGUGGUGGCACAGUUCCAUGAUUCAAGUAGCAUACCAAAAGGAUGUAAUGCUUCGUUUAUAGCCUUGGUCCCUAAAGUUAGUGACCCUUUGAAGCUUGAUCAGUAUAGACCAAUCACCUUAGUGAGUGCUCUAUAUAAAAUCAUAUCGAAGGUGUUGUCUUGUAGAAUCAAGUCUGUUCUGCCAUCGGUGAUAGAUGGGAGUCAUUCGGCCUUUUUGAUGGAUAGAGGGAUGCUGGAUAGCGUACUAAUGGCGAAUGAAGUGGUAGAGGAGCUCAGGAGGGAUGGGAGGAGUCUCCUAUUUUUAAAGGUGGACUAUAAAAAGGUGUACCACUCGGUCAAGUGGGAUUUUCUUUAUCAUAUGAUGCAAAGGUUGGGGUUUCACUAUAAAUGGAUUUUAUGGGUCAGAGAAUGCUUGGUUUUUGCUUCGGUCUCGAUUUUGGUUAAUAGAAGUCUACUGAAGAAUUUAAACCGACGAGAGGGUUGAGGCAGGGUGAUCAUCUAGCACCAUUCCUAUUUAUCAUAGUAGCUGAAGGCCUUGCUGAGUUAGCCAAACAAGCUAUAAAGGCCAAUGCGUUAUCAGGCUUGAAGAUUGGUAGGAAUGCGGUAGAGGUGUGCGUGCUUCAAUUGGCUGAUGAUACACUUUUUCUAUGUGAAGACUCCUUUAGAAAUGUAAUCACUAUGAAGGCUAUAUUGAGGGGCUAUGAACUUGCAUCAGGCUUGAAGAUUAAUUUCCAUAAGUCGAAGGUUGCAGGCAUAAAUGUUGAAAGGAAUGCCCUGGAUCUCUACGCUAAGACCUUAAAUUGUACGCAGAUGUCGAUUCCUUUCAAGUAUUUGGGGCUUGAAGUGGGUGGUAACCCUAGGAAGAUAAUGUUUUGGGAGCCAAUCCUAAGGAAACUUAAAGCAAAACUCAGUGCGUGGAAAGGGAGAUUCUUGUCAUUGGCAGGAAGAAUAUGUUUAAUUAAAUUUGUCCUCUCAGCUUUGCCUCUCUUCUAUCUAGCAUUCUAUAAAGCGCCAGAAUUCGUAUUAGCAUCACCAGCAUCCAAAGGAGGUUCUUGUGGGCGUGGGGGAAGGAAGAAAGAACAAUAUCAUGGGUAAGAUGGGAGGAUGUGUGUAAACCUAAAGAGGAAGGUGGGUUGGGUGUUAAAGACAUUAGAAAGUUUAACCAAGCUCUUCUGGCUAAAUGGAGGUGGUGUUUACUGAUUGGAGAGAAAGGCAAAUGGAGAGACUUGCUGGUGUCAAAGUAUGGCUCGGCUGCUAGUACGCCAGUGAAGCUCCAAUCAUGGUGGUCGGGGGACCUGUCCAAAGUUUGUCAUGGGGGAGGAGGUGGUGGAUGGUUUCAGGAAGCAACAAGUUUGAAAAUAGGAGCUAGUGAUAAGGUUAGAUUUUGGAAGGAUGUGUGGGUUGGAAAUCUGAACCUCAAAACAGUAUUCCCUAGGUUGCAUUCUUUAUCCUUGAACCAGGGAGAAAAGGUAGGUGAGGCUGGCGUGUGGGUAGGAUCAGAAUGGCGGUGGAGUCUAAGGUGGAGAUGUGCUAGGUUUGUGUGGGAAUCUAUUAUGGAGGAAGAUCUUUUAAGGCUCAUAUCUCAAACCAAUCUGUAUAAAAAGGUGAAGGGCUACCAGGUGUGGAGGAAUGAAGAAUCAGGGAUGUUCUUAGUGAAAUCGGCGUAUGAUCACUUAACUAAUCCUGUAAGAGGUCCUCACAAUGACCUCUUCAAGUGAUUUUGGAAGAUAAAAGCGCUACCCAACGUGUUGUUUACGGCCCGGAUGGUCUUAUUGGAUAGAAUUCCAACAAGAGUAGCAUUAAGUAGGAGAGGAGUGUCAGUGCCUACUCCCUUAUGUGCUGUGUCAGGCUAAGGAGGAGUCAAGUCAACAUUUAUUCAUAGAAUGCAUGAUUGCCUAGAAGGUUUGGCCUACAUGUUUUAGAUGGAUUGGUAUUCUAUCGGUGCAACACAAUGAAUUGAAGUGCCAUUUUGAGAAUUUUCAUCUGGAACAGGUGAAUAGCAAUCAAAACUUGGUAUGGAAAGGUAUUUGGGCAAUCAUAGUGAGGUGUAUUUGGGAUCAUAGAAACAACGUUAUUUUCAAACAAGGAGCAGUUAAUGCGGAAGAGAUUUUCCAUAUGGUACAACUUAUGUCUUGGUUGUGGAUGAAGUAUAGGACUCCUUCUUUCAAUCACUCCUACACGGGUCCUGAAUCCCCUUCCAUGUAUUAGAAGUUAUAGGUAAGGGGAAGGAAUAUAGGAAGCAAUUAUGGAGGGAAAGGUUGAAUGUAGGGUAGCUAUAGUACUCGAAGGAAACUAUCACGUGAAGGGUGUUUAGUAGGCUGGGAGAGUUCAGGUAGGGGCAGCACAAAGUAGAGCAACCUUAUCAAUGCUGAUGCAGUUCUAAGGAGUUGCAGGAAUUAAUAGUAGCAGCAGAGGUGUUGAGCCUCUCCCCAAGGAUUCCCCAGUUUCCAUUUCAUUAUGAGACUGGUGUAGAAGUAGGAUGUGGACUUUAUGUAGCUCUGCUACUGGUGCUGGUCCAGAAGCAUAGUUCUCAAGGUAAAGGUGUCGGUAAAUACUAAAGGCAAGUUUUUAAUGCUUACUUGAGGGGCGCCAGGGUAAGCUAUGCAGGUUGUUUUGGUUGCAUAACUGACGACUAGACUGUGCUUUUGAACUAUUGGUGUAUCAGCUGUUGGGAGAAAGCCUGUGCUGGCCAGUCUAUGAGAAGCAGAACAUACUCACUUCAGUUUUGAGUGCACCAAUAAAUCUGCAUAAUUUAGGUGGUAUAAAUGCUACACUUCAGAUGCUAAUUACGGUACUCUGAUGAGACUUUUAAUCAUAAAGCGCAAGUUGCACAAUGAUGGAAAAAGAAUUUUAAUUUCAACUAGAAGGCUGUUAUUAAGGUGCGAAACAGAACAACUCUGUAGCAUUUGAAGCAAAAAUGUCAAAGGUCUAUAGGUUCUGCUUUGUGGACCCUUAGGAGGAGAAAAUGAAAUGCCUGGAUGAGGUAGCAGGAGGCAUUAGCUUGCUGAUUUUGAGGAGCUGAAGGGGUCAGUAAAGUCUGAGGUGAGUAGAGGUAUCGGGCAGAUUUAAGAGAUUGGGUGAGAAGCCUCUUAGAGGGUGCAAAGCUGGGUUAGUAUGUAGAAAGUUGUGAAGGGAAGGUGAUGCGAGAAGUACUCAAUCCCAAUGCAGGAAUUUGUUUGAACCUGGAAGUGGAGGGAUUGGUUUAAAUGUUGAACUAGCUUUAGAGAACAAUUGAGGAGGCUUAAGGAGAAAGUGUUCGUUUUUUGAGAAAUAAGCACCAGUACUCUCCAAGUCAAUUUUCUAGCCUUUAUUAGAAUCUCUUAAGGAAAGUUAGAAAAUGCUGCAGCCAAUUUGUUCGAGAGUUCAGUUUCUGCUUGAAGAUUAUGCUUGAAGUACUGUGCCGGUAAUUGCUAUGUCCAUGAGUAGAAUGGCUUGAGAAGAUUCUGCUGCAGCCAUUAGAUAACCAUGCAGUUUGACUCUCUGAGGAAGAAUGGUGGAAAUAAGGUAGAAUGAAAGGUGCAUGAAAAUAGGCGUGAUGAUGCAGUUAAGGCAGCAAAAGAGCCUCUUUGCUGUUGUAAAGGUUGGCCAGAGUUUUUUUCAAUACUUGCAUUUAUGUUGGUGUGUGGUAGAGAAUUUUAUGGAAAGUGCUUCUCUGCUGUAUAAGGUGCUGUUAUCAACAUUGAGAUAUCUGCAGUCUCAUGCUUACUGCAUAAGUUUGAAGGUCUAGGACCUAAUUGUUUGUGGAGGAUGCUUAGUCUUUAAUAUGUAGCCUUUUUUUGGUGAUGGCAACUUUUCAAUGGUUCCGUUUGUAGGAAAGUUGCUUAGAGUGUUUGUUGUUGUAUAAUGGUUGGACACUUCUAAAAUAUCUUUUUUAAUUUAUUAAUUUUUUAAUAAUUAAAAAAUAAACAAGUAAAGAAAUUGUGUCUCUUUAUUAAAAUAUAAUAAUUAUUAAAAAUAUUAGUUAAAUGAAUGUCUUUUCUAAAAUUACUGAGCUUAUAGUGUCAUUUUAUUAAUAAAAAAAUUAAUAUUAGAGGAAAUGUUCGCCUAGGGAAAAAAAUACAUGUAAUUUUCUCUUUUAUUUACAAUACAGAUUGUAAAAAAAAAAUGAAUGAAAGUGAUAAAUUUAAUAUAAUUUUAUUUAUUACACUUUUUACAUUAUAAAAUUGUAUAUAUCCUUAGUGAAAAAUCCAUUCUUGAUACCACUCUCUUCGCAUGAGGAGAGUUUCAAAAGUAUUUCAUUUUAAAACAACUUAAAGUGGGUCUCCAAACAUGGAAAAGGGUAAGUACUUUCUUGGAAAUUCCUCAUACACAAUCAUGUAAAAUGAGUCAAUUACGUCACCUAUUUUUAUGUUGAACUCCUACGCAAAAAAAUAUGGUAAUAUUUUCGUAAAUAUUUCAAACAUGUUCAGAUGUUCUAGGGUCUCAUGUAAAUAUUCAUAUAUUUACGUCAGAAGUUGCUUAAAUAAGAACACAAUGCAUCUUCUUCCUUGCAUUUUGAACGCACAUGAAUCCCUCUUCUUCUUCUCUGACGAAGGCGACUACAACGCGAGUCUGCACUUGUUGGUCAUCUAAAUUCUACUUCCGUCUUUAUGUCUCAUUUGUGGCGGCAGACCUUUCUCUCUAAUUGCAUUAUUGGAGCAUUUGUGGGUGAAUGUUUGUCAUUCAUGUUAGUUUUUUCACUAGUAUAAAAUGAUGAAAAUAAUACUCUUAUUAAGUGCGGCUUUGCGUUCAAACGCAUUCGUAAAAAAUACGGUGACAUUUUUUAAAUUAAUUUGAUUUACAAAUGCGGCUAUUCAAAUAGCCGCAUUUGUAAAUCUUUUUUUACCCUAAAAUUUAAAUUGCACACACUACUUUCAUAUUUUCUUCUCCACUUUGCCUUUCGUUUUCACUGUUCCUCCGCUCGCGUACGCUUGCAGUUCUUCUCUUCUUCUGCAUCUUCAUUAAUUUGUGUCAUUGUGAGUUUCUUGAAUUGCUUUCUUUCUCUGCAUCUUCACUACGUAUAAAUCUUUUUCGUUUUUCCUUAUAUUUGUUUUUUCUCCUUGCAUUGUGGUCAAACUGUUCCAUUGGCAUUCUCAUCUCCAUCGCUACUCUGCAACCGCUUCCGCUGUCGUUGCUGGCGCUCCCCUGCCACUCUUCACCACCAACGUCGGUUCACACACAAGAUUAGUGUUCUGUUUUAAAUUUUUUGAAUUUUUCUUUAAUAUUUUGAAUUUAUUUUUUUAUGUAUUAUAAUUUGUAUAUUAUUUAUAAAUAAUUUGUACAUUGUGGGUUACAUUUGAACAUAUUUAUUAUUAUUUUUAUUUACUGAAGCAUAUACAAGUGCGGCUAAAAGUCGCACUUGUAAAUUGUAUUUAUAAAUGCGGCUAUAUAACCGCAUUUGUAUCUCUUCGAUUUACAAGUGAGUGUUGAUCAAAUGCGACUAUAUAGCCACAUUUAUAUAUUCAAAAUAGCCGCACUAGUUGUGUGUUUUUGCACCAGUGUUUAUAUCUUCUUUUUACUAUUGAAAUUGAAACUCUGGUAGUUUUUUAGAUCUCAAUCAUCAUGAUAAUGCAUGAAUGUUUCCAUUGAAUUGUUGUUAGUUAUUAUUGAUAUUGAAAUUUUUGUUAAAUUAAAUGUGUUAUUUAGUUGUUUAUAUUUCAAAUAUUAAAAUUAAUGUUUGUGUAAUUGUGAAUAUUAUAAGAUGUUUAAAAUUGUAUUCUACACAUUAGAAAUAGUCAAAAUUAUAGGGAUUAAUUAUAGAAAAAGGCAUUUGUUUGACAGUUGUAUUUUCAGCAAUUAUAGUUAUCAAGGAUUUCAUUCGCACUAUAUCUUUUUCCAUUAGGUCAAUCUUCCAACAACCAGAUACAAUCAGAGUUUUUAAGAAUUUCAACUUAUACAUCUUUCUGGGGAGAUUGCUUAGAUUUGUACAGUCUUGCAAAUUUAGCAAUGUAAGAUACAAGAGGCAUCCAAUAGAUUGGUGUACUUCCCUCAAUCUUGUUCAAUCUUUGAGAAUGAGUUGUUCAAGACUUGGUAUAUGAAAAGUCAGGUUUCUAUCAAGUACUUGGAGUGACUAAGAUUAAGGACUUUUAGCCACGUCAAAACCUUCAAGAAGAUAGCUUUUGAUAAAAUAUUAGAGAAGCAAAUGAGAAAACGAAAUGGUUAUAAGUGAAAACAAAUAAUGAUUUUAAAAGAGAAUGGCACGUAAUAAAAACCUGGGGUUCUUUCCAAACGAUACGAAGAAGACUGUGUUUUACGUCAAUCACUAUUGCAUCAUGCAGAUAAAUAUCUUUAGAUAGGUAUUCUUAGAAAGGUACUCGAAAUGUCCAGCGAAUUUCAGCAGUCUUGAUGGUCUCUUACCUCUAAAGGAUAACGUUCCAGGAAAUCACUUGCGGUAGGCAAUCUCUGAAUCACUUUUGUCCUUUUAGAUGAAAAGAGCAAAGAAAAAGAAAUAUAUUGCUCAUGAGAAAGCAACCACUUCCAAAAAGAAGUUUCAAAACCAUAGAUAAAGGGUGUUCUUACCGUAUGCUCUGACAGUGCAUAUUCUGCAUCCUUAUUAAACCACAGUUGACUGUUCUUCCCUGAAAUUUGACGAAUAAUUUAUCUUCCCAUUUGUCGUAGCAACGGAUGCAUUCCUAAUUUCCUGUUCUUAUCAUGAGACUACGCUAUAUGAGAACUCUUAUUCCACUAUCCGCGUCUAUUCCACAGCCAUUUAGGAACUUAGUAACAUAGACUCUGUCCUUACCAACAAAGGAAAGAACAUACAUCAAGGAAUAAAUCUUUUUCCAUUUGAUUGUGUAACCCGUCGAAACUUGUUUUCAAUAUUGUGUAAAAUAAAUAUGAAUUUAACUAUGAGCUAUACUCAAAGAAAAACAAGGAAAGGAUCAGAAAGAUAAAUUGCACUAUAGGACACAAGGAUUAAUUCCAUAACUCAAGGGAUCCUGCUUUUCUCAAAGAAGAUGAAUGAAUUGUAAUAAGGACACACGGAUUGAUUCCAUAACUCAAGGGAUCCUGUUAUGUUCUCAAUGAAGAACAUUAACUCAGCAGAAGUCACACAUUACCAUUUUCUUAAAGAAUUUAAUUAAGGUAUUUUCCAUUGGCUCAAGGCAAGAAUCCAUUUCCAAGUCAUUUGAUUCACCAUAUAUCAGAUAGGCAACUGUGUUAUUGACCACCAAUCCAUAACCAAAAGUCACAAAAAUCUCCACGUUGUCUCCUGAUCCUAAACUUGACAUUACGCCAUGCCAAUCUUCAUCAUUAAAGGAAAUUACUGCGUCAUGCUUGUGCAUAUGUAACGUGCAGUUUGUGUAAUUAACAAUUAAGACAGUAGUAAGUUUGGGUUCAAUGAUUUUGGAGGUUGAUAAAUAAACAACACACAAAGGCAUUCCCUUUAUCUCACGAUCUCCAGGUACAGUGAAAGAAACAGAAUGUCCCUCACCCUUAUGGGCCAACCAAUAAGGAUCAUUGUCACCCGGGAGAGAAACAUCACAAAACUCACUGCUUACCAAUACCUGCACAAUGAGAUGAAAAGCUUAGUCAAUUAUGUAAUUUUUCAAUUCAAACUGUCUUCUGCAAUUAUUAUUUUAUAAUUCAAAUUACAAAAUGAGAAUUAUAAUCAAAUAAUGUAACUCAUAAUUAAGAAAUACCACUGAUAAUUAAUUUAAACAAAUCUGGCUAAUAGUCUUGUGUAUAUAUAUAACACCAUCAUGUCCUUAGGACUUAGAAUGCAUUUCUGUUUUCGUCUCUUACAGUUUAUAAUUCUACGAUCAUUGGGAAUAAAACAAUUAUGAAGCAAGUAAAGCAAGAAAGUGGAAAUCAAUUUCCUAUUAAAUAGUAUAAAAAAGUAUAAUCACUUGGUUAGUUGAUUAUUAAAAUUAGAUACUUUUAGAUGAAGCUGUGUGAUAAUAGAAGUGAAGAGGUCUAAAAGUUUCAUAUUGUAGUUUCUGUCAGAUACUUCAUCAGGAUUAUUUAAUGUUCUCUUAAUAAUAGCUAGAAUGAUAGUGAAGGUUAUAAACAAAGGGAAAGCUAGAGAAGAACCUUAGAUAUGCUAUCGUUCACAGUAUUGAAGAGUUCAUUGUAUCUUCCAAAACCAAGGAAAGAAGACCUCAACUGAUGCUUUGAAAUUCCUGAUUCUGAAAUAUUUGCACCAUAUUCGACCAGAAUAGUUUUUACUUGCUUAGAUUGCUGAAACUCGGUAUCACAUUGCACCAAAACACUUCGAAGAUUUCAAAGAAUUUUAAACAACGGUGCAAUAUCAUCCCGACUACUAUCCUCCUCAUCCAUGCAAACCAAAUGAAUAUAAGAUAGGGGAUCCAUUGUUGGUGACAUCCAAGACCUAAUGAUAGAAGGAAAAAGAUUAUGUGACAAUCCCUCAAAUCCACUUAGGGAUAUAUAUCCAAUGCUUUUUGAGUAUACAAUUGAAAAAGGCACUUGUUUGACAACUGUAUUUUCAGCAAUUAGUGUUAUCAAGGAUUCCAUCUGCACUAUAUCUUUUUCCAAUAGGUCAAUCUUCGAACAACCAGAAAGAAUGAGAGUUUUCAAACAUUUCAACUUAUAUAUCUUUCUGGGCAGAUUGCUUAGACUUGUACAAUCCUUCAAAUUUAGCAGUAUAAGAUUGCAGAGACAUCCAAUAGAAGGGUGUACUUCGCGCAAUCUUGGGCAAUCUUUGAGAAUGAGCUGUUCAAGACUUGGUAGUCCCGAAAUGUCAGGGGUUUUUGUCAAGUACUUGGAGUGACUAAGAUUAAGGACUUUUAGCCACGCCAAAACCUUCAAGAAGAUAGUUUUUUGAUAAAAUAUUAGAAAAGAAAAUAAAAUAGUUAUAAAUGAAAACAAAUAAUGCUUAUUUUAAGCUGAAAUUGAAAAGAAAAUGGUACGUCAUAAAAACCUGGGGUUCAUUCCAGACGAAUCGAAGAAGACUGUAUUUUAAAUCAAUUGCUAUUGCAUAAUGCAGAAAAAAGUCAUUAGGAAGGUAUUCUGAAGAAAACCCUUGCAAACUGAACCAUCUCAGUUUCAUAUAGUGGUACUCAUAAUUUUCUGCGAAUCUCAGCAGGCUUGAUGUGUCUCUUACCACUAAAGGAUAACGGUGGAAGAAAUCUUUUGUUGUUAAAAGCAUUUUCAAAGGCAAUCUCUGAAUGGGCUCAUUGGAUUUAUCCGAAAAACAGAAUCAACUUCAUGAAUCCUCAGUAUGUGUUCAUCUCUCGUUGUAAUGAUUAUUAUAGUUCCUCCACUGAAGCAACGGCGGCAUUCCCAUAGGUCGAGUAAUGCACAAAACUCAGGCACAUCAUCAAGUACAAUGAACACCCUUUUCCCAGAAAGUCUUUCACGAAUCAUUCUUUUUCCCAUCUCAACGCUGCUUAUCUUCACCUUUGUUUUUAGGACAUCUGAGAGAAGUUGUUCUUGUAAACGAAGAUCCCCUCUUAUUCCACUAAAUUGUCCAAUAUCUUCAAUGAAACUUUUCUCCGUGAAUGUACCAUGAAUUUGAUUAUAGAUGGCUUUUGCAAGGGUAGUUUUACCACAUCCUCCCUGUCCACAUAUCGCUAUCCUACAAUCCUCCGUGGAUUUACUUUUGAUAGUUCUAAUCAGAUCCUCCACUUGGUAUUGUAACCCAACUGGAAAUUUAGUAGCAGACAAGACUGGUAAAUUAAGAAGGCUUUUAACAAUUUUGUCGACUAGUUCAGCAUCACUCCUUCAAGUUCAAUAGCAAGUAUCGAAGAAGUCAUGUAUUACCAAAAUUAAAUCUCAAGCAUAAAAUUUGGUCAUUGAUUGAGUGAUUUACCUGUGGUUGCUUUCAUCCCAUCCAAAUAAAUUUGCAGCUUUGGUGAGUGCCUGGCUCCAUCUGGACGUGCCAUGCUCCAGUUGUUGUCCUGAAAAUGUUUGGUGUGCCGUUUCUUUGAAAGCUUUACCAAAAUCACCCAUCUGAAGACGUACAUCAGAUGGCUCAAUUUCGUAAUAAACGGGCAGUUUGGAUGUCGAAGACAGCAAUUCCAUGGAAGGAAUUGAUGAGGUCAUGAACUAUUACAAGAAGAGAAAGCAAUAAUGCAACAAAGUACGCCGAAGAUUAAGACUUUUUCUUUUUAUACUUGUGGAAUCGAGUUAAGACCAUAAGAGACCCUUCUUUACUUUAGCAUUUAAGAUAUGGCUAAUUCUUUAUGCAAGUGAAGUAAAUUGAAAAAGUAAAUCUUGAAAAGAUUCUUGUAUUCUUAAAUUGUAAAAUCAAAAUCUCAUUUUGAAAAAAAUAUUAUAGAAUCAAAAAUACAUUUUAGAAAAUAAAUUUUGGAAAACAAAAUCCAUAAAGUUAUAUAAUGGAAUUAAAAAAGUGUUCUAAAAAUCUAAAUCUGAAAAUGUAUUAUAAGAGGUUCCAAAAUGUAUUUUGAUCCACUCCCCCUCUUUAUUUAAGGGUAUUUUUGUCUUUUCAGAUAAAAAUCGGAUGUAAGUUCAAAUUUCAUUGGGUGGAAGAAGUAAUUGCCUUAAGAUAAUAGGCUAACACUCACUUUGAAUCAUAAAAAAGAAAAUAUCAAUAAUUACAAAAAAAAUUGUAAUUAUAUUUUUAUACUUUUUAAUUUAAGAACAUUACAUUAUCUCUUCUUUUAUUUUAGUCAUAUAUCCCUUUUAAGUUUAAAAAAUAAAAAAAUACAUUAUAUUUUUUUUCAUAUUUGUGUAUAUCUAAAGAGGUCAUUGUAAUAUAGAUCACAACCUUCAAGAAAACACUCAAACUGCUGAGCACUUCUAUCAUACACUGAACGAAUUGAGGCCAAAAAAGUUAAGAGAUCCAAAUGUCAAAGGACUGAGCGAAUCCAAAAAGGUUGAGCGCAAAGAUUCAUUCACCAUGAAGAAAGCCAAAAUUUGCUCACGAAAGACUUGAAGUCAUCAUGCACCAAAAUUAGAAGGAAAAGGAUUUCGCUUGAAGCAAAGCCCAAGCAAAAAUCACUUCAUGGCUAAGAAAGAGAAAGUGUUGGGCUCAGGUUGGAAUGAAUCCUUGAUAGAUAGAUCCUUAAAUCUAAGAAUCCCAAGAAGCCCAAGAACUUGUCUUGAAGCCCAAAGAUUACUCUAGCCUAAACAUAUGUGCUAUAUUGUUAUUGUUAGAAUUAGUGGCCUAAACAAGAGGGGAAGUGAAUUAUUUUCAUAAGAUUUUUGCAAAGAUUGGAAAUAGAGUGAAAAGUUCUAAAUCAACCAAUUGAUUUUCUGUUCAACUGGAUAAAAAUUUAGUUUUAAUGUUCUUUACAGAAAUUCAACCGGUUGUUUUCUCGAAACAAGAGGUUGGUUAAACCAGUAGAAAAAGAACAAUUAUUAAAACAAUAUAAAAGAAAAGGGAUAGAGAGAUUCACGCACAAAGGUUUAUACUAGUUUACUCUUAACCAAGAGCUACAUCCAGUCCUCAACUAACCAAUGAGAAUUCACUAUGUAAUCAAACCUAGAUUACAAACCACACACCAAGAAACCACACACCAAGAGUGAUAUCUUGAACCCCUCAAGAAUCACCACCUUGGCAACACCACAAUUUUCAUAAACACCUUUUUGAAACUACCUUUCACCAAAUACACCGAAUUAUAGUGUUCAAAGUGAAGGAAAAGAAUACACAUGGGCUUUACAAAGUAGAAGAACAUAAGUAUACAAAGACCCAGUCCUAUUCCACACACAAGUGAUGAUCCAAAACUCUUGAACUCUUGAAAAACGUUUUUCAUCAUCUUUCUUUCUUUGGUUCUUGAAAAGAAUAUCAAAUAACCUUUAUAUAGACUUAAGCAAGUGGUCAAAGUUGUUAGAUCAUAAAUCAAAAGAAGUUGGAAUCAUUUAAAAACAGUUCAAAACACUUCAUAAAAUUUUGUUAUAAAAACAACAAAUUGACAGCAAAGCCAAAACAAAGCAAAGUUUUCCCAAAUCAUUUUAAAAACCACUAAGUGUCAAACAACCAAUUGUUUCGACAAUUCAACAUGUUGAAAUUUCACGACUUUUUAGAAAACACUUCUUUUCAAAAAAGAUAAAGAAUCAAGUGAGCUUGGAUCAAUACAAGGAGUGAAUUAACAAGUAAAAAACUACUAGACAACACACACACAUAGCAGCAGGGUCUUCAAGCUUUUCACAUAGAUUUGGAGACAUCAAAUCAUCUUGUUCAACAGUUAUUCUUUUACUUUCAAUAUCUUGUUAAUAGAGUAAGUGGAAAGUAUUUUUAAAAAGGGUAAAAUAAUAUUUUCCAAAUAUGAUGAGGUGCAGGAAGAAACAUUCUUAAAAUUAACAUCAAUAAAAAAAUAGUAACUCUAUGACCAUCAUUGUACCAACAACACAGGCUUUCCCCAAAUUUUUUAUUGUAUAUCUAAAGCUGAGCUUACUUAGAUUAUCCAAGGCAAGUUUCUCAUUAGAUAUCUAGUCAGCCAAAACGUGCAACAAUUUAUUUUGAAUGCCAAUAAGAGCAACUUGUUUAUUUUAAUUACCUUUUUCGUCUCUACAUUUAGAUUCAAUAGUGAAUUUAAUACCGUGGUUUUUAAAAAAAUCAAUUUGAUUCCUAAGUUUUUUAAAAUGUAUUCAAAAUAAUCAUUUCUGUUAAAUUUUUACCAACGACAUUAACAGUUGAUGACGUGGCACACAGUAUAUAAGUCUAGGCACGUGACAUAUACGUGUCACAUAAGACGUUGAGACUAUAGUCUUUUACCGUUCAACCUUGCGCCGGUCACAUUCACCGCCAUUCAGAUGAUUUUUGGAGUAACCGUGGCUAUCAUACUUGGAGGCAAGGAAUCUCACCAAGGAGGAGUACGUCGCGAAUCAUCCCGUCGGCAAGAUCGGGAAGAGUCUCAUCUUUAAGGUCCUUUUUUUAUUCAUUUGUAUCUGUGUUUGAAGGAUUUGUAUAAAACAAGAAGGAUUAAAAAACAAAGCAAAUGUGAAGGCCAAGAGUAUGAAGAAAAGUUUAGGUAGUUUGGUGAGUUGUUCCACUGUGUAGUGUAAGAGAAAGAGAGAGAUAGUGACUCUGAUUCACUCGCCAAACCAUCUGCACAACAUAAUUCAUUAUACAGAUCGCUCUUUCCUCAUUUCUCCCUUAACGGACAAAUAUACCCCUCCCCUCUCCAUAUCAUUUAUAUAAUUCAUUCAUAUUAAAAUAAUAAUCUACAUCUAUAUUAUUUUUCUAAAGUGAAAUGGGUGCUGCAAUUCACGAGCUUCCACGACUAUGAAAAAUAAAUGUAUCUUUGGCUACUUUGAAUGGUUUUGUGUCUUUUUGACUGUGUUGCAUUAUUGCUUUCUCUUCUUCUAACAGUUGACCUCAUCAAUUUCUUCCAUGGAAUCGUCAUCUUCAUUAUCAAAUCUGCCACGGAUGUACGAUGUGCUUAUCAACUUUAAUGGAGAAGACAUCCAAAGGACAUUUGUUUCUCAUCUCGAUUCUGACCUCUCUGCUGUUGGCCUCACCACCUUCCUUCACCACCCCAAUGCAGUCAAUCCAACGCACAUCCAACAACCUAUUCUCAAUCUCUGUCGGGUAGCAAUUGUAGUUUUUACCAAAUCCUAUUCUCAAUCUGCUUGGUGUCUUAAUCAGCUUCAACAAAUCAUCAAAUGGCACCAAACUUAUUGCCGACAUGUUCUGCCCGUUUAUUACGAAAUUCACCCAUCUCAUGUACGUCUUCAAAAGGGUAAUUUUGGAAAAGCCUUCAAAGCAACUGCACACCAAACAUUCUCAGGACAACAACUGAGGCAGGGCAUGUCUAGAUGGAGCCACGCACUCACCAAAGCUGCAAAUUUCUUUGGAUGGGAUGAGAGAAAUCACAGGUAAAACACUGACUCAAUCAACCAUAUUUUAAGCUUCUGAUUUUAUGUUGGUACUACAUGACUUCUUCUAUGAUUGCUAUUGAACUUGAAGGAGUGAUGCUGAACUAGUGGACAAAAUUGUUAAGAUCGUUCUUCAUUUACCAAUCUUGUCUGCUACAAAAUUUCCAGUUGUAUUAGAAUCCCGUGUGAAAGAUGUGAUUCAGAGCAUAAAAAAUAAAUCCACCCAAGUUUUAACUAUACUGAUAUGUGGAAGAGAAGGAUCGGGUAGAACCACUCUUGCCAAAGCCAUCUACAAUCAAAUUCAUCAUACAUUCACGGAGAAAAGUUUCAUUGAAGAUAUUGCAGAAGGUAGUCAAACAAGAGGGUAUGUUCAUUUACAAGAACAACUUCUUUCAGAUGUACUAAAAACAAAGGUGGAGAUAAGUGACGUUGAGAUGGGAAGAAGUAUGAUUUGGGAAAGACUAUAUGGGAAAAGGGUGCUUCUUGUACUUGACGAUUUGAAUGACUAUGGCGAAUUAGAUCUCUGGGGAAGUAGUUCAUGGUUCGGUGAAGGAACUGUAAUAAUCAUUACAGCGAGAGAUGAAGUAGACCUGCCGAGUAUGCUUGAAGUUGAUUCUGUUUUUCAGAUGAUUCCAAUGAACGCAAACGAGUCCCUUGAGCUUCUUAGUUGGCACGCAUUUAGAGAACCAAAACCAAAAAAAGAAUACCGUGUACUUGCAAAAAGAGUAGUUGCUUAUUGUGGAACACUACCUCUAGCUCUCGAAGUCAUUGGAACUUAUUUAUACAAAAGGACGAAAGAUGAAUGGAAUAGAGUAUUGAUAAGAUUAGACAAUAUUCCCCAGCAUGAAGUUCCACAGAUAUUGAAAAUAAGUUUUGACGGUUUAGCUAAUCAAAUAGAAAAAGAUUUAUUCCUUGAUGUAUGUUGUUUCUUUGUUGGUAAAAGCAGAGCCUAUGUUACCAAGAUCCUAAAUGGCUGUGGAGUAGACUCUGAUAGUGGAAUAAGAGUUCUCAUAAAGCGUAACCUCAUCAAAGUUAAAGAAAACAACAAAUUUGGAAUGCAUCAUUUGCUACGAGAAAUGGGAAGAGAAAUUAUUAGUGAAAUUUCAAGAAAGGAAUCUGGGAAGAACAGUCGACUGUGGCCUCAUGAGGAUCUAAAACAUGAAUUUUCAGUGAAUACUGUAAGAGCAUUCUUAAUCUAUGAUUUUGAAACUUCUUUUGGAAGUGGUUGAUUUCUCAUGUGCAAUACAAAUGUUUUUCUUAGCUCUUUUCAUCACCGGGUAAAAAGGUCAUUCAGAGAUUGUCUAGCGGAAGAGAUUUCUUCGAACGUUAUCCUGUAGAGGUAAGAGACCCAUCACCGGAUACAAAAGUCUUCGAACUCGCUGGACUGCUGAAACUCGCUGGAGAUUCCGACGACCAUUCUAAGAAUACCUACCUAACGGCUUUAAUCUGCAUGAUGCAAUAGCGAUUGAUUUAAAACACACUCUUCUUCGAUUCGUCUGGAAAGAACCCCAGGUUUUUAUUACGUGCCAUUUUCUUUUAAAACUCAGCUUAAAAUACAAAUAUUAUUUGUUUCCACUUAUAACUAUAUUAUUUUUUCAUUUUCUUUUCUAAUAUUCUUGAAGGUUUUGGCGUGUCUAAAAGUCCUGAAUCUUAGUCACUCGAAGUACUUGAUAAAAACCCCUGACUUUUCGAGACUACCAAGUCUUGAAGAGCUCAUUCUCAAAGAUUGUCUUAAAUUGCGCGAAGUACACCAAUCUAUUGGAUGUCUCUGCAAUCUUAUACUGCUAAAUUUGAAGGACUGUACAAGUCUAAGCACUCUCCCCAGAGAGAUAUGUAAGUUGAAAUCUUUGAAAACUCUCAUUAUAUCUGGUUGUUGGAAAAUUGACCUAUUGGAAAAAGAUAUAGUGCAAUUGGAAUCCUUGAGAAUUCUAAUUUCUGAAAAUACAGAUGUGAAACAAGUGCCUUUUUCAAUUGUAAGCUCAAAAAGCUUUGCAUAUUUAUUCCUACCUGCAUUUGAGGGAUUAUCACAUAAUCUUUUUCCUUCUGUGAUUCGGUCUCUGAUGUCGCCAACAAUGAAUCCCUUAUCUUAUAUUCAUUCCUUCAUGGAUAUGGAGGAUAAUAGUUGGGAUGAUAUUUCACCAUUGCUCAGCAGCCUUGCAAAUCUUCGAAGUGUUUUGGUGCAAUGUGACGCCAAGUUUGAACUAUAUGAGCAAGUAAAAACUAUAUUGGUCGAGUAUGAUGCAAAUAUUACAGAAUCAGGAAUUUCAAAGCAUAAUUUCAGGUCUUCUCUGACUGGUGUUGGAAGAUACAAAGAAUUCUUCAAUACUGUCAGCGAUAGCAUACCUAAGGUUCUUCUCUAGCCUUCCUUUGAUUAUAACCUUCACCAUAAUUUUAGCUAUUAUUUUUUAGAACAGAAAAUAAUCCUAAUGAAGAUUUAGUAGAAACUACACUACUGAACUUUUAGCACCCUUCGCUUCUAUAGCCCCACGACUUCAUCUAAAAGUAUCUGAGUUGAAUAAUCAAAUAACCAAGUGAUUAUGCUUAUACUAAGUACUUUGAAAUUGAUUUCCACUUUAUUGCUUUACUAGCUUCAUGGUUUUUUUAUUCCUAAUGAUCGUAUAAAUAUAAACUAAUAGAGACAAAAUCAGAAAUGCAAAAUGAUGGUGAUAUAUACACAACAAAACUAUUAACCAGAUUUGUUUUAAUCAUGUAUAACAUUUUUGUUUCACUAAACAUGCCCUUGUUUGUCACAUGAUACAGGUAUUUGCAAGCAGUGAGUCAUGUGAUGUUUCUCUGCCAGGUGACAACGAUCCUUAUUGGUUGGCCCAUAUGGGUGAUGGACAUUCUGUUUCUUUCACUGUGCCUCAAGAUCGUGAGGUNNNNNNNNNNNNNNNNNNNNNNNNNNNNNNNNNNNNNNNNNNNNNNNNNNNNNNNNNNNNNNNNNNNNNNNNNNNNNNNNNNNNNNNNNNNNNNNNNNNNGUUUAUUCAUCAACCUCCGAAAUCAUUGAACCUAAACAUACUAUUGUCUUAAUUGUUAAUUACACGAAGUGCACAUGCCAGAUACACAACCAUGGCACAGUAAUUUCCUUUAAUGAUGAAGAUUGGCAUGGCAUAAUGUCAAAUUUAGGAUCAGGAGACAAGGUGGAGAUUUUUGUGACUUUUGGUCAGGAUUUGGUGAUUAAGAGCACAGCUGUCUACCUGAUAUAUGGUGAGCCAAGGAAAAAUUCCCUCAUUAGAUUCAUAAAGAAAAUUGUAAUGUGACUUUUCUGGUAAGUCAUUUAUCUUCUUUUUGAACAGCAGGAUCAUUUUUUUCCCAUCUUUUCUUUUCUUUAUAGUGUAGCUUAUAGUUAAGAAAUUCAUGUUUAUUUCACCCUGUUCUCACUCCUUAGUGGUGCUUCCUUGGCUUUUCUUGAGCGGUUUAUUGUAUUUGUUUUCUGGAUUUUACUUUUGUCAAUUCUUUUCCCUUUUAGCAUAUAAUAUUUCAAUAGGAAUCCUCUUAAAAUAAGACAUUGCAUUAUGAUAUAAAGACAGCUGCAGUUUGAUAGUUUGCUAUGUGUUUUGUUUUGGUAUCUGGUAGGUAGUCUCUGUUUUCGUUUGAACAUAAUAAACAUUCAAAGGAUAUGUAUAGACACAACCAUCCAAAGGAGACCAAAGAUGAGUACAUUUUUUUUAUAGUGGUGCAAGCACGUUUAAAAAAUUCGACCAACGCACGCCAACUUUGAACCACUGGAAAAAUAAAUAUUAUACUAAUACAAUUCAAAUUUUCUCCAAUAUAUUCCUUUUUUUUAUAUUAUGCGUCCAUUUUUUUAAGUUUUAAAAUAUAACACGUCCAUCUUUGUUUACAUUACCCAUUCACGUCGUUAAGAUAAAUCAUAAACAAAAUAAAAAAAAAAGUAUAAAUCUAAUUUUAAAAAAAUUACGACAAGUCAUUUUUUAUAAACAAGAAACAGGAUAAAAUAGAUGAAUUUGUUAACGACAAUCUUUGAGAAUGAGUUGUUCAAGACUUGGUAUCGAAAAAGUCGGGUUUAUAUAAGUACAUGGAGUGACUAAGAUUAAGAACUUUUAGCCAGGCCAAAACCUUGAAGAAGAUAGUUUUUGAUAAAAUAUUAGAGAAGUAAAUGAGAACACGAAAUAGUUAUAAGUGGAAACAAAUAAUGAUUUUAAAAGAGAAUGACACGUAAUAAAAACCUUGGGUUCUUUCCAAACGAAUCAAAGAAGACUGUGUUUUAAUUCAAUCUCUAUUGCAUCAUGCAGAUAAAUAUCGUUAGAUAGGUAUUCUUAUAAAGGUACUCGGAAUGUCCAGCGAAUUUCAGCACUCUUGAUGGUCUCUUACCUCUAAAGGAUAACUUCCGGUAGGCAAUCUCUGAAUCAAUUUUGUUCUUUUAGAUGAAAAGAGCAAAGAAAAAGAAAUAUAUUGCACAUGAGAAAGCAACCACUUUCAAAAGAAGUUUCAAAAGCAUAGAUAAAGGAUGUUCUUACCGUAUUCUCUGACACUGCAUAUUCUGCAUCCUUAUUAAACAGCAGUUGACUGUUCUUCCCUGAAAUUUGACGAAUAAUUUAUCUUCUCAUUUGUCGUAGCAACGGAUGCAUUCCUAAUUUCUUGUUCUUAUUAUGAGACUACGUUAUAUGAGAACUCUUAUUCCACUAUCAGCGUCUAUUCCACAGCCAUCUGUCCUUACCAACAAAGGAAAGAACAUACAUCAAGGAAUAAAUCAAGCUAUUAUUUCGCAGAAAGGUACUCGGAGUCUGCAUCCAGUUUCAGAAGUCUUGAUGAGUCUCUUACACCUACAGGAAAGUUUGCAAAUGUAAUACUUUUGUUUUAAAUUAUGUAAAUAUGUCAAUUUUGAUUUUAAAUCCAAUCAGAUAGUUUGAUGUAUCAUUUGUCACUUCAACAGGUUUGUGCUGAAAGAAGUGGUGAGGAAAUCAGUAGGAAUGCUGAAAGCCAACAAUGCUGGUGCGAGGGGACCUAUGUUAUAUAUGCAGAUUUUUUACAAGCAGAUGAAGUGAUUGGUUCUUUGGAAAGUGCAUAUUUGUUCCUGUCCAAGUAAGAAGGUAAACCCGACAUGCUGGCUUAGAUCUUGUGAUGUGCAAGAGCAGAGAAAAAAGUUUGUUUGAGUGUAAAACUGUUUGAUUUUCUUCGUGGGUGAAUACUCAUCCGUUUGAGUGUGAAACUGUUUGAAAUUUGUCGCGUUUUGUCUAAAAUUCAGUGGAGAUUCUUACGUGGAAUUCUGGGAAAAAACUAUUUUGGGAGAAUUUUUCAGAAAUUUUGUGCAAACCAAGGCUAUCCUCUACAGAAAACUUGUGAAAUUUCGCCCUAGUAUCUGAAAUUUUAUUUUGGGUCCGUAUUGCGUUGAAAAAAUUCACACAAAAACUUUCAUAUGUUGUUUGCACCCAGGUAAGGAGGCACGUCCAAAAAAAAAUCACAAAAAGAAGAUACUGGAAGAAAAGCCAGGACGUUUUGUUUGCAGAAAACCAAUUUUGUUCACUCUCGGUCUGAGACUUACUACGCCUUACUUCUUGGGUAUUUUGGUCUGAAAUUUUUACCAGAAGUUCGUCACUGUGUCUACUGAGUUUUGGCUGAGUUUUCAGGCCUAGAUUCGUCCCACGAGACUGUGAAUAAAUUUUUUAUUCAUCACUGUCAGCGUUGAGAGGAAGGUUCGUUUGAGUGUGAAACGUUUUGAUUUUCUUCGUUCGUGAAUACUCAUCCGUUUGACCUGAAAUUUCUCGGUUUUGUCCCAAAUUAUGUGGAGAUUCUUACGUGUAAUUUCAGGAAAAAACUAUUUCGGGAGAAUUUUUCAUAAAUUUUGUGCAAACCAACUCUACCAAAACUUGUGAAAUUUGCCCUAGUAUUUGAAAUUUUAUUCAGGGUCCGUAUUGCGCUGAAAAAAAUUCACACAAGUACUUUCAUAUGUUUUUGGCCUCUAGGUAAGGAGGCACGUCUAAAAACAAAUCACAAAAACAAGAUACGAGGGAGAAAAACGAGGACAUUUUGUUUUCAGAAAACCAGUUCUGUUCACUUUUGGUCUGGGACUUACUACGCCUUACUCCUUGGGUAUUUUGGUCUGAAAUUUUGACCAGACGUUCGUCAUUAUUUCUACUGAGUUUUGCCAGAGAUUUGAGCCCGAGAUUCGUCUCACGAGACUGUCAAUAAAUUUUUUAUUCGCGUCAGGGCUGAGAUGAAGGUUUGUUUGUGAAUGAAACAGUUUGAUUUUUUUCGUGGGUGAAUACUCAUCCGUUUAACCUGAAAUUUGUCGAGUUUUGUCCCAAAUACAGUGGAGAUUCUUACGUGGAAUUCUAGGAAAAAACUAUUUCGGGAUAAGUUUUCAGAAAUUUUGUGCAAACCAAGGCUAUCCUCUACCUAAACUUCUGAAAUUUCGCCCUAGUAUCUGAAAUUUUAUUCUGGGUCCGUAUUGCGCUGAAAAAAUUCACAAAAGUACUUUCAUAUGUUGUUUGCAACCAGGUAAGGAGGCACGUCCAUAAACAAAUCACAAAAAGAAGAUACGGGGGAGAAAAGCCAGGAUGAUUUGUUUUGGAAAACCAGUUUUGUUCACUCUCGGUCUAGGACUUACGACGCCUUACUUCUUCGGUGUUUUGGUAUGAAAUUUUUACCAGACGUUUGUCACUGUGUCUAAUGAGUUUUGGCUGAGAUUUGAGCCCCAGAUUCGUCCCACUGUGUCAAUAAAUUUUUUAUUCAUCACUGUCAGGGCAGAGAGGAAGGUUCGUUUGUGUGUGAAACUGUUUGAUUUUUUUCGUGGGUGAAUAGUCAUCCAUUUGACCUGAAAUUUGUCGCGUUUUGUCUCAAAUUCAGUGUAGAUUCUUACGUGAUAUUUGAGGAAAAAAACUAUUUUGGGAGAAUCUUUCAGAAAUUUUGAAAUUUCGCCCUAGUAUCUGAAAUUAUAUUAUGGGUCCGUAUUGCGUUGAAAAAAAUCACACAAGUACUUUCAUAUGUUGUUUUCACCCAGGUAAGGAGGCACAUCCAUAAACAAAUCACAAAAAGAAGAUACGGGGGAGAAACACCAAGACGUUUUGUUUGCGGAAAACUAGUUUUGUUCAAUCUCCGUCUGGCAAUUACUACGCCUUACUCCUUGGGUAGUUUGGUCUGAAAUUUGUAGCAGACGUUCAUCACUGUUUCUACUGAGUUUUGGCUGAGAUUUGAGCCCCAGAUUCGUCCCACUAGACGGUGAAUAAAUUUUUUAUUCAUCACUGCCAGGGUUGAGAGGAAGGUUUGUUUCUGUGUCAAACUGUUUGAUUGUUUUCGUGGGUGAAUACUCAUCCGUUUGACCUAAAAUUUGUCGAAUUUUGUCCCAAAUUCAGUGCAGAUUCGUACAUGAAAUUUCAGGAAAAAACUAUUUCGGGAGAAUUUUUAAAAAAUUUUGUGCAAACCAACUCUACCAAAAACUUGUGAAAUUUGCCCUAGUAUUUGAAAUUUAUUCAAGGUCCGUAUUGCGCUGAAAAAAUUCACACAAGUACUUUCAUAUGUCGUUUGCACCCAGGUAAGGAGGCACGUCCAAAAACAAAUCAGGAAAAGAAGAUACGGGGGAGAAAAACCCGGACGUUUUGUUUUCGGAAAACCAGUUUUGUUCAAUAUUUGUCUGGGACUUACUACAUCUUACUCCUUGGGUAUUUUGGUCUAAAAUUUUGACCAGACGUUCGUCACUGUGUCUACUGAGUUUUGGCUGAGAUUUGAGCCCUAGAUACGUCCCACGAGACAGUGAAUAAAGUUUUUAUUCACCACUGCCAGAGUUGAGAGGAAGGUUUGUUUGUGAGUGAAAGUGUUUGAUUUUUUUCGUGGGUGAAUAAUCACCCAUUUGACCUUAAAUUUGUCGCGUUUUUUCCCAAAUUCAGUGGAGAUUCUUACGUGGAAUUUCAGAAAAAAACUAUUUUGGGAGAAUUUUUCAGAAAUUUUGUGCAAACAAAAGCUAUCCUCUACCAAAACUUGUGAAAUUUCGCCCUAGUAUCUGAAAUUUUAUUCUUGGUCCGUAUUGCGCUGAAAAAAAUUCACAAAAGUACUUUCAUAUGUUGUUUGCAACCAGGUAAGGAUGCACGUCCAUAAAGAAAUCACAAAAAGAAGAUACGGGGGAGAAAAGCGAGGACGAUUUGUUUUCGGAAAACCAGUUUUGUUCACUCUCGGUCUAGGACUUACUACGCCUUAAUUCUUGGUUAUUUUGGUAUGAAAUUUUUACCAGACGUUAGUCACUGUGUCUAAUGAGUUUUGGCUGAGAUUUGAGCCACAGAUUCGUCCCACUGUGUCAAUAAAUUUUUUAUUCAUCACUGUCAGGGCUUAGAGGAUGGUUCGUUUGUGUGUGAAACUGUUUGAUUUUUUUCGUGGGUGAAUAUUCAUCCGUUUGACCUGAAAUUUAUCGCAUUUUGUCCCAAAUUAAGUGCAGAUUCUUACGUGAUAUUUCAGGAAAAAAACUAUUUUGGGAGAAUUUUUCAGAAAUUUUGUGCAAACCAAGGCUAUCCUCUACCAAAACUUGUGAAAUUUUGCCCUAGUAUCUGAAAUUAUAUUAUGGGUCCGUAUUGCGUUGAAAAAAAUCACUCAAGUACUUUCAUAUGUUGUUUUCACCCAGGUAAGGAGGCACGUCCAUAAACAAAUCACAAAAAGAAGAUACGGGGGAGAAACACCAAGACGUUUUGUUUGCGGAAAACUAGUUUUGUUCACUCUCCGUCUGGCAAUUACUACCCCUUACUCCUUGGGUAGUUUGGUCUGAAAUUUUUAGCAAACUUUCGUCACUGAUUCUACUGAGUUUUGGCUGAGAUUUGAGCCCCAGAUUCGUUCCACUAGACUGUGAAUAAAUUUUUUAUUCAUCACUGCCAGGGCCUAGACGAAGGUUUGUUUGUGUGUCAAACUGUUUUAUUGUUUUCGUGGGUGAAUACUAAUCCGUUUGAUCUGAAAUUUGUCGCGUUUUGUCCCAAAUUCAGUGCAGAUUUUUACGUGGAAUUUCAGGAAAGAACUAUUUCGGGAGAAUUUUUCAUAAUUUUUGUGCAAACCAACUCUACCAAAACUUGUGAAAUUUGCCCUAGUAUUUGAAAUUUAUUCAGGGUCCGUAUUGCGCUGAGAAAAUUCACACAAGUACUUUCAUAUGUUGUUUUCACCCAGGUAAGGAGGCACGUCCAAAAACAAAUCAGGAAAAGAAGAUACGGGGGAGAAAAUCCAGGACGUUUUGUUUUCGGAAAACCAGUUUUGUUCAAUAUCUGUUUGGGACUUACUACGCCUUACUCCUUGGGUAUUUUGGUCUGCAAUUUUGACCAGACGUUCGUCACUGUGUCUACUGAGUUUUGGCUGAGAUUUGAGCCUAAGAUUCGUCCCACGAGACUGUCACUUAUGUUUUUAUUCAUCACUGCCAGGGCUGAGAGGAAGGUUUGUUUGUGAGUGAAACUGUUUGAUUUUUUUCGUGUGUGAAUAAUUACCCAUUUGACCUGAAAUUUUUCGCGUUUUUUCCCAAAUUCAGUGGAGAUUCUUACGUGGAAUUUCAGGAAUAAACUAUUUUGGGAGAAUUUUUCAGAAAUUUUGUGCAAACCAAGGCUAUCUUCUAUGAAAACUUGUGAAAUUUCGCCCUAGUAUCUGAAAUUUUAUUUUGGGUCGGUAUUGUGCUGAAAAAAGUCACACAAUUACUUUCAUAUGUUGUUUGCACCCAGGUAAGGAGGCACGUUCAUAAACAAAUCACAAAAAGAAGAUAAGGGGGAGAAAAGCCAGGACGUUUUGUUUCGGAAAACCAGUUUUGUUCACUCUAGGUAUGGGACUUACUACGCCUUACUGCUUGGGUAUUUUAGUCUGAAAUUUUUACCAGACGUUCGUCACUGUCUCUACUGAGUUUUCGAUGAUAUUUGAGCCCCAGAGUUGUGUGUGAAACUGUUUGAUUUUUUUCGUGGAUGAAUACUCAUCCGUUUGACCUGAAAUUUUUUGCAUUUUGUCCCAAAUUCAGUGGAGAUUUUUAAGUGGAAUUUCAGGAAAAAUAUAUUUCGGGAGAAUUUUUCAGAAAUUUUGUGCAAACCAAGGCUAUCCUCUACCAAAACUCUUGAAAUUUCACCCUAGUAUGUGAAAUUUUAUUCUGGGUUCGUAUUGCGCUGAAAAAAUUCACACAAGUACUUCAUAUGUUGUUUGCACUCAGGUAAGGAUGCACGUCCAUAUAGAAAUCACAAAAAGAAGAUACGGGGGAGAAAAGCCAGGACGUUUUCUUUUCGGAAAACCAGUUUUGUUCACUCUCGGUCUGGGACUUACUAUGCCAUACUCCUUGGGUAUUUUGGUAUGAAAUUUUUACCAGACGUUCGUUACUGUGUCUACUGUGUUUUGGCUGAGAUUUGAGCCCAACAUUCGUCCCACAAGACUAUCAAUAAAUUUUUUAUUCAUCACUGCCAGGGCUAAGAGGAAGGUUCGUUUAAGUGUGAAAUUGUUUGAAUUUUUUCGUGGGUGAAUAGUCAUCCAUUUGACCUGAAAUUUAUCGCGUUUUGUCCGAAAUUCUGUGGAGAAUCUUACGUGGAAUUUCAGGAAAAAACUAUUGUUAGAAUAUAUGACCUUAAACGAGAGGGGGGUGAAUUGUUUAAGAGGGAUUUUCGCAAAAUUUGAAGGUAUAAUGAAAAUCAAUGCUGAAUUACAAAGAAAAGAAUCAAGGAAACAAAUACCCAAAACUGUUUUAAGAUGAUAUCAGAAAAACAAUUGGUUGUGUUGUCGAAACAAUUGGUUGUUUUUAUCAGCAGUUUAUAAAAACAACUUAAAAACAGAAUUUAAAGAGUUAAGGGAAAGAGAUAAGCACACAGGCAAUUUAUACUGGUUCACUCUUACACCAAGAGCUACAUCCAGUCCCCAGAAACCACUGGGUAUUCCACUAUGCAAUCAAAAUCAGAUUACAAACACCACACACCAAAUUUAUACUUUCUUAUGUUAUUUGCAUCCAGGUAAGGAGGUACGUCCAUAAACAAAUUACAAAAAGAAGAUACGAGGGAGGAAAGUCAGGACGUUUUUUUUUUUCGGAAAACCAGUUUUGUUCACUCUAGGUGUGGGACUUACUACGCUUUACUCCUUGGGUAUUUUGGUCUGAAAUUUUUACCAGACAUUCGUCACUGUGUCUACUGAGUUUUGGCUGAGAUUUGAGCCCCAGAUUCGUCCCACGAGAUGACAAUAAAUUUUUUAUUCAUCACUGCCAGAGCUGAGAGGAAGGGUCGUUUGUGUGUGAAACUAUUCGUUUGUAUAAUGUCUGAUGAUUAGAUUUGGACUUGGACAUUUUUAUAAUGGUUGAGACACUCUUGAAGUGUCGCAUUUUAAUUUUAUUUAUUCAUUGAUGAUAAAAAAACAUCUCAUAAAAUUAUAACCCACCUAAAAAGUAAGAGAAUAUUAUAUACUAAGAUUAUUUUUGGACUUUUUAUAAGUGUUUUCAUUUUAACCCACGUAGUGAAUGAGCUUUCUAGGUUAAGUACAAAAUGCAAACUUUUUAAGGUGGGUUAUUCGCCUUAAUGGUUGUUUUUUGAGUUAUUUUUUAAAGGAUUAUAUGUUUAAUUUAUAAGAACUAACUUUAAAACAUUUUUAACAUAAUUAAAAUAUUUUGUAAGAUCAUGACUAUAUUUGAAAAAAAAAACUUGUUGAAAACUUGAAAAAUUACAUAUAAUGAAAACACUAAACUGAAAGCUAUAAAUGUAAAUUGAAAAAAAAAAUUGAUAUAUUUAAGAUUUGUUUCAUUUAGUCUUAAAUAAAGGGAUGAGACUGAGGUGUUUAUUAUGUAGAAACUAAAACAGACACUACCAAACAAAUAGCAAAACUAAACACAACAUAAUAUCGAAGAGCUGUGUUUAUUUCAUAAUGCAAUGUCUCAUUUUAAAAGGUUUUCUUAAUGAAAUAUUACAUGCUAAACAACGAAAAAAAUACAAUAAACAAAUAAUGUAAAGCCAGGAAGCACAGUGGGGAGUGAGAAACAGGGUAAUUCUAUAAACAUUAAUUUUUCAAAGUCAUUUGAUUCACCAUAUAUCAAAUAGACAUUUGUGUUCUUCACUCCUGAUACAUAACCAAAAGUCACAAAAAUCUAUACCAUGUCUCCAAAUCCUAAAUUUGACAUUAUGCCAUGCCAAUCUUCAUCAUUAAAGGAAAUUACCGUCCUUCGGUUGUGUAUCAGGCACGUGCACUUUGUGUAAUUAACCAUUAAGACACUAGUAAGACAUUCAGGUUCAAUGAUUUCAGAAUUUGAUAAAUAAGCAACCCACAAAGCCAUUCCCUUCAUGUCACGAUCUCGAGCUACAAUGAAACAAACAGAAUGUCCCUCACUCUUAUGGCUCAACCAAUAAGGAUCGUUGUCACCCGGGAGAGAAACAUCACUCGACUCACUGCUGACAGUUAAGAAUUCAUUGCAUGUUCCAACACCAAUAAAAGAAGACCUAGAGUGAUGCUUCAAAAUUCUUGAUUUUAUAGUAUUUAGACCAUAUUCCACCAGAAUACUUUCUACUUCUGUUUGACCUAAAAUUUGUCGAAUUUUGUCUCAAAUUCAGUGGAGAUUCUUACGUGGAAUUUCAAGAAAAAACUAUUUCGGGAGGAUUUUUCAGAAAUUUUGUGCAAACCAAGGCCAUCAUCCUCAAAAUAAACUUGUGAAAUUUUGCCCUUGUAUCUGAAAUUUUAUUUUGGGUCCGUAUUGCGCUGAAAAAAUUUACACAAGUACUUUCAUAUGUUGUUUGCACCCACGUAAGGAGACAUGUUCAUAAACAAAACACAAAAAGAAGAUACGGGGGAGAAAAGCUAGAACGAUUUGUUUUCGGAAAACCAGUUUUGUUCACUUUCGAUCUGGGAUUUACUACGCCUUACUCCUUGGUAAUUUUGGUCUGAAAUUUUUACCAGACGUUUGUCACUGUGUCUACUGAGUUUCGUCUGAGAUUUGAGCCCCACAUUCGUCCCACGAGACUGUCAAUAAAUAUUUUAUUCAUCACUGUCAGAGCUGAGAGGAAGGUUCGUUUGAGCGUGAAACUAUUUGAUUUUUUUCGUGCGUGAAUAGUCAUGCGUUUGACCUGAAAUUUAUCGCGUUUUGUCCCAAAUUCAGUGGACAUUCUUACGUGGAAUUUUCAGGAAAAAAUAAUUUCGGGAGAAUUUUUCGGAAUUUUCGUGCAAACCAAGGCUUUCCUCUACCAAAAUUUGUAAAAUUUCGCCCUAGUAUCUGAAAUUUUAUUCUAGGUCCGUAUUUCCCUGAAAAAAAUCAUACAAAUACUUUCAUAUGUUGUUUGCACCCAGGUAAGGAGGCACGUCCAUAAACAAAUCACAAAAAGCUGAUACGACGGAAAAAAGCCAGGACGUUGUGUUUUCGGAAAACCAGUUUUGCUCACUGUCGGUCUGGGACUUACUACGCCUUACUCCAUGGGUAUUUUGGUCUGAAAUUUUUACAACACAUUUGUCACUGUGUCUAAUGAGUUUUGGCUGAGAUUUGAGCCCCAGAUUCGUCCCACGAGACUGUCAAUAAAUUUUUUAUUCAUCACUGCCAGGACCGAUAGGAAGGUUCGUUUCUGUGUGAAACUGUUUGAUUUUUUUCGUGGGUGAAUACUCAUCCCUUUAAGCUGAAAUUUGUCACAUUUUGUCCCAAAUUCAGUGGAUAUUCUUACGUGGAAUUUCAGAAAAAACUAUUGCAGGAGAAUUUUUCAGAAAUUUUGCGCAAACCAAGGUUAUCCCUCAACCAAAACUUGUUAAAUUUGGCCCUAGUAUCUGAAAUUUUUUUUUGGGUCCGUAAUGCACUGAAAAAAUUCACACAAGUAUUUUCAUAUGUUGUUUGCACUCAGGUAAGGAGGCAUGUCCAUAAACAAAUCACAAAAAGAAGAUACGGGGGAGAAAAGCCAGGACGUUUUGUGUUCGGAAAACCAGUUUUGUUCAAUAUCUGUCUAGGACUUACUACGCCUUACUCCUUGGGUAUAUACGUUCAUCACUGUGUCUACUGAGUUUUGGUUGAGAUUUGAGCCCCAGAUUUGUCCCACGAGACUGUCAAUAAAUUUUUUAUUCAUCACUGUCAGGGCUGAGAGGAAGGUUCGUGUGUGUGAAACUAUUUGAUUUUUUUCGUGGGUUCAUACUCAUUCGUUUGACCUAAAAUUUGUCCCAUUUUGUCCCAAAUUCAGUGGAGAUUCUUACAUAGAAUUUCAGGAAAAAAAAGUAUUUCGGGAGAAUUUUUCAGAAAUUUUGUACAAACCAAGGCUAUCCUCUACCAAAACUUGUGAAAUUUCGCCCUAGUAUCUGAAAUUUUAUUCUGGGUCUGUAUUGCACUGCAAAAAUUCACACAAGUACUUACAUAUGUUAUUUGCACCUAGGGAUGAAGGCACGUGAUGAAGAUCAAGAUCAAGAAGAGAAAGAAGCCGAAGAUGAAGAUGCUCAAAGGAUUAUUAGCUCAUCAUCCUUUUUACCUCAAAGGAUUACAAGGAGCAAAUUUAAAGAAUUAGGAAGUAGUGGUAAAAUGUUUUAUCUUUUUGUAGUAUCUUUUGUAUAAAAUUUAAAAAUGCUUAAUAUAGUGUUUAAGAAGGUUCUAAGAGGGAAACUUAAAGAUACCUCUUGUGUAAAGCAUCUUUAGAUAUUAGCUUUAGAAAAUUCUAGAAAGGUAUCCCUUCCUCGUUCACUUUAGGGGCUAGAAGUGGAAGAGUUACAAGGGAACCUUAGUUAGCUUCUUUUGUAAGCCUCUUGUACUUUCAUGACCGGUCCUUCUCCUAUAUAAGGAGGGCUUGAUUCUUUCUAAAUUCAGAUUUGAUAUUUUGAGUACAGAAAUUCUCCAAAAUUGGUGAGUGAUUGAGAGACUUGUGUCUUCUCUUGUUCUAAUCUUAUCUUGAGAGCAAUCUUGGAACCUCAAGUGGCGGCAUCUACACUCAUCUUGAAGAUUUGCAUCCUUCAAGUGGCGUCUUCCUUUCCAAGGACUCCAACCACAUAAGUUCUCUUCUCCUUUCCAUCUUAUUCAUCCAUUUCCAUUCCCAAAUAAACUCUAAAAACAUGUCUUAGGAUUUUCUAAUCUUUGUAAUCGGUUCAUUUGCUUUUUCUUACACUUUUGUUCGGUUCAUUUGAUUCCUAUCAUGUUUUGUUCAGUUCAUUUCAUUCCUUAAUUGUUUUAAUUGGUUCAUUAGCUUUCUUUCAUGCUUUUGUUCGGUUAAUUUGCUUUCUAGAUAGUUUUAAUUGGUUCUUUCGCUUCCUUGUUCAUUUUAAUUGAUUCAUUUGACAAGAAAUGGGUUUCUACAUGGGUUUUGGCUUGGUUGCUUAAGAUUUGGUGAGUUCUUGAAUGAAAGAACAUUGAUCCAAUUCAAGAUGACUCCAGAACAUGUCUAUGAAACAUCUCUAUCUUCUUAUUGGAAUCAUAUCAGCACAUCCAUAAACAAAUCACAAAAAGAAGAUACGGGGGAGAAAAGCCAGGACGUUUUUUUUUUGGAAAACCAGUUUUGUUCACUCUUGGUCUGGGACUUACUAAGUCUUAUUCCUUGGGUAUUUUGGUCUGAAAUUUUUACCACACGUUCUUCACUGUGUCUAUUGAGUUUUGGCUGAGAUUUGAGCCCCACAAUCGUCCCACGAGACUAUCAAUAAAUUUUUUAUUCAUCACUGUCAGGGGCUGAGAGGAAGGUUCAUUUGUGUGUGAAACUGUUUGAUUUUUUUUUUAUUGAAUAGUGAUCCGUUUGACCUGAAAUUUAUCGUGUUUUGUCCCAAAUUUAGUGGAUAUUCUUACUUGGAAUUUUAGGAAAAAACUAUUUCGGGAGAAUUUUUUAAAAAUUUUGUGCAAACUAAGGCUAUCCUCUACCAAAACUUGUGAAAUUUCGCCCUAGUAUCUGAAAUUUUAUUCUGGGUAUGUAUUGCGCUAAAAAAAUUUACACAAGUACAUACAUAUGUUAUUUGCACCCAGGUAAGGAGGCACAUCCAUAAAGAAAUCACAAAAAGAAGAUACGGGGGAGAAAAGCCAGCACGUUAUUUUUUCGGAAAACCAGUUUUGUUCACUCUCGGUCUGGGACUUCCUACGCAAUACUCCUUGGGUAUUUUAGUAUGAAAUUUUUACCAGUCGUUUGUCACUGUGUCUACUUAAGUUUGGAUGAGAUUUGAGCCCCAGAUUCGUCCCACGAGACUGUCAAUAAAUUUUUUAUUCAUCACUGCCAGAGCUGAGAGGAAGGUUCGUUUGUGUGUGAAACUGUUUGAUUUUUUUCGUAGGUGAAUACUCAUUCGUUUGACCUGAAAUUUGUCGCGUUUUGUCCCAAAUUCAGUGGAGAUUCUUACGUGGAAUUUCUGGAAAAAAUAAUUUCAGGAUAUUUUUUCAGAAUUUUUGUGCAAAUCAAGGCUAUCCACUACCAAAACUUGUAAACUUUCGCUCUAGUAUCUGAAAUUUUAUUCUGGGUUCGUAUUGUGCUGAAAAAAUUCACACAAGUACUUUCAUAUGUUGUUUGGACCCAGGUAAGAAGGCACAUCUAUAAACAAAUCACAAAAAAAAGAUAUGAGGGAGAAAAGCCAGGACGUUUUUUUUCGGAAAAUUAGUUUUGUUCACUCUCGGUUUGGGACUUACUACGCCUUACUCCAAGGGUAUUUUGUUCUGAAAUUUUUACCAGACGUUCUUUACUCUGUCUACUAAGUUUUGGCUGAGAUUUGAGCCUCAGAUUCGUCCCAUGAGACUGUCAAUAAAUUUUUUAAUCCUCACUGCCAGGGCUGAGAGAAAGGUUCGUUUGUGUGUCAAACUAUUUGAUUUUUUUCGUGGGUAAAUACUCAUUCGUUUGACCUAAAAUAUUUCGCGUUUUGUCCAAAAUUCAAUGGUGAUAAUUACAAGGAAUUUCAGGAAAAAAACUCUUCCGGGAGAAUUUUUCAGAAACUUUGUGCAAACGAAGGCUAUCCCCCUACCAAAACUUGUGUAAUUUCGCCCUAGUAUCUGAAAUUUUAUUCUAGGUCCGUAAUGCACCGAAAAAAUUCACACAAGUACUUUCAUAUGAUGUUUGCACCCAAGUAAGGAGGCACGUCCAUAAACAAAUGAAAAAAAGAAGAUACGGGGGAGAAAAGCCAUGAUGUUUGUUUUUUCUGGAAAACCAGUUUUGUUCAAUCUCAGUCUAGGACUUACUACGCUUUACUCCUUGGGUAUUUUGGUCUAACAUAUUUACCAGACAUUCGUCACUGUAUCUACUGAGUUUUGGCUGAGAAUUGAGCCCCAGAUUCGUCCCACGAGACUGUAAAUAAAUUUUUUAUUCAUCACUGCCAGUGCUUAGAGGAAACAUCGUUUGUGUGUGAAACUGUUUUAUGUUUUUUGUGGGUGAAUACUCAUCCGUUUGAUCUGAAAUUUCUCGCCUUUUGUCCCAAAUUCAGUGGAGAUUCUUAUGUGGAAUUUAUUGAAAAAGAAAUUUCGUGAUAUUUUUUUCAGAAAUUUUGUGCAAACAAAGGCUAUAUCCACUACCAAAACUUGUGAAAUUUCGCUCUAGUAUCUGAAAUUUUAUUAUGGGUGCGUAUUGCGCUGAAAAAAUUCACACAAUACUUUCAUAUGUUGUUUGCACCUAGGUAAGGAAGCACGUCCAUAAACAAAUCACAAAAAGAAGAUACGGGGGAGAAAAGAAAGGAGGUUUUUUUUUUGGAAAAUUAGUUUUUUUCACUUUCGGUCUAGGACUUACUACGCCUUACUCCAAGGGUAUUUUGGUAUGAAAUUUUUACCAGACAUUCUUUACUGUGUCUACUGAGUUUUGACUGAGAUUUGAGCCUAAAAUUCGUACCACAAGACUGUCAAUAAAUUUUUUAAUCCUCACUGUCAGAGCUGAGAGGAAGGUUCGUUUGUGUGUGAAACUGUUUGAUUUUUUUCGUGGGUUCAUACUCAUUCGUUUUACCUAAAAUUUGUCGCGUUUUGUCCCAAAUUCAGUGGAGAUUCUUACAUGGAAUUUAAGGAAAAAAACUCUUCCGGGAGAUUUUUCAGAAAUUUUGUGCAAACCAAGGCUAUCCCCUACCAAAACAUGUGAAAUGUCGCCUUAAUAUAUGAAAUUUUAUUCUGGGUCCGUAAUGCGCUGAAAAAAUUCACACAAGUACUUUCAUAUGUUGUGCAUCCAGGUUAGGAGGCACGUCCAUAAACAAAUCACAAAAAGAAGAUACGGGGGAGAAAAGCCACGAUGUUUUUUUUCCAGAAAACCAGUUUUGUUCACUCUGGGUCUGGGAUUUACUACGCUUUACUCCUUGGGUAUUUUGGUCUGAAAUUUUUUCCAAACGUUCGUCACUGUGUCUACUGAGUUUUGCCUGAGAAUUGAGCCCCAGAUUCGUCCUACGAGACUGUCAAUAAAUUUUUUAUUCAUCACUGCCAGGGCUGAGAGGAAGGUUUGUUUGUGUGUAAAACUGUUUGAUUUUUCGUGUGUGAAUACUCAUCCGUUUGACCUAACAUUUGUCGCAUUUUUUCCCAAACUCAGGAAAAAACUAUUUCGAGAGAAUUUUCAGAAUUUUUGUGCAAACCAAGGCUACAAAAAUUUGUGAAAUUUCGCCGUAGUGUCUGAAAUUUUAUUCUAGGUACGUAUUGCGCUGAAAUUUUAUUCACACAAGUACUUUCAUAUGUUGUUUGCAACCAGGUAAGGAGGCACGUCCAUAAACAAAUCACAAAAUGAAGAUAUAGGAGAGAAAAGACAGGACGUUUUGUUUUUGCAAAACCGGUUUUGUUCAGUCUCUGUCAGGGACUUACUACGCUUUACUCCUUGGGUAUUUUGGUCUGAAAAUUUUACCAGACAUUCGCCACUGUGUCUACUGAGUUUUGGAUCAUAUUUGAGCCCCAGAUUCGUCCCACGAGACGGUGAAUAAGUUUUUUAUUCAUCACUGCCAGGGCUGAGAGGAAGCUUCGUUUGUGUGUGAAACUGUUUGAUUUUUUUCGUGGGUGAAUACUCAUUUGUUUGACUUAAAAUUUGUCGCGUUUUGUCCCAAAUUCAGUGGAGAUUCUUACAUGGAAUUUCUGGAAAAAACUCUUCCUGGAGAAUUUUUCAGAAAUUUUGUGCAAAAUUGUUCAGAAAUUUUGUGUGAAUACUCAUUUGUUUGACCAAAAUACCCAAUAAUUUUUCAUAUUCUUACCAAAACUUGUGAAAUUUUACCCUAGUAUCUGAAAUUUUAUUAUGGGUCUGUAUUGUGCUGAAAAAAAUUCACACAAGUACUUUCAUAUGUUGUUUGCACCCAGGUAAGGAGGCACGUCCAUAAAUAAAUCACAAAAAGAAGAUACGAGGGAGAAAAGCCAGGACAUUUUGUUUUCGGAAAACCAGUUUUUUUCACUAUCGGUCUGGGACUUACUACGCCUUCUUCUUGGGUAUUUUGGUCUGAAAUUUUUCACAGACAAUCGUCACUGUGUCUACUGAGUUUUGGCUGAGAUUUGAGCCCCAGAUUCGUCGUACGAGACUGUCGUACGAGAGGAAUUUUCGUUUGUGUGUGAAACUGUUUGAUUUUUUUCUUGGGCGAAUACUCAUUCGUUUGACCUAAAAUUUGUCGCGUUUUGUCGCAAAAUUAGUGGAAAUUCUUACAUGGAAUUUCAGGAAAAAACUCUUUCGGGAUAAUUUUUUAGAAAUUUUGUGCAAACCAAGGCUAUCCCCUACCAAAACUUGUGAAAUUUCACCCUAGUAUCUGAAAUUUUAUUUUGGGUCUGUAAUGCGCUGAAAAAAUUCACACAAGUACUUUCAUAUGUUGUUUGCACCCAGGUAAGGAGGCACGUCCAUAAACAAAUCACAAAAAGAAGAUACGGGGGAGAAAAGCUAGGAUGUUUUUUUUUCGAAAAACCAGUUUUGUUCACUCUCGGUCUAGGACUUACGACGCUUUAUUCCUUGGGUAUUUUGGUCUAAAAUUUUUACCAAACGUUCGUCACUGUGUCUACUGAGUUGUGGCUGAGAUUUGUGCCCCAGAUUCGUCCCACGAGACUAUCAAUAAAUUUUUUAUUCAUCACUGGCAGCGCUGAGAGGAAGAUUCGUUUUGUGUGAAACUGUUUGAUUUUUUUCGUGGGUGAAUACUCAUCCGUUUGACCUGAAAUUUUUCGCCUUUUGUCCCAAAUUCAGUGGAGAUUCUUACGUGGAAUUUUUGGAAAAAACAAUUUCAGGAGAUGUUUUCAUAAAUUUUGUGCAAACCAAGGCUAUCCUCUACCAAAACUUGUGAAAUUUCGCCCUAGUAUCUGAAAUUUUAUUAUGGGUCCGUAUUGCGCUGAAAAAAUUCACACAAGUAUUUUCUUAUGUUGUUUGCACCCAGGUAAGGAGGUAGGUGCAUAAACAAAUCACAACAAGAAGAUACGAGGGAGAAAAGUCAUGACGUUUUUUUUUCGUAAAACCAGUUUUGUUCUCUCUAGGUGUGGAACUUACUACGCUUUACUCCUUGGGUAUUUUGGUCUGAAAUUUUUACCAGACGUUCGUCACUGUGUCUACUGAGUUUUGGAUGAGAUUUGAGCCCUAGAUUCGUCCUACGAGACUAUCAAUAAACUUUUUAUUCAUCACUACCAGAGUUGAGAGGAAAUUUCGUUUGUGUGUGAAACUGUUUGAUUUUUUUUGUGGGUGAAUAUUUCCUCAAACUCUAUGUUUUUUUAAGUGAUCUUUAUUCUGGUUCUUUACUGCUGAUGUUUUGGGGUUUUAGCUGCUGCUUUGUUUAAGCAAAACAUAAGUUUUGUUUUACUACUCUAACCUCUGCCAUAGAUGUUGUACUUUGCUUAAACUUUUCUUUGCAGGAACUGCUUCAGAUUCAAUCAAGUCCAACAAAAGCAACCAAGGAUUUGUUUUCAUCAAAUAGAGGGAGAUUGUUGAAUCCAAAUCCUAGUGUUUGAUGGAAAGCUGGAGGUGCUUGUUGUUGUUGUUGUGCUUGAGAAUAGGAUUUGGGGUAGACUAUAUUUGUAAUCCACUCUUUGUUGAAUCUAAAGCUUAAGUGUUUUCAAAUCUUUUAAGUUUAAAGUGUUUGUCAAACUAAGUGAAAAACAACUUGUUGUUUAGUCGAAACAACCAAUUGUUUUAUACUUGGGUGUUUUUGAAAUUGUUUGAAAACUGUUUUGGAUUGUUGACUUGCUGUCAAACCAAAACAACCGAUUGAUUCGUUAUUUCAACCGAUUGCUUCUUUGAAAUCCUAACAGAAACAAUUUUGUUAGUUAAAUGAGUUUUAAUUGAUUUCAUAACUGAAUAUGCUCCUGCUUUAAAUGUUUUGACCAAGAUUUGAAUACUAUAAAUAGUUUGUUAAUGUUUUAUAACAAACAAGAAGAAAGAAAAACAUAUUUGAGUUUUUCAAAGAUUUCAGUUUUCACUUUGAGCUUUGGCUAUUCAAGAGAGAAGUGGAAUAUGAUUACUUUGUAUUGAUUUCAGUUGAUUUUGUAAUAGUGUAAUUCGUUCUAAAGAGUUGUGUACAUUUUGGUGUUGUAAAACCAAGAAGGGUUGUGUGCUCUUGAGGUUGUCAAGAUCAACAUUCUUGGUGUGUGUGCUGAGCCAAAGGAAGUGUGUUUCUUGAUGGGAUCAAGGUCACUUCUUUGGUGGUGUGUGUAUGUAAUCUGGAUUUGAUUACCUAGUGGAUUCCCAGUGGUUUCUGGGAAACUGAAUGUAGCUCUUGGGUUAAGAGUGAACCAGUAUAAACUGUGAUGGAGAUCAAGUAAGAGAGGAUUUCACUAAUGGAGGAAGAGGCCAUCCACCCAAGCAUUUAAAGUUCUUCCUUCUAGUCUUCUCAAAAAUUAAAGAAGAAUUAAAUAAAGAGAGGACCAAGCCUAAAUCCAACAAGAAGACUACAAGCAUUCAAGAAUGGGCUCCAAUUAAUAUCUCUCUUUAUAGUUUCUUUUGUAUAAAAUUUGUAAAUAAUAUAGAAUAGCUUUAGGAUGUGCUAAAGAGGGAAACCUUAAAGACACCUCCUUUGUAUAGCACUUUAGGCGCUAGUUUUAGGAAAAAUCUAGAAAGGUGCCUUUUCACUCUUCUUUAGGCGCUAGAAUAGGAAGAGUUAGAAGAUCACCUUUCAAAGCUUCUCUUGUAAGCUUCCUUUGUACUUUGUGACCAGCCCUGUCUAUUAUAAAAGGGGUACUUAGGUCUUUGAAAUAAUAAGAUUGAUUUUUGAGAGUAAAGAACCUCUACCAAUUUGGUGAGUGAGAGAGAGAGACUUGUGUCUUCUUCUCUUCUAGUCUUAUCUUGAGUGAAUUCUUGGGCUCUCAAGUGGCGGCAACAACACUCAUCUUGAAGCCAACCAUCCUUCAAGUGGCGUGCACAUUCCAAGAGCUUCAUCCACAUAAGUCCAUUUUCCCUUCAUUCCAAAUUACCCAUUUUUGUUCUACUUGUUUGUUUUCACUUUCAAUCGGUGCAAUCUCUUCCUUAUGAUGUCCUCUUUCAUUAGCUGCACUUAUAUUCAAUUUUAAUCGGUGCAAAUUGGUUGUUCUUGUUGUUUUGGUCACGUCCUCCAUGGGUAUAAAUGCUAUAUGUUGUGUUCUUGAGUUUCUAUCCAUGGGUUUGUUGUUCAAAAUGGGUUUCUAUGUGAGUUUGGCUUGAUUUUUGUGUUUUGGUGAGUUCUUGAAUGUUAAGAAUAUUGAUCCAAUUCUUAAAAAGUGUCUAAUCAUAUUCCAACUCUUGUUGAAUCCAUAACAUGUUCAUAUCAUAUCCAUAUCAUGUUAUUGGAAUCAUAUCAAACUGUUUGUGCAUUUCUCUCUUCCUUAAACUCUUUAAUUUCAUUUGUUGUUGUUUUUACUGGUAUAAACAACCGAUUGUUUAUGCGAAACAAUCGAUUGUUUUUCUGGUGCUUUACUGGUUUGAGCUUUGUUCUUGGCAAACUAAAUUCCUAAAUCUGGUUUCUUGCAAAGAAUUUCAUUCUAUCUUAAAAAGUUUGCGAAAACCUCCUUUAAACCAUUCACCCCCCCCUCUAGUUUAAAGCCGUACAUUCUAACACAAGGGAAGUGGAGUGAGUGAGGCCAACAAAAGAUGUACCUGAAUAUGCAACAGAAGUCGUGGAACUAGGGUUCUGAUCCUCAUACCAUUUAAGAAAUUCAUUGAAAAUAGCAGGCUGGCUUGAGGUAUCAAUUAAUGUAUGGUCCAUAGUAGAAGGUUUCACAGGGGCAGUUUGUGCAACCACAACAGAUUUAGGAGGACGACCAUGUAAGGCAUAACAUCUGUCAAUUUUGUGGCCAAGUUUGCCACAAUGGUCACACUUGUGACGCCCUUUGCCUGGCUUGUGAGGGCGAGGACGAUCAUUAUGUUGAGAGACUAAAGUAGAAGAAUCAUCAACAUGAGACAUUAUAUCAGUGGUGUGUUUACCUGGCACACACAAAAGGGUAGAACAAGUGGAAGUAAAAUUGGGCACGAUAGGAGAUCCCAAAAUUUGAUCAUGAACAUGAUAAUAAUCAUUAGGAAGGCCAUGUGAACCCAAUAACAUGAAGAACUUGGAUCUUUGUUCUAGUUCUUGAGAAGGAGUGGGAGCAUGAGGUAAUAACUCAUUAAAAUCAUGAAGAAAAGCAUGAAGUUUACCAGAUAUUAUGCCAUUGUACCAUCAAGACAUUUGGGAGCAACAAUUGUGAGAAGAUUUUGACACACACCAUAAAGACGUUGAGUAUCAUUGGUGUAUAAUAAUUUUUCUUGUUCCCAAACUUUUGAACAUGUCUCAUAGGUACGAAAUAUUUGUUUUAAAGAUGAGUGAAUGGUAGAUUUUAUAACAAUGCAUAUUUGAGCAUAAAUUUUCAACCAACGGGAAACCUCAUUUUCAGCAACAGUAGGAUGGGUAAGAUGAUCAACAUAUAUAACCUUUUCUCUUAAGCCAUAAUUAAAUAUCUGAUGCCCAAGUGUCAUAAUUGGUUCCAUCCAAUUUGUCAAUGGAGAGAUGAACAUUGAUGUAAUUAGUAUAAAUAGAUGGAUCCGGCAUAAUGACUGCGGAAGAAGCCACAGUGGUAGCGGCAGCGGAAGAAGCCAUAGUGGCAGCGGAAGUGAAAGAAGCCAUAGAGGAUAAGGACAAAUCAAGUCAUUGGUUAAUUGGCGACAACAGCAAAGAUGAAGGCUCUGGCAGCGUCUCUGGCGAAGGCUCCGGUGAGAUUCUGGCGGCGACUCCAGUGAGGGUCUGGCGACGGCUCCGGCGAGGUUCUGGUGGCGGCUCCGGCGAGGUUCCGACGGCGACUCCGACAAGGCAAUGGGGCAGUGGCUGGAAAAUUCCUGUGAAUAGUGGGUUCACCAAAAAUUGAACCCUAACGCUAUGCUUUGAUACCAUUUUAAAGGAAAAGAAAGAAUAGGGUAAAUCUCUUGUGUAUAUUGAACACAUAAGGUUAUAUAAGAAAAGAAACAUAUGGGUUAAGCCCAUUACAUAAAUAUGAAAUAUCUAACAAUAUCUAUAAUAUCUAAUAAUAUCUAAUAAUAUCUAAUUAUAUAUAAUAAUAUGUAAUAAUACUUAACAAUAAUAAAAAUUUAUGCAAUAAAUUUGAGUUAUUAGAAAAUUAAUGUAUUUUUCCCUUUUAAAAUUGUCUUACAAUCAUGCUAGAAUUGUCAGAAAUCCAACAAAUAUUUUUUGAAUUGGACAUUUCACCAAUACGUGUCCCACAAGUGUCGUAUGAGUCUUAGUGUCCAAUACAGGUGUCUAACAUGGACUGAUGUGAUUCCAAUAGCAUAGAAGAGAAUGAUUCUUGACAUUCUUGGGAAUCAACUUGAGUUGGACAAAUGUUAGGCACUUUUUCUUAGAAUUGGAUCAAUGUUCUAAGUCAAGAACUCACCAAAACUAGCACCAAAUCCAAACUCACAUGGAAGUUCCUCAUAUUGUCAAAUUGAACCAACAAAAAGAGGUAAAACUUAAAAUCACCGAACAGAAUUGGACAAGGAACAAACUGAACCGAACAAAAUGAAAUUAAAAGGCAAAGAACUGAAAAUGAUUGCUGGAAAAUAAGAACAAUCGAACCAAAAACUCAAGAACACAAGACAACAUGAACAAUGAGAAGGAAGGAAGGAGAAGAGAAUGCUCAUGAAGAUGGAUGCAAGGUUGGAUGAUCACGCCACUAGAAGGAUGGUUGCUCCUAGAUGAGUGUGCUCCCGCCACUUGAGGACACCAUGGAUCCUUCAAGAUAAGACUAGAGAAGAAGGCUCAAAAGCUCUCCAAUGCACACUCAAAAUUUGAGUAUAGUUUCUUUACUAUUAAUUCCAAUCUGAAUUUUACAAAGGGAGCACCUCUAUUUAUAGCCUAAGGUGCUGAAAUGCAAGCUGCACAAAUUCAAAAACUCCCUCCUAAAAGCUUCUAGAAAUUGGCGCCUAAAAUAAUGCAUGAGGAAGGUGUGACCUCUUCCUUCAUUUUGGCACCUCCUAUUCUACUCCUACACCUAUCUACUAACGCACCCCCCGUAAGACUCCUAACUAAAGACUAAAAGAUGCUUUAACAAUAGAGGUUUCUAAUGUUUCCCUCUAAGCACCUUCAACAAUAUUCUUUAUUAUUUAAUACUUGGCCUUGCCCUUCAUAGGAUGGACUUGGGUUUGGGCUUGGGCUUUGGGCUUGGGCCUCUCUUUAUUUUAUGUCUUCUUUUAAUUUUGAGAAGACUAGAAGGAAGAACUUCAAGUGUGAUGGUGAAUUGCCUCUUCCUUCAUUAAUAGAAACCCCCUUUACUUGACUCUCAUCAUGGGCACACCAUUUAAGAGGAGAGUUUGAGCCUUACAGGACACAACAGCAAGUUUGGUCUCCCAAACCUUGCAUACUACUUACUUCCUUUCCUCAACGACAAAUUUCCUCACCUUUAUUGUUGAGACAGAUUUAAGUCGACCUUUUCAUUAGUUUUGUAUUUGUACAGAUCAUCUCUUUGACUGUGUUGCAUUAUUGUUUUCUCUUCUUCUAACACUUCAUCAACUCAUCAAUUUCUUCUGUGGAAUCGUCAUCUUCAUCAUCAAAUCUGCCAUGGAUGUACGAUGUGCUCAUCAACUUUAAUGGAGAAGACAUCCAAAAGAAAUUUGUUUCUCAUCUUGAUUCUGCCCUCUUUGAUGUUGGCUUCACCACUUUCCUUCACUGCCCCAAUGCACUCAACACAACGCACAUCCAACAACCUAUUCUCAAUCUCUCUCGUGUAACAUUUAUUGUUUUCACCAAAUCCUAUACUCAAUCUGCUUGGUGUCUUCAUCAAUUUCAACAAAUCAUUAAAUGACACAAAACUUAUAGUCUACAUUAUUAAGGAAAUAAUGAUUAUCAAAUUAUACGCAAUUAACUUGAUAAUGAUAGAAUUAUACCCCACCUAUUAUAUAUGUUAUCAUAAUUAUUAUUAAUGUUAGAAAAGAACUACAGUGGACGAAACUCGAAGCCAAUUUCCUUGAGUGACCAAAGAAGCUUUAACCACCACACCAGACAAGUUCUUUUUGUCAUAUUAUGAUUUUUAUUAUACUUAUUAUUAUUAUUAAUAUUAUUAAUAUUAUUAAUAUUAAUAUUAAUAUCAUUUAUAUUAUUAAUAUUAAUCAUAAUAUAACUAUUAUUAAUAUUAUGAAUAUCAUUUAUAUUAUUAAUAUUAUAAACAUUAUAAAUAUAAUUAGUAUUAAUAAUAUUAUUAAAUUUAUUAUUAUUAUUAUUAAUAUUAAUAUUAUCAUUAAUAUUAAUAUUGUUAUUAUUAAUAUUAAUAAAAAUAUGAAUAUCAAUAUUAUCAUUAAUAUCAAUAUUAUUAUUAUUACAAUUAUUAAAAAUAUUUUUUAUGUAAUACUUUAUAUAUGGAUACAAUCUGUAUGUAAUAUUCCCGCUUCAUACGCUUCAUGCAACACCUAAUUUUAUUUUUAGUUUUUUAAUGGGCUGCAACACAUACGAUGGAAUUAGAAAAAAUGUGUUAUAAUUCUAAUUGAAUUUAGAGGGAGACAAUCAAUAUGAAAUAUUAUUAUUGAUACUAAUAUUUAUGUUAUUUUUUUCAUUUUUUAUUUUUUUUAUAAUUUUAAUAUUAUAAAUUUUUCUUUAAUUAAACUAAAAUUACUUUUCUAAUUUAUUUCUAACAACGUAAUACAUCUUAAAAUUAUUUCAAUUCCAUGUAACCUUCUUUUAUAUUUUAAUUUUUAAUUUUUAAUUUAUUUUAGUUUGUCCAUUGCUUUUAUUUCCCAUCAAGAACUAUACGAAUCUAAAUCUAAACCCUAAACCCUAAACGAAUCUAAAUCUUAGUUUUUAAUAUAUUUAAUCUUAUGUAAUGCUCACUUUACAUAUGGAUCUGGACCCGUAUGUAAAAAUCAAUAUGUAACACUUACUUUACAUACGAAUCUGGAUCCGUAUGUAAAAAUUCGUAUGUAAUGCUAACUUUAGAUACAGAUUUGGAUCUGUAUGUAAAAAUCGGUAUGUAACACUUACUUUACAUACAAAUCUGGAUCUGUAUGUAAAAAUCCGUACGUAACGCUCACUUUACAUACGAAUUAUCCGUAUGUAAAAAACUGUAUGUAAUGUUCACUUUACAUACGGAUCUGAAUCCGUAUGUAAUAAUCGGUAUGUAAAUAACAAAUUUCUUGUAGUGUUAUACCCUAUAUAAUGGCGCUGAAAUCAUUUUCAAUGAAUUAAAUUGCGACAUUUAUGACUGACACUAUUUACAUAUAAAAAUCGUCAUUUUAAACAAAGUGUUAAAGUGGCAGGUGUUGCGGAAGGUAGCUUAAGACUGUCACAUUAAACUUUGUGGUGGCCAAUCCUAUGACGGUUUGGGAAACUAUCACACGCGUAUAUUGUGACGUUUAUAAACGCUAGGUUAUACGAAAAUAAUUGUCGCAUUAUACAUCUUUUUUUUAGUGAUUGUUUUAAGAAAAAGAAGUAUAAUAAAAAUAAAUUUGUAAUUAAAUUAUGUGAAAAAUUAUUAAAAUAACAUUAGUAAGAGUUGUUUUAUGGGUGUAAAAUAAAAUUUCGGCAAUGUUAGAAUAAGCUCGAGAAAACAAUUUUUGUUAUGAAGUUUAGGAAAGAUGAAUAUUCAUUUCAAAUAAGACAGAAAAAGGGAGAAUCAAAACAAAAUAUGUUUUUUUUAUAUAACCAUGCCUAAAGCAGUGCAACAUAAAAGUAUGCAGCAGAGCAAAAUGCAAAAAUAGAAUGAGUCAUCAAUAUAAUAUAUAUGUGUACCUACAAAAUAUGUUUUUUUUCUUUAUUUUAAUUUAAAAUAAUAAUUUAAUUGUUAAAGAGUAACUGUAAAAUUUUAUUGUUUUUAAUAUGUAAAGGAUAAAAUUGAAAAAUUAAAUGUAUGUGCAAAAGAGGAAAAUUCUAUUGUUAUAGACUAAUAUUAAUAAUAUUAUUAUUAAGUUAAUAUGAUGGCUAGCAUGGGUUUUUUUGAAAAAUGGGUUUAUUGUAUCAAAGAAUACCUCGAAUCUUCUUCUAUCUUUGUUUUAGUUAAUGAAAGUCCAUCUAAGUAAUUCAAACCGUCUUAGAGGUCUAAGAUAAGGGGAUCCAAUUGCACCGUUCUUAUUCAUAAUUGUGGCUCAAGGCCUAUCAAGUUUAGUAAAUCAAGGGCUACAAAGGAAGUGUUUUCUGAAUUAAAAUUCGGUGCAAAAAAUAUAGAGGUGAAAUUGCUUCCGUUUGCAAAUGACACUUUGAUCAUGUGUAAAUCUAAUAUCCAAAAUAUUAGUGGUAUUAAAGGGAUCCUUAAAUGUUUUGAAAUUUGCUCAGGGCUUAGAAUAAACUUCUUUAAGAGAAAAAUUGGAGCUAUAGGAGUGGACAAAAAUGUGUUAGGAUCUUUCUUUGAGGUUCUCCAUUGCAACAUUAUGAAUAUUCUUUUUUUAUAUCUUAGUUUACCAAUUGGGGGAAAUUCUACUAAGGUUUCUUUUUGUGACCUAGUGCUUACAAAGGUUAAGAAGAGGCUAUCUAUGUGGAAACGUAAACAUCUAUCAUUUGCAGGUCGUGUGUGCUUCAUUCAUUUUGUGUUGAAUGCAACCCCUUGUAUUAUCUCUCUUUGUUCAAAGCUCCAUCAUCUAUAUUGAAAAAAGAUUACAAAGUUACAACGUAAGUUCUUGUGGGGCUGGGAUACUGAAGGAAGGAAAAUUGCUUGGAUUAAAUGGGAUAAUUUAUGUAAACCUAAAGCGAAAGGUGGGUUGGGCAUCAAGCAAAUAGACAUUUUCAACAAAGCUUUAUUUGGAAAAUGGAAAUGGAGACUUGGCUCUCUUGAUAACUGUCUAUGGAAAGAUAUUCUUGCUUCUAAAUAUGGUUCUUGGAGAAAUUUAUCUGAAUCUAGAGUUUCAAAGCAUGCUUCAGGAUGGUGGUGCCAUUUAAACAAAGUGUGUGAGGAUGAGCAGGACAUCAAUUGGUUUGAUUGUAAUAUGGAAUAGGCGGUUGGGUCUGGUGAAAAAGUAAAGUUGUGGGAAGACGUUUGUGUUUAUAUUGUUUCGGUUUAUAAUUGUCAAUUGAAAGCUAGAUUCCCAAGGUUGUUUAAUAACUCUCAUAGAUAAUUCCCAAGCUAGAUUCCCAAGGUUGUGGUAAAUGGAACAGAGACAACUGGGUUGGGAAUUAAAGUGGAGAAGAGAGUGGUUUAAAUGGGAGAAGGCCCAAGUAGAUGAAUUUAUGACUGUGCUGGAAGGUCAAACCUUGAAAAAAGGUAAGGAGGAUAAAUGGUUAUGGAGAGACCCGCAAACCUGUAAGUACUCUGUCAAAUCUGCAUAUGCAUUCGUUUCUAAUUCUAUUCCAAGUGCAUCUAAGGAUAUGUAUAGGGUUAUGUGGGGCUUGUUGGUCCCACCAUCAGCACAAUAUUUUGUUUGGAGAGCAUUGCAAAAUAGGAUCACCAAAAAGCAAAAUUUGAUUAGAAGGUCAGUCCACCUUGCAGAUUCAUUAUGCAUUUUAUGUGGGACGGAGGAGGAAACGUCCUCACACCUUUUCUUAACUUGUCAGAUUGCGAGCGUUGUUUGAAAUUAUUGUAGUAAAUGGAUUGAGGUUAGAUCUGUAAAUCAUUUUUCUUUGAAGGAACACUUUGAACAAUUUCAUUGCCCUUGGCUUAGCAAAGAUGGCAAUAAGUUCUGGAAAUGAGUGUGGGUAUCCAUCAUCUGGUGUAUUUGGAAACAUAGGAAUGAGAUUGUGUUUAACCAAGCAAAAGUGGAUGCGAGUGAAAUCUUUGCCCUGACCCAAAUGCGAUCAUGGACUUGGUUAAAAAACAAGGCUCCAAUAGUGCUUUUUUCUUUUUCCGACUAGGUCCAAUGUCCAAAUACUUGCAUUAAUAUGACAGUAAAACGUUGAUUUCGUGAGGAUAGAGAGGUUGGUAUGUCUUGGCUGGUUUUUCUUCCUUUUUUAGGAUGCUUUGAGAGUAUGUAAUGUACCCUUAAAGCGCAGCGUAUAAGGGUUGAAGCCCCUUUGUGCUCCUUUUCUACUAAUUUAUUUUUUUGCCAAAUAAAAAAAAAAGUUUACAAAGGAUGUUAAGCAUAUUAAUUAAUUCAAUUCAUCUACCUAUAUAUUACGCAUAUCUAUAUGAGUGGUUAAGAGUAAAAUAUUAAAUAAAUUUAUUUUCUCUUUUCUCUCAAUGCCUUCCACUCAUUCUCUUUCUUAUUAAUAGAUUACUCUAUAAAUAGGUUGAUAUUUAUUAUGUAUAGUAUUCUUUGCACACACAUUCCAACUAAGAGUACCUCCUGAUAGAAGGCAUGAAGAUCUCAUCUACGCUUUGAAAAGAAAGAUUAUAUAAGAUAAUCUCUACUCGUGUAAAAGAAAAGUACAAUAAUAUUUUUUACGGCAUGAUUAAAUUAUUAAAUAAAAAAUUGAUUAAAUUAGUAAAUAAAAAAUUGAUUAAAUUUUUGAAAGUUAUAUAACUUUUCACGUUUUUCAUGAGUUUAGACAUGCUAAACUAGCAAGGUAGAAUUCAAAAUCAAUAUAAAUAAAAGAAAAAGAAAAUAUUUGUUUAAUGAUUUUAACAAAAUGAUAUUGAAAUAAUUUUAUAAACUGAUUAUAGAUAAACUGAAUGUUUUUCUAAACUGUAUUUAUACCUACAUUAACCUGUUUUAGAUAUACAUGUGUAAUGUGAAAGAUGAUGAUGUUAUAAGCUUUUAAAACUUUAAGCGUUAUUUGCAUAAAAUAAAAAGGUUCGGCGAUGGUGUGAACGCGCUUCCACGACCACUACAGAAGUAAGUUUUGUGUCUGUACACAUCAUCUCUUUGACUGUUGCAUUAUUGCUUUCUCUUCUUCUAACAGUUGAUCAUGAAGGAAAUUUGUGUCUCAUCUCGAUUCUGCCCUCUCUGCUGUUGGCUUCACCACUUUCCUUCACCACCCCAAUGCACUCAACCCAAUUCACAUCCAACAAUCUAUUCUCAAUCUCUCUCGUGUAGCAAUUGUUGUUUUCACCACAACCUAUUCUCAAUCUGCUUGGUGUCUUCAUCAACUUCAACAAAUCAUUGAAUGGCACCAAACUUAUUGCCGACAUGUUCUGCCCGUUUAUUACGAAAUCCAGCCAUCUGAUGUACGUCUUCAGAUGGGUGAUUUUGGAAAAGCCCUCAAAGCAACUGCACAACAAACAUUCUCACCACAACAACUGGAGCAUGGCAUGUCCAGGUGGAGCCACGCACUCACCAAAACUGCAAAUUUCUUUGGAUGGGAUGAGAACAAUCACAGGUAAAUGACUCACUUAAUCAAUCAUAUUUUAAGCUUGUAAUACAAUUUUGUUAGUACAUGACUUCUUCUAUAAUUGCUAUUGAACUUGAAGGAGUGAUGCAGAACUAGUGGACAAAAUUGUUAAGAUCGUUCUUAAUUUAUCAAUCUUGUCUGCUACUAAAUUUCCAGUUGGAUUACAAUCCCGUGUGGAGGAUGUGAUUCAAACCAUAAAAAGUAAAUCCACCCAAGUUUUUACGAUAGCGAUAUGUGGAAUAGGAGGAUCGGGUAAAAGCACCCUUGCCAAAGCCAUCUAUAAUCAAAUUCAUGGUACAUUCACGGAGAAAAGUUUCAUUGAAGAUAUUGGACAAUUUAGUGGAAUAAGAGGGGAUCUUCGUUUACAAGAACAACUUCUUUCAGAUGUCCUAAAAACGAAGGUGAAGAUAAGCAGUGUUGAGAUGGGAAAAAAAAUGAUUCGGGAAAGACUUUCUGGGAAAAGAGUGUUCAUUGUACUUGACGAUGUGAAUGAGUAUGGUCCAUUAGACCUAUGGGGAAGUAGUUCAUGGUUAGGUGAAGGAACUGUAAUAAUCAUUACAGCGAGAGAUGAAGACCUACCGAAUAUGCUUCGAGUUGAUUAUGUUUAUCCGAUGAUUAUGAUGAACGCAAACGAGUCCGUUGAGCUUCUUAGUUGGCACGCAUUUAGAGAACCAAAACCAAAAAAAGAAUACUAUUUACUUGCAAAAAGAGUAGUUGCUUAUUGUGGAUCACUACCUCUAGCUCUUGAAGUCAUUGGAACUUAUUUAUAUAAAAGGACGAAAGAAGAAUGGAAUACAGUAUUGAUAAGAUUAAACAAUAUUCCCCAUAAUGAAGUUCCACAGAUAUUGAAAAUAAGCUUCGACGGUUUACGUAAUCAAAUAGAGAAAGAUUUAUUCCUUGAUGUAUGUUGUUUCUUUGUUGGUAAAAGCAGAGCCUAUGUUACCAAGAUCCUAAAUGGCUGUGGAGUAGACCAUGAUAGUGGAAUAAGAGUUCUCAUAAAGCGUAACCUCAUCAAAGUUAAAGAAAACAACAAAUUUGGAAUGCAUCAUUUGCUAAGAGAAAUGGGAAGAGAAAUGAUUCGUGAAAUUUCAGGAAAGGAAUCUGGAAAGAACAGUCGACUGUGGCUUGAGGAGGAUCUAAAACAUGCAUUGUCAGAGAACACUGUAAGAACAUUCUUAAUCUAUGGUUUUGAAACUUCUUUUGAAAGUGGUUGAUUUCUCAUGUGCAAUACAAAUAUUUUUCUUAGCUCUUUUCAUCACCGGGCACAAAAGUCAUUCAGAGAUUGUCUAGCGGAAGAGAUUUCUUCGAACGUUAUCCUGUAGAGGUAAGAGACCCAUCAAAACUGCUUAAACUCGCUGGAGAUUCUGAGUACCCUUCUAAGAAACUGAGAGGGAUCAGUCUGCAAAGGUUUUCUUCAGAAUACUUACCUAACGACUUUAAUCUGCAUGAUGCAAUAGCGAUUGAUUUAAAACACAGUCUUCUUCGAUUCGUCUGGAAAGAAACCCAGGUUUUUAUUAUGUGCCAUUUUCUUUUAAAGCUCAGCUUAAAAUAGAAAUAUUAUUUCUUUCCACUUAUAACUAUUUUAUUUUUUUCAUUUUCUAUUUUAAUAUUCUUGAAGGUUUUGGCUUGUCUAAAAGUCUUGAAUCUUAGUCACUCGAAGUACUUGACAAAAACCCCUGACUUUUCGAGACUACCAAGUCUUGAACACCUCAUUCUCAAAGAUUGUCCUAGAUUGCGCGAAGUACACCAAUCUAUUGGUUGUCUCUGCAAUCUUAUACUACUAAAUUUGAAGGACUGUACAAGUCUAAGCACUCUCCCCAGUGAGAUAUGUAAGUUGAAAUCCUUGAAAA